UCAAGGUUUGGGAGGAGAAAGAUGUUCCCCGGGAAUUUCCCUUGCAAUCCACAAUCCUAAAGGGAAAGAGAUGACAAAGAAGAGGACAGAUUCGUCAAGGAAUUAGGUGCAACCAAAGACAAAUUUAAAUAACCCAAAGUGAGAUCUCUUAGCUUGGUUAGGUUUUGAACAAGCUUGUCAAAAGAAAUUGGUUCUAUACUGAGAUGGAUGUUUUCAGAGAGAUCCAAGCAUUGGAGGUGCUUAAAACUUCCCAUUGAGGAUGGGAGUUUUCCUUGCAAUCGACAGCCAGAGAGUUUGAGUGAUGACAGAGAAGAGGAAAGAUUCAUCAAGGAACUGGGUACAACCAGUGACAUGUUUACCCAGUUUAGAUGGAGUUCUCUAAGCUUGGUUAGGUUUUGAACAAGCUUGUCAAAACAAAUUGGUUCUAGACUUAGAUUGUAUUGUCUAGAGAGAUCAAGUGAAACCAAUUUGGAGAGAUGAGAGAUUUCCGAUGGAACUUGACCUGUAAAGACUGAGUAAUUUAGGUUAAGAUGUGUUAGACUAGAGAACUGGCCAAAUUGAGAAGAAAUAUGGGAGAGGUUGAAAUGAUUGUCAGAGAGGUCGAGCUUUUGAAGAUGAUGCAGGGAGAAGAGGGUGCUAUUGGAAUGGAUGGUGCCGUAAAGCAUGCUGCAAGAGAGGUCCAGUCCAGUGACACGCCCGGUUUUCAGGUCACAAGUGAUCCCAUCCCACAAACAGCAGUCUGUACCCUCUUUCCACGACUCUGUCUUGGGAUGCUGGCAAAGCACUGAAGCAGAGCUAUUAAUGGAAAAGGAUUCUUUGAAUUGGAGCAAAGAAAGACUUUGGUCAGGAGCACAGAAAUGAGAUGAAGAAAUAGUUGAAUGGAAAUGGAAGAGAAACAGAGUGAAAGAGAGGGACAGUGGUGAAAACCCCAUGUUUGGCUGGCCUUACAGGAUUUAGUAGUAUAUUUGGGAGAGAUGAGGAAUGAAGGAAGGCAUUGUUAGCAGUAUUUAUAGACAAGAAUGAAGGAGAGGCAAUAAAGAAGUUUCCUUAGCUGGGUGCUGACGGACCAUAUCUCAAGUACAUAGACAAGAAUGAAGCAGAGGCAUUAAAGAAUGAGCGAGUGAGUGUUGGAAACGCGGCAAUAUUAAUUAAUUAAUGGAACACCUUAAUUAGUUAGAGAAUCAAAUUCUCACAUAAAGCGUUCAUUAAGCCUUUGAAUCGGAGCAAAGAAAGACAAAUUAAUUUGUUCAUGAGGACAUAAUUGCUAGUAUUAAAAACGCAACAGGAUGACAUUAUAUAUAACAAGGAAAUAAAAUAAAAUAAAAUAAAUAUUAAAUUUAUUUUUCUAUUAAUUUAAUGUUAAAGAAUAAAAUUAAAAAUAAAAUUCAACUAAAAAUAUAAAACAACUCAACAUAAAUUUAUCUUUCAAACCUAGAGGAGACUAAAUAAAAAAUAUUAAAAUAAAUUAUAAAAUUUAUUUUUUAUUAAAACAAAAUAAAAUCCCACUAAAUUGUUGUUUAUGGAAACCAAGGCAAAGUAAUAAUUAUGCCAAGCACUAAUGACUUUGCAUUUAUAUAUCGUUUUUUAACGAUCCAAAAAAGAUUAUUGAAUAUUGGAAACACGACAAUAUUAAUUAAUUCCCAAAAUCAACUUUUUGAGAGUAGAUAACACGUUACAUAUUUAAAUUUUAGAAAAAAAAGACACACAUUUCCUCUGCUUCAAAAUAAAUAAAAUAAAAAAUACAAACGAAUUAUUGAAUAAACGCAUUGCCGCGAGUCAAAAGAUUUUUUUUUUUUUAAAAUUUAUAAGUUUUUCUUUUAAAAACAAAGAAUGGUUGAGUUGAGUUGGCGUUGUGGAGGUAAUGAAGAACCCUAAUUCUCCAAUUAUAUGGUUACAUGUAAUGUAAAUAGUUUACCUUGAUAUGACAUACAUGGAUUAUUUAUUUGCCACUUAAAGCUGAAGGCUUUUGCAUUUAAAAUUAGGUUAAUGUAUAUGGUGAGUAAGCUAUUAAUUUAUUGUGGUUUCCAACUUCAAAAUUCGAGAAUCAAUUAUAUUAUGGGUUAGUGAUAAAAUUUUAAAGAAGGAGCAUUCUUGAUUUCUUUCAUGUUAAAAGCAUUAAUUACAUGUCCUGUUUUAAAAAAUAAAUCAUGAUUAAUUUGCUAUAGCACACUUGUUUUAACAAAAAAAAAAAAAAAGAUUACGUAACCAAUAAAUUCAUUCAGCGAAUUUUUCCACAAGUUAAUUAAUUAAUUAAUCCUUUUAGUAUUAAUUAACUAAAUAGUUAAUUAAUACUUUUAGUGAGUGAGAGGGGUUGCUAAUAUUUCUUAAACUAAUUAAUCCUCUUAGUAUUAAAAAUAACUAAAUAGUUAUUUGACAAAUCUUGAUUAGUAAUUUUUUUUUUAUUUUAAAAAAGAUACUUUUCUUGCUUAUCAUUCUUUCAAUUGAUAUACUUUGAAUUUUUUUUUAAAUAAAAUAUAAUUUAAACUAUAUAUGGGAUUAUGUAUACAUAAUUGAAAUAAAAAAAUUGAUAAACAAAGUCAUCUUCACCUUCUUAUUUCCAAUCCAUUUCACAGUUGUACAGCGAGAUUAAGUAACCAAUAAUUUCAUUCAGCGAAUAUUGCCACUGAAUAUUUCACUAACACAAGUGCUAAUAAAUAAGGUAGAUAAUCAUGAAUGCCGAACUUUACAUGAAAUAUUUAUAGCAUGAUAAAAAAAAAUAAAAAUCGUGGCUGCUUAAUUUGAAUGUUCAGAGACGUUUUUCCAAAUUGUAUUUAUCAAUGAAAUUUAUUCGAAGAUUGCUUGGCCCACUAAAAUAUAAUUUCCAUGAAAUUCAAGCCUCAAUAUAUAGGAAGAAACUUGUUAAUAAUUUACGAUCGUAGUUUACUCACAGCUUAAGCAAGUGGGCAUGCAGAGUUAAAGAGUCAUCCUCACCUUCUUAUGUCCACUUCAAUCCAGUCUCAGAAAGCAAUAUGCAAUGGUCCAGAAAAGUCUUUGGAUAUAUAGAUAUUGUCCAAUCUUCACGUGGUGCUCAAUAUGAAACUGAGGGUUGAAUUAUUCAAUUGCGAAUACUUCCUUAAUAUUUUUAAUAUUUUUGUUAAGAUCAAGUCUAUGUGAGUGAUGUGCAGCAAGUAUAUCUGUUAAUUAGAAUUUUCUUUGUAGCUUGCCUAGUGUUAAUUGUGCGUUAUUUACAUUAACACAUUAAAAUAAUUUAAAAAUAUAUUCAAAAUAUAAUAAUAUUAAUUUCUUAUAAAAAUUAUAUUUUUUAAAAUAAAAAUAAUAUAAAAAUAUUAUUUUGAUAUAUUUUCAAAUGAAAAAAAUACUUUGAAAAAUAAUCUCUACCACACUAGCAUGCUCUAAAAAUAAAAACACAAUAAUAUUAAUUGCCUAAAUGGAUUAAAUAGUGUUUUAGGGGUUCUUAAUUUUUCUUAAAUUAACUAAUCCUUUUAGUAUUAAAAGUAAUUAAAUAGUUAUUUGACCAAUUUUGAUCAUGCUCUAAAAAUAAAAACACGAUUUUGCACUUAUGGAUCAUACUUUUUGUGUGCGCUCGGUAAUGUAUAGAAGUUUAAUUAUUUUUUAAUUGUUUUAUUUAAAAAUAUAUCAAUAUGAUUUUAUUUAAAAAUUUAUUUUUAAUUUUGAAAAUCAGAAUAUUAAAAUCAUAAAAAAAACAUUAAAAAAUUAAUAUUGAUUUCCUAAAUGGAUUAAAUAGUGUUUUAGAGGUUGCUAAUAUUUUUUAAAUUAAUUAAUCUUUUUAGUAUUAAAAAUAACUAAAUAGUUAUUUGAAAAAUAUUGAUUAGUAGUAUUUUUUUUUUAAAUACUUUUCUUGCUUAUCAUUCCUUCAAUUGAUAUACUUUGAGUUUUCCUUUUUUCUAUUUUAAAUAAAAAAAUAAUUAAACUAUGGGAUUAUGUAUACGUAAUUGAAAUAAAAAAUUGAUAAGCAAAGUCAUCUUCACCUUUAUAUGUCCAAUCCAAUCCAAGCAAUGGAGCACUAAUGACUGUGCACAGAUAUAAUUUCUCAUGACCCGAAAGUCUUUCAGUGCGAUUCAUAAUGUUGUGCGAUAUAUUUUUUAAAUGUAUAUUUUAAUUGAAAAUAUAUUUAAUUUGUUUUAAUUUUAAUAUAAAUACAUCAAAAUCAUAACAAAAAUUAUAAAAUAUUUAAUUUAAUGCUUUUUUAAGCAAUAUGUUUUUAUAUAUAUAAAAAAAACAAAAGCUACCACAAUGUUUUAUUAAUGAGAAUAAGAAUAGAACCAUGACAAUAUUGAUUUUCUUAAAAUUAAUUAAUCCUUUUACUAUUAAAAAUCUUAUGGGGGAUAGAAAGUUGGGGGAAGAAAAAGGAUAAUUAUUUUCAGCUGAAAUCAGGUGUGCCCUUCUGUCCUUUUUCUUUGCUCUUUCGCUUCCUUUUAGGCUCCCGGCCUGUCAUGAAGUUGGUGUGGGAAUAAUUCCCUUUGCAUGGGACAGGCUGACUCAUCAGUCCUGAUGCAUGUAUAUAUAUAUAUAUAUAGGCCUCCUUUCUCUUGGGAAUAAUGAAUGAAGCUUGAGAAAGUUUUAAACCAAAACCUUUUUAUUACUAUGGAGAAUUUUGCCUAGGAUUGUUUUUCAUGCGAUUGUUCAUUCUAAAAUGCAAAACUAAGAGUCUGUCGCUGAAGUUUCCUAAAUAUGCAAUGGUGGUGUAGAACCGCUCAAACUAUUACUUUACAAGUUAGACUUGGAGGAAUUUCAGAGCAGCGUACCGGAAAUUAAAACAAUAUUUUGUGAAAUUUUAGGAAAACAGAGCAUCAACAAGGGAAAACCAAUCUUCAUCUGGUCUGUCCUACUAAAACUGACAAAGAUUGGAGGAGUUUCAAGGUUCUUGCCCUCGAGAUUACCAAGUAAGUGUGGGAUUGGAAAGAUCUUUCUUUUCCAGCAUCAACAAGGGAAAACCAAUCUUCGGAACCAGUGAGUGGUUCUGAAUAUGGAACUGCAGGUUGAAUUAUUGAUCAAUUGCAAAUAUUUCCAUACAAUCAGAUCCCUUUGUUGACUAUACAAGAGUGUUGGAAACACGGCAAAAUUAAUUUCCAGAAUUGUCAUUUUUCCAGCAAGUCUACGUACGCGCAAUUUGUGCUCUAAUUAUAACUCCUUUUGUGUCUCGUCUGAUGACAACUGUUCUUGGAGACUUCUACCCCUCUAUGCCUAGUUUUUCUUGGUUUCAUUGCAUCUUUGAAGUUUGGUUUUCCUUACAAUUUAUUUUAUCUUUCAUUAGAUAUCUCUAUACUGUAAGAAAUAUUUUUAAGUGGAUCAUAUGCCAUGUCAAGUUUUUAGAAUAAUAUAUAUAUAUUAUAAAAUUUAUAAAUGAUAAUUAAAUGGUUGGAGUUCAUUGCUCUCUAAUGAUGAACUAAGUUCAAUACAUAAUGGAUGAAAGGGAAAAAAAUCAUAUUAAAUAUUAAAUAUUACGUAAUGUCAUGUAACCUCCAUCAAAAUAUAGAAAACCUAAAGUUUGGUAUUGACGGUUCAAUCAUGACAUGGGCUAAAUCCACUCACUUGACAAGUGUUGAUCAUAAUACAAAUAAUAAUUAAUUAAGUCAUAAAUAUAAUUCAAAUUAUAGAGAUUAAAUGUAUAGUUUGCAAAACUACGGACUAGGUCGAACCAUGACUGAACCAUAAUGCUAUACGGAUUAAUUGAGUGAGAAUAAUACCUCUUUCAGGAUUUAAAAAUUAAAACAAAAAAAGCAAAAUCAUGCCGCCUAAGUAGUUGUUGCUAGACUAAAGGACACCAAGGCAAAUUAAUAAUUACGCCAAGCACUAAUGACUUUGCACGACUGAAAAAAGAGUACUGAGUGUUGGAAAUUAGCAUUGCUGUUAAUUAUAAUAUGAAUUAUAUAAAAACUAUAAUUUACGUUGUUAUCUAUUUUUUUGGGUCCUUAAAAAAAAACAAUGCAUAAAAUAAAAAAAAUUGUUGAAAAAAAUUAAAAUAAUAAAUCAGUAAGGAAAAAAUACGAAUGUUCAAAAAAUAGCAAUCACUAUUUACAGAAGGUAAGGUUCCUAUCAACUUUCCUUGUUGACUCAAAAUGGUGCAAAAUUAUGCCCCCGCUAGCACUAAUGACUUUGCACUUAUAUAUUGUUUUUCACGACCCAAAAAAGAGUACUGGGUGUUGGAAAUAUCGCAAUAUUAAUUAAUUUUUGAAAUUAUUUAAAUAAAGAAGAGAGAAAAAGACAAUUCAUAAAACUUAAAAAAAAUAUUUAAAAAAUCAAAAAUAUAUUAAUUUAAAAUAAAAAAAUUAAUUUUUUUAAAAAUACAAACAAGCUUUGAUUAAAUGAAAGGUAAAGUAAUAAUGACUUUGCACUUGUAUAUCAUUUUUCACGACCAAAAAAAGAGUAUUGAGCGUUGGAAACACGAUAAUAUUAAUUAAUUUCUGAAAUUAAUAAAGUUCAUGUGAGUGAUGUGCAGCAAGUCAAUGUGCUCAUUCGAAUUAACCUCCUUUGUAGCUUGUUUUGUGGUAACAAUAUUUUUUAUAGUAUCACAUUAAAAUAAUGAAAAACAAGUUAGAAACAUGACAAUAUUUAUUUUUUAUUAAAAAUAAAUUUUAAAAAAUAAAAAAAUCUUUUUUAAUUAUCCAAAAGUUAUCAACCUUCAUUGUGUGCUUGGUUGGUAAUGUGUAUCAACCCAAAAAGUCUUUCUCAGCAUCAACAAGGAAAACCAAUCUUCAUUUUCUCAGAAAGUAUGGAACUGAGGGUUGAGUUAUUCAUUUGCAGAUAUCUCCACGAAGGAGAGCUCCCUUAGUUGAUUACUAAACAAGAGUAUAAUAUGUAAAAACUUGAUAUCAAUAUAUUAAAAUGAUGUAAAAACAUGAUAAGAACACGACAAUAUUGAUUUCUUGUAAAAAAUAAAUUUUAUAAAAUAAAAAAAUAUAAAAUAUUAUUUUAAUUUAUUUUCAAACAAAAAAUACUUUGAAAAAUAAUCUCCACCAUACUAACAUACUUGAAGAAUAGAAACACGGCAAUAUUGAUUUCCUAAAUGAAUUAAAUAGUGUUUCAUGGGUUGCUAAUUUUUCUUAAAUUAACUAAUCCUUUUAGUAUUAAAAGUAAUUAAAUAGUUAUUUUAAUCAUGCUUAAUUCAAUAAUAAUUAUUAAAAAAAAACACUUUUCUUGCUUUUCAAUCUUUCAAUUUAUAUACUUUGAUUUUUCCUUUAUCUAUUUUAAAUAAAAAAAUAAUUUAACAAUGAGAUUAUGUAAGCAAAUAAUUAAAAAAAUAUGUAUACAAUAAAAAAUAAAAAAUAAAGAUAGUAAACCAUUUACCUGUAUUUAUAACCCUUGAACCUUGUUAUCUUAAUGGAGUUGAAGGACUGGAAAGACAUUUUUUUUAUAGCAUUAAUAAAAGAUAAAUAUCUCUUACAAAACAUUAAGUGAUGAACAAAUACCCCUUGCGCAAUAUUAAUGAGGGAUAAAUAUCCAUUGUAAAAUAUUAACGGGAAUGAAAAUAUGAUAGGUUUUUAAAAACUUUUAUAUACCUAUAAAUAUCAAAAGAUGAAUAUCCUUAACUCUAACAUUUUAUAUUAAAAAUCACAAGAAUAAACAAAUGUAACCUUGUAGUCUAGGUCCUAUAAUGAUCGCUAUACCCAAACCCACUUUGGCUUGGCAUGAUGCCAAGUCCAAGAGCGGUGGAUCUGGCAGCUCGCUAGAUCCAUAUCCGUUUGGGCUCUGCAAGUAGCUGAACUCAAGGGUGUGGGGUCUAGCAACUCGCCAAAUGCUUAAUAAGUAGCUAAACCCAAAAGUGUUGGGUCUGAUAGCUCGCCAUACUUACGUCCACUUGGGCGCAUCGAGUACCUGAAUUCAAGAAUAUUGGGUUUGGAAGCUCGCUAAACUCAUGUCCAUUUAGAUUUAGCGUGUAGCUAAACCUAAGGAUGUUUGGACUGACAGAUCCAUGUUAAUUUAUGUUCAACGCAUAGUUUAACUUAAUGAUGUUGGGUUUAACAGCUCGCCAAAUUCAUAUUUGUUUGGGUUUAGUGCAUAGCUAAACCAAGGAUGUUGGGUUUGGAAAAUCCCCAUAUUUAUUUUUGCUUGAGCUCACCGUAUAGCUGAGCCCAAGAAAAUUAGAUCUGGCAACUCUGCAUACCCAUGUCUGUUUGGUAGCUUGCCAGACUUAUGUCCACUUGGGCUCUGCUCUUAUUCACGCCGAAAGGUAUCUAGCUUGAUCAUGUCAUCUGGACUUGAUAUUCUUUGCUUGGGCACUCCGAGCUAGAAUUCCGGCAACAGCAAAAACAAUUCAUUGAUAAAUGAAACUUCCCAGGAAAUCGAAGUUUAUAAUUGGAGCUGAAAAAUCUGAGAAAUGCAAUUCGGAAUGUUUUCCACUCCCUUCAAGUUACUUGUAACACCACUUCUAGAGUUUCGACAACUCACUUCCUCAAUGGAAACACGGUGGUUUUUUUAUAUAAAAGAAACAUCUCGUCUAGGUAAUGAAAAGAUUAGCUGUUUAAAGUUAAGAGAACUUGUGAAGGAAAAAAUAAAACACAUACAUUACUCAAAAGUUGCACUAGAUUCCAUGGAGCACAAGAUCAGAAGAAAAAGAUCAUUGAUGGAUGAUAUGCGAAUCUUAGAAGCAGGAAUUUCCCUCAACUGAUUAAGCCCACCUCUGGAUUUCGAGAAAGAGCUCUUGAAAAAAUGGGAAUGCUAUUGACAUGUGUUCGAUCCCUUGGGAAACUUCAAUGGCCACAAACAAUGAAAGGAAAGUUCAGUAGAGUCAGGAACUUUAUAGAAAUCGGUUUCCUGUCCUCCUAGAUGCAAGCAAGAGUCCAAGUAUGGAACGAACUCCAGCCUAUCAGCUCCUGAAGAAUAGGAUUUUAAACUAGUGAUAAGCUUUGUAUAGAAUGAAACUCUAAUUAUUGUGUUUGAUUAGAACUCUGCAACGUUAUCUCUACUGUAUAUAUACACCUCUGUUUUCAAUGAAUAGAUAGAAGAGUUUCCUACGUUCCAUAUAUAUUCAGUUGUCUCCUCCACACUAGAAUGGCUGUGUUCUUGAAACACUAUCCUUCCCUUUCUUGGCAUUUGAUCCCCAACUCCUCUAUGAAUAGGUCUAACUAUGCGAGCUUGAUAAAGCUAGCUAUCUGCAAGUAGUCAAAGAAAAUUGCUAGUUUAACUGGAAAGAGUCGAAAGACAUGAUGACUAGGCUGGAUAGUAUAUUCAUUGCUUCAUUAUUUAUCUUCUAAUUUUUUACACUUCAUAGAGGACCUAUAACAUGAGACUACCUGAAUAAGCUAGCAGAAAACAUUGUAUCACACUGACUACAAACAAAACGCACCUGAAUUCACAGUCCAUACAAAUUCAAAACAGCUUUUAGGGAGCUUUGUUGGAUUCUUUAAUGUAAAGGAAACGAAGCAUUAUAGCUUCAUAAUGAUAAAGUGAAUCGCCUCCAUUUUUAUUUCUAUCCCCAGGAGAAGAAUCACCUCCAUUCAUAAUGCUAUUUUUAUUGCUUCAAUCGUUCUCAUCAUCAGAAGAAUUCCCCAACAUAGCAUUCAUAGCCUCCUCCUGCUGCUUCUCAAUCUCCAUGGUCCAUCAUCCACGAUGAAUUCUUUGCUUCUUCAAUUUGUAAUCGUUUUCCAUAUUCUCCAAACUAUAAAGUGAAUCACCUCCAUUUUUAUUUCUAUCACCUUGUGGAUGUGGCUGGAUUUUCCGCCGCUCGAUCCACUUAUCAAUCAUUUCCUCUACAAAAGCCUGUGGAUGAAGAAAAAUUCGCAUCCGUUUCCCAUGAAGCUCUGUUCUUAACCAUCAGAUCCACCUACAGCAAUGCCGAUUCCCAUGCAUCAUUCCAUUCACCCUCUUCUGUUUUGGUAGAGAAUGAUUGAAAAAAUGGGCCUACUCCCUUUAUUCUCCAUCUUUAUUUUAUUCCACUACAACGUGCCGCUGCUAUCAGUCGAAAGCAUCCUUUGGUCUCUUCUCUUGACUGCAAGCAAUAAUAGAUAAAGGCAUUUAGUAUUUCUUGGAUCUAUGACGCAAUCACUGCUGCAGGUUAACUCACUAAGCUGUUUGAAGGAAAGUGGCCCUUUUCAAUUGAUUUUGAAGUAAGGAAAGCAAUGUUCCAACUGAAAAUAAAUUAGGAGCACAGUGCACGCACCAAAGCUAGCAUCCUUGCAGAUGAUCCUGAGUUCCCUUAUAAUGCUUUAGACUUGUUAGUAUCUCCUGAGGGAUUAAUUAGUUAACUGGACUAAUCACAGAAACGCUAGAAUAAACAUUAUGUGGUCCAUGCCAGCCAUUGAAGAACUAAAAUGGAAUGUGGAUUGUUCAGCCUUUGGCAAACCUGGUAGAACUAGAAUUGGUGGGGUACUGAGGGAUCAUAAAGGUGUGGUGUUGUGUUCUUCAGUUAGAUUGAAGAGCAAUAUAUAGUUGUGAUACGGUAGCAAUCUGGAAGUGUAUUUAAAAAAGAGAAGUUGAUACUCUGUUAUUCAACGCUGCGGAUAAGGGAAAGGUCCACGAUGAAGAUCUUGUGUGGCUGGUGUUCUUCAGUUAGAUUGGAAAGGUCAACGAGCCAGUUCAAAGACCAGCGGUGGCACUGCUGCUGGGGUAAAGAGCAACUCAGGAAUCUGCCUAUUGUAUAUAGAUUUUUAGUUCCUUCAUUUUUUUUUUAUGGGUAGGUCCUUCAUUUUUUUAGUAUGAUGGAAAGAAAUAAUAAUUUUAUUAAUGAUAGAAGCCUAGUAAAACUAAAACACUUUCCCUAGCUACAUAUACAAUGCAAGAACCAUGAAGCACUCGAUUUUUCGGUCUACUACCGUGUGAUGCCGUCAUUUGUUUAGUGUGAUUUACAAAAAUAAUAAUUUUAUUAGUGAUGGUAACCUAGUUAAACUAAAACACUUUCCCUAGCUUAAUUAGCCAAAAAACAAGGCCAGUCAACAUGCGUGGAUGCCACAGUGACCAUCUUCCCUAGAAAUGUUUUGUCUCAUCACAAGCAGUGAUGGGCAUGUUGAUGGUUCAAGUGAUGGCAACAGGAAUGCAAUUGCUUUCCAAAAUCAUAUUGAAUAAUGGAACAUUUGUGCUUGCACUUAUGACCUAUAGGCAUAUAGUUGCUGCCGUUUGCAUGGCUCCCUUUGCUUUCUACUUUGAAAGGUAUGUCAUCUUGUCAUCAAUCAAUUUCGUCUCUGUCUUUGACACCAUUUUUCUCAGUUUCUUUUUAUUACUGCUGUGGUUGCAGAGGCAUGAUCAAAAGUAAGAUGAACUGGUCUGUUUUUUUCUGGCUUUUUGUUAACAAAAUACUGGUAGAUAAAACUAAAAUAAAAUAAACUGAAAAAAAUCAAUAUUGAUUUCCUAGACAAUUAAAUAGUGUUUUAGGCGUUGCUAAUAUUUCUUAAAUUAAAUAAUCCUUUUAGUAUUAAAAAUAAGAAUUGAGAAAUAAUAAAGUUUUAAGGAUAAAGGACUCAUCAUUAACAAUAAGAUAAGAUUCAUAUUAUGUUAAAGUAUUUCAACAAGCAAAUAUCUUUCUUAUUUUAAUUUAAACAUGGUUAAUUUUAAUAUUAAUAUGCAUGCUAGGUUUUUUGAUUUUAUAUCAAUUACAAGUUUAAAUAUAUACUUAAUACAAAUGCUAUUCUAUUAUUUUUUAUUUUUUGUGUUGAAAGCAAAACUACUAAUGAAAAAUUACGAUUGGUUGAAUUUAAUGAGAGAAAGACUUUGGUAUGCUGAUCACACAAAUGAGAAGAAGAGGAGGGAGGAGGAGUAAUUUGAGGAGAAUAUUGAAGAUGAAAUUGUUGAAUGGAAAUGGAAGAGAAACAAAUUGAGAGAGGCACAGUGAAAACCCCUUAGAAAUUGAGAGAGGCAAUAUUAAUUUAUGGAAAACAUUGAUAUACUGAUAAAUUGAGUGAAAACUGAGAGUUUUUCCAAUAUUAAAAAAAAAAAAGCCAAGCACUCACGAGUUUUUCCAAGCUUUCAACCCAAAUGCAGGGAACUGAGAAAAUCCACAUUUUUCUCCACCAGAAUAGAACCACUGAAAGAAAGCCCACAGGAAACUUAAUGAAAAGAACAUGAACCCAUGCACCUGUUUCCUGCAAGGUAAUGGUUUUCUUUUUUGAGUUGUUUCGUACUCAACUUCUAUCUAGUGCUAAAUCAGCAAGAAUCGGGAACAAGACUCAUGCUUACCUAGCCAUCUUGUCUCCUGUAGGAGUGUGGAACCCAUUGAUGAGAACUGCAGUUGCAGUUCCACUUGGAUAACUCAAUUUGUAAUCUAUUAUCAUGAUCUGGGGCACCAAAAAAUGCAUGAUCAGAGACCAAUUCAAGCUUCAUAAGUAACAUACAGAAGAAGUCGAGAUCACUGUCGGUUAAGAUUCAAAUGAAGUUGAAAACUUGCAAUCAUCAAUUCAUGAAGAUUUACCUCUAGAACACCAGCACUAAUAAAACAUAAACAAUCGAUUCAUCAAGAAAAUUGAAGAAAACAUAUUACCUUUCGCAGAGGAACUAGAGCAAGUAGCCCAACGAAGCUGCUUACAAAGAGGAAACCAGUCAUCCAACCAAUCCCAGGUUCCUUGGUGCUCCCAGGAGUAUUCCCCUCUGUAUCAACCCCAGCUUGCUCAUAUGUCUUCCUAUUCAAACCCAGUAGAUAAGAUCCAAAACCACCUGCAAUUCAAUAAACAAAUCACAAUUCGGAACACAUUAAAAAGAUUAGCAAAACUUGUUCAAAAUAUAAACAACACAUGAGAUCGAAGUCUCAAACCUCCAACAGCAAUGCUAUAACAAACAACACAUGAGAUCGAAAACAAAUAUUUAUUGCAUAAUAUUAAUAAAAAAUAAAUAUCCAUUAUAAAAUAUUAAUGGUGACAAAAAUAUAACAUAUCUAUUAUUUUACAAGUUAGACUUGAAGGAAUUUCAGAGCAGCGUACCGGAAAUUAAAGAAAAUAUUUAGUGAAAGUUUAGGAAUAACAUUACUGAACCAUUACCGGAAAACAGAGCCCUCAAGAUUGGAGUUUCAAGGUUCUUGCGUACUAAAAGAUUUUUGUUUUCCACCAUCAACAAGGGAAAACCAAUCUUCAUCUGCUCUGUCCUUUUCCUCCUUGACCUCCAAGUCUUCGCAACCAUACAAUUAUUCAAUAUGGAACUGCAGGUUGAAUUAUUCAAUUGCAAAUAUUUCCAUACAAUUAGGUCCCUUUGUUCACUAUGCAAGAAUGUUGGAAACACGGCAAUUUUAAUUUCCAAAAUUGACAUCUUUCCAGCAAGUCUACGUGCGUGCACUUUGUGCUCUAAUUAUAACUCCCUUUUGUGUCUCGUCUGAUGACAACUGUUUUUUUUUUUUUUUUUGUUGAAAUCGAGAAUAGAUAUAAUAUAAAAAAGAAAGAAUAAACAGUGCGAGCAGGGCUUUAGCUUUAGCUACAUAAAUUGUAGCCUAGGCAUCAACCUACAUACAAUAAAUGAAUACAAGAAAACCUAUAACCCUACUAUCAGUCCAAGCAAAAAACAAACCCACACUAAAUCAAAAAUUAAGCAGACCAUGCCGAAAUGCAUUCAUGAUUCCUGUAUAGAUCGGCACCAGUAUACCAAAAGGAAGAGUUGAGAUUCCUGAUCCAUCCUGCAGCAAAGUAAAACAAAAGCCAUAGGAUAUCUUUCCAUAUUGGCUUUUGAUCCUCAAAUAUCAAGUUGUUCCUAGUAUUCCAUAUAGUCCAGACAAUGUUAAACAUAAAGCCCCCCCAAACAGAUCUUUCAAACUUACAGUGAUUGCCCUGCAAAAGACCCAGCCAUUGACAUUGAAGGUCGUCAAGGCCAUAUGGCAUUACCCAACUCAAACCUCUUCAAUCUACAAUUUUGUUCCAUAGUUUCCAAACCACUUGGCAAUGCAAGAGGAUGUGGGAUACAGAUUCUGAAUGUUGCUCACAAAAAGGACACUUGUCUUCCUGAGGGCUUAGAACAUGCCUCUUCACCAGGAAGGCUCUUGUGCAAAGGCCUUCAUUUAAGGCUAGCCAUAAAGUCAUUUCUGUUUUUGGAGGGCAAAUGGAUUUCCAUACAUUUGUGACAUAAGUAGGAGAACCAACAUACCUGAUUCUUUCAAGGGAAAGCAUACAAGAAUUGACAGUAUAAUCUCCGUCUUUCCCCCACUCCCAAAUCAACUUGUCUUCUUUCAAUCGAUGAAUAGCUGCAAGAUUAAGAUCAGACAUUAAGCUUUGAACCAUCAGGGUCUUACUAGCUUUGAGGGGCCUUCUCCAUUUCAGAUUCCAAUACCAAGUAUCCUCUAACCAGUAUCCCAUCUGACUAACAAACCCUGAUUUGGAGGAGGAUAGGUGGAAGAGGGUCGGGUAAGAAUUAGCUAAGCAAAAGCCAGUCAACCAAGUAUCUAACCAAAAUUUAACAUGAUUACCAUUACCCAUUUUAAGUGUACAAGCAGCUCGAAUAAGAGAGCUAUCAAGAUCCAAGCUAGUAAUAGUAGAGCUGAUUCCUCGCCAAAUCCCUGAAAGUUUUUUCUUGAACGUGGGCAUCCCAUUUAUAAACUAAGGUCUGUAUUUUGCUUUAAUAAAAUCUGCCCAACUAGCUUUAUCAUUGCUUCCUAAUUUUCAAAUCCACUUGAAGAGGAGAGCUUUGUUCUUUGCUGAAAUAUUCCCAACGCCUAGACCACCCAUUUUCUUUUCUUUUGUCAUUGUAUCCCAAGCAAGCCGAUGAAUUUUCCUGUUAUCAACACUCCCACCCCACAAAAACCGAGCCUGCAUGGAUGUGAUCUUGCGUGCCACUGUCUUCUUGGAGACUUCUACCCCUCUAUGCCUGGUUUUUCUUGGUAUCAUUGCAUCUUUGAAGUUUGGUUUUCCUUACAAUUUACUUUAUCUUUCAUUAGAUUUCUCUACAUUGUAAGAAAUAUUUUUUAAGUGGAUCAUAUGCCAUGUCAUGUUUUCAAAAUAAUAUUAAUUGUGUAUAUAUUAUAAAAUUUAUAAAUGAUAAUUAAAUGCUUGGAGUCCAUUGCUCUCGAAUGAUGAACCAAGUACAAUACAUAAUGGAUGAAAGUGAAAAAAUCAGAUUAAUGAAAGGAUCCCUAUGCAAGCCAUAUUAAAUAUUACGUAAUGUCAUGUAACCUCCAUCAAAAUAUAGAAAAUUUAAAGUUUGGUAUUGACGGUUCAAUCAUAGUAUGGGCUAAAUCCACUCAUUUGACAUGUGUUGAUCAUAAUACAAAUAAUAAAAAAUAAUUAAGUCAUAAAUACAAUUAAAAUUAUAGAGAUUAAAUGUAUGGUUUGCAAAACUACGUACUAGGAUUAAGUUAUAAUUAACUCAAAUAAAAAAGAAAUUUAUGCAAAGGCUCGGGUUCCCUAGGUUUCAAGGACGAAGAAGUGCUUUUUAGGACCCGUUGAUAGAAAACUGUAUAAAAGUGAUUACAAUUACAGAGAGAAAAAAAAGAGUAAGAUUUUAGAAGAAUUAGUGAAUUAAAAGAGAAGGAGGAGGAGUGAGAAAUGGUGGAUUGGUAAUUUAGAAGAAUUAAAUGCCAAUAACAGUUUAAUCCUCGGAACUAGGAGACGAUAAUGCAUUAAUCGAGAUUAAGUUGUGUCUUUUUCCAUCAAAUAGCUAGUCCGCUUGGCAAGAACACAAGUAUUAAAAAGAUUAGCAAAACUUGUUCAAAAUAUAAACAACACACGAGCACAAGUUUGAACUAUGGUAUUCUCUUGUCGGGUAAAGGGAGUGGUUACAAUUCCAGCCUUUGAGAGGAGCUUAGUCCAUGUUCUGAGGAACAUAAAUGCAAGAAGACCAGUGGUGAGAUUCAGCUUCAUGACUAUAACACUGUAUAUGAUCCCAAUUGCUAUGCUAGCAACAAUUCCCCUAACUGUAAUCUGUUUAGUCCAUGGAGCAAUCCUCUUGAUAUCCAUGUUCAUAUUCAUCACAAUCUUCUCACCAAUACAAUCAACAAACCAAACUCAUCAUCUUGAAUCCAAUAGAAUGAUUUAUAGAAGCUAAACCACACAUCAAGAAAAUCUGAUAAAACUACAAAAAAUAAAAAAUUGAAUAAAACAAACGUCAUGAAUUAUAUUACCUUAUAAGCCUCCUCCUUUUUCUUGCUCCUCUUCUUCUUUCGACCACAGCUUCAAAAAGCACCCGAAGAAUCCAACUUCCUCAGUCAACUACUAACAAGUCUCCAUCAAUCAAUACAAGUAGAUGCAAGAGCAUAUAGCUUCCUUCAGAAAGACAACAAAACAUUCAAAUCAACACAUGGGCAAGGGCCAGCCUCUAAGUUGACUUAAGGAAACUCUCCAAGAAAAACAGACGGCAGCAGACGAACUUGAUUCGAGGCCUUCAAGAAAAGCCCAAAAACCAUAAAUAUUGCUUCUUCCAAAGCAAUAAUCAAGAGCAUUAAUUGUCAGGCCAAGAGAACAAAAACCCAAGCUUCUUAUAUGGCAACAAAACACAGCAAUUGUUUUUCUUAUUUAUACUAAAUUUAAGCACCACCAGCCCACCAACCAGCAUUUUCUAUGUACUGCAAAGAAGUACAAGGCAAGGCUGCGUUGUAGUACAACACUCAUCAGAACUCCAACGAUGGCUGCUAUACAUUUGAACAGAUGUCAGGUUCAUAAAUUUGAUCCUCGUCUCGUUGACUUAUUACCACCACUUUUCACGCUCUCUUCAUCCUUGUAGUACAGAUAUAGAGAGAAGAAAAGUGGGUAAACUUUUCUGAACAGUAGCUUUGCCACUAUUUUUAUGCUAGAACUGGUAAACUUCCAAAGGGUAUCAACUCUUUUUUUGUAACUCUGAUUCCGAAAUCAAAGGAGCCGAGCAGAUUCUCCCAUUUUCGUCCGAUAAGCCUGAUUCACGGGCUAUACAAAAUAGUGGCAAAGCUACUGUCCACUAGGCUUCGUCAUGUCAUGACAGAUGUGAUCAGUGUUAACCAGUCUGCAUUUAUUGCUGGGCGUCAGAUUCUAGACGGGUUCAUGAUAGCAAAUGAGGUUGUCCAUGGUGUGCGCAGCAAGAAGAAGCAUGGCCUCUUAUUGAAGGUAGAUUUCCAUAAAGCCUUUGACUCAAUUUUAUGGGAACAUAUUGACACAAGUAUGGGAUACAUGGGUUUUGGCUCACACUGGAGGAAGCUGAUAUUCGAAUGCUUAUCCACUUCAAAAUUAGUCAUCUUGAUAAACGGUUCUCCUAGUAGAGAAUUUAGUUUGGAGAGGGGUCUCAGGCAAGGGGACCCACUCUCUCCAUUCCUAUUUGACAUUGCAGUUGAGGGAUUGACAGUUUUAUUCAAUAGGGCAUCAGCUUCAGGUUACUUCAAAGGCUUACAGACUACCCCAGGUCAUUACUUAACUCAUUUGCAAUAUGCCGAUGACUCUCUGAUUUUCUUGCCAAAUGAUUUUCCCUCUCUUCUACAUGCCAAGAGGAUUCUACGUUGGUUUGAGAUCAUUUCGGACUGAAAGUUAACUUCUAUAAAAGCUCACUAAUAGGUAUCAACUUGGACAACGACUACACCUCUAGCCUGGCGAACUCAGUUUUCUGUCGUAGUGAUACUUUCCCGGUUAGGUACCUUGGACUACCUCUUGGAGCCAAUCCCAGCAGACUCUCUACUUGGAAACCAGUGUUGUCCACUAUCAGAGCAAAGCUACUCACAUGGAAAGGGAAUUUUUUGAGCAUGGCGGGAAGGUUAUGUCUAAUUAAAUCAGUCUUGAGCUCUCUUCCUCUGUUUUACAUGUCAGUUUUUGCUAUGCCAAAGGGUGUUACUAAAGCCAUCUCUUCUCUAACCCGGUCUUUCCUUUGGAAAGGAAGCUCAACUUCUCAUGGCCUUUUUAAGGUGGCUUGGCACAAGGUAAUAAAGGAUAAAUCUUCUGGUGGUCUCGGGCUGGGAUCCAUCCACAACAAAAAUCUGGCUUUGCUCUUUAAAUGGCUAUGGAAUCUAGACAAUGGAGUGGCAGGAGGCUGGCAAGAACACAUUCUUCUAAAAUACCGACCUCACUUUAUAAAUGGUAUCCCUGAGUUUGCAGGUUCUUUAUCUCCAACUUGGCAUGGCAUUGUUUCGGCAAUCUUCUCAACACAAAACAUAGCCAAUCUUUUACAUGCAAAUGUCGGGUUCAAGGUGGGUGACGGGAGGAACAUCCGGUUUUGGACUGACUCUUGGCUCGGCUCUGCAACCAUCUCCAGCUCUUAUUCCCCAGACUUUAUAACCUCUCCUUGCAGCAAAACACCAGCCUUGCAGAUAUAUACAAUUUGACAGAUGCAUCUUUAAACCUUCCUGGAGAAGAACCCUUCGGCCUCGUGAGAUCUGCCAAGGGAGAGCUUGAUCGCAGAGGUGCAGCGUGGUCUCCUUUUCUCAGAUGGUGCAGACUGCAAGUUAUGGAAAUUCCACAGCUCUGGCAUGUACUCAGCUCAAUCAGGUCGCCUCUUCUUUGAUAGUCUAUCGGCCACUGAAAAUAAUCACUCCCUACUCUGCUAUGGAAUGGUUAUGCCCCCCCAAAAGUGGAUGUGUUCAUUUGGCUUCUUCUUCAUGGAGGUUUGAGUACAAGAAGUUUUUUAGCUGAGAGGAGAAUCAUAAAUUAUGAGGAAUCUCACUGCCCAUUCUGCUGCAAGGAAACCGAGAUAAUUAAUCAUCUUUUCCAUUGGUGUCCUAUAACAUGGUCUCUUUGGGGUCGUUUCUUGAAAUGGUUCGGGUGCUCAGGUUGUCUGCACAAAGACCCAAAUCAAAAUCUACAGGAAUGGUCCGGAUUGAUUAAUGGAAAAUUUCAGCGACGUGCUAUUACCCUCCUCUGUAAAGGUCUGUAUUGGUCAAUUUGGAUAGCGCGCAACCGCCUAAUCUUCGAAUCCAAGGCUCCUGAUUGGGAUAUGAUUUUUGAUCUCACUUUUCACCGUUUGGCUUUCUGGUUGAAGUCCUCAGUUACAAAUUUCAGCUAUACAGGCUCAGAUCUUUUUAGAAAUCCUGAAUGUAUUAUGAACUGGACUAACUAAUUAAGUCCCUCAUCACUUUGGUCUUUUCUUUCUUCAUAUUUCCAUUGUAUUCUAUCUUUCGUUCAGCCCCACUUACUUGAUGGGGCUGCUUAUUUAAUAUAUAAUUAUCUCGUUUACUAUCAAAAAAAAAAAAAAAAAUGUGGGCAAUCGUAAGCAUAAAAUUGCUUAAAGUGAAAAGCAAGAAAUGGAACUGCUAACUGGGAACUGGCGACUUCACUUGAAAGCAAGCUUGUCAAUUCUAUUCUGGUAAGUGUUUUGUUUUUUUAAUUAAAAUAGAAUAUUUUAGUUUUGAAACGUUUGAGCGUACCGUUUCGGGGUUGUACUGUUCAUAUAUAUAUAUACUGUUCAUAUAUAUAUAUAUAUAUAUAUAUAUAUAUAUAUAUAUAUAUAUAUAUUCAUCAAACAUAAUUCAAAUUUAAGAUAAAUUAAUUAUAAAUUAUGCAAUACAAACACAAUACUAAACAAAUAUAAUUUCAAAAUUUAAAAUAUUUUUAAAUAGUAAAGAUUAAAUAGAUAUUUAACUUAAAGUACUUCAACUUAAAUAAAAUAUCAAAAUAUUAUGAAAGUAAAAUGUUUUAACAAAAAUAUUUUAAAUAUAAAGUUAGGUCAAUGUUAUCAAGUGGCUAAUAGAAUCUGAAGCAUCCCUUGUUUUACUUAAAUUCCUACAAGGUCUAAACAUGAAAAAAAAUAACAUGAAUAUAAAUCAUAUAUAUUAGUGAUAAAUCUAAUUUUAAAAAAUUAAUAUUAUUGUUAAUGAAAAUAGUAAUAAUAAUUUUCAACAUUAUUAUUAAUAUCAUUGCUAUUGAAAAUAGUAAUGAAAAAGAGCUUUUUAUAAUCGGGUGGUUUAAUUAAUGAAAUUGAGUAAAGUUCAAUUUGAUUCAAUGGCUUUUCAAGAGCGGAACGGAACAUGUGGAAUGAAAUUGGAACGUUUCGGGCGGAAUUUAACCGAAAAAUCCGGAACGGACCGAGAUUUAAAAUAAGAUGAAAUUUGUUCCGUUUUGUUCCGUUUUUUGAAUUGGUAUGGAAUGUUUCAGCCAUUUCAAACGGAACAGAACGGAAUUGACAACCUUGCUUGAAAGUGCCUUCCCUUUACAGUCAAAACAUGUGUAUGGCAAGUUAAAAGUGGAUCUUGAUCCCUCUACUCUUAUUUCCCUUAAUUUAUCACCUUCUAUCUUGAUAUCACUCUCUUUAUUAUAUUCUUUAUUUUAGUCAACUGUAGCCUAGCCGUGAGACACCUCAAUCCCAACCUAACUUGUUUGGAUUAGAACCCAAAGACUGCUUCGUUAAAGAUUGAUAUUUAUUUAAUCAACUAUUGUACUAUACUAGGCAAUGACGUCGUUUAAUACUAAAAAAGUAAACAUUUUCAAUAGGAUGUUCUCUUAUCCCACGCAUAAGAAAAAAAAAAAUGUCACGAGAGAUUAAUUGUUAAGGGGUUAUAUUGAAGAAAAAAUAGUAUGAGGAUCAAAUUAACAUAGAGUGUAUAGUGGAAGGAUAAAAAAGACAACAUUAGCAAGGCGUGUGGCCAAAACAUGUCAAAGUCAGUUAAGAAGAGGAAAAAGGCCAAUUUUGAGGCCAAUAAUAUAGAAAUCUAAAAAAAAAACGAUAGAUGAUUGAUGUAAGAAAGAGAUAUGAUACGGAUGGUGGGGUGGGCCUCCGAAAUGGUGGGGAUGGUAUUCAUUGAAUGCCGAUUUUAUCAACCUUUAGAUGGGAUAACUGUUUCUGACCAUUAAUUUCUAGUUUAUAAAAUGAUGUGAUAAGAAUAGUUAUGUUAAAAAAAAUUGUGUUUUGAAUUUUAAAAAAAAAUAAGUUUUUUAUGUUUUAAUAUAAAAAUAAAUUUUGAAAACUAAAAAAAUAUAUAAAAUAACUAUUAACAUAAUAAUAGACUGGCAAUGACAUAGUUUUUUAAAUAUGAUUCUUUUUAUGCUACUUGAAAUUUAUGCAUGUUCUCUAUUUUAAAAAAUAAAAAUAUUAUUUAAAUAUAUUUUUAAAAAUAAUUAUUAUUAUAAUAUCAAACAUGUAUUGAUAUUGAUCUUGCUAAAUUUAAGAUAAUAUUGUUUCAAGAUUGUUUUUAUAGAAAAAAGUUAAAAUGUUAUCAAUUUAACCGGAUUGAGUUUAAUAUCUAUAAGAAAUUAUUUUUAGUAAAUUAGAGUAGGUCAUAAAAAUUUAGUCUAUUGGUAGAUGGAAUAAACUACACAUGAAUUUAUAAUAUGAUUGAUUUACUUCAUGUAAUUUAAAUUAAAGAAAAAAAACAUACAAUUCCUCUGCCUCAAAAUAAAUGAAAACAAAAAUACAAACGAAUUAUUGAAUUUUCAAGUGAUUUUAUUGUUCCUAUUUUGAAACUUGAAAUGUAAUAAUUCCUCAUCUAAUUUUUUAAUCGGGUGCAAUAAUUUAUUAUUUAUCACUUAGUUUACAAAAUAAAAUAAAACAUUUAUUUCAAAGCGUUGAUUUAGUAAUUAAUCCAAUUGUUUUCUACUGUGAUCACUUUGAUUCUGGGAUUGAGAGUGAUAAAUUAUCAUCGAAUUAAUUUUGAAAAUUAUCAUCGAAUUUAUCUAAAAAGGGAAUUACUUAGCGUGAGUAUCUCUCUUAUCAAGAUUGAUAGUUACGUGCAUUAGGGGAACCCUUUCGUCAUAGCACAAUCGUUCUUUUGCACCAAAAAGUCAUCAAAAAAUUAUUCCAAAACAAACACCACAGACACCAACCCACCCUCCAAGAAGCAAACAAUUUUGCUGAAAGGAAUAUGCAAUAAAUAUCUCCGUUUAAAUCACCUUAAUUCAGUGGAAAAUUAUGUGCGCCUUAUUUGUACAUUAAGCUAUGUGCAUGCAUCAAAGUGUGGUUUGAUUUGAUUAACUGCUUGACAUAAAUAAAAUGAAAAGAGUUCUUUGGCAUUUUUUAGAUGAAAAAAAAAUUACAAUGUUAUGAUAUUUGUUUUUCUCUGACCCAAGUUUUGUGGAUAUGAAGCAGUGAAGAUGUUGAAGUUACAUCUAGACUGCAAAAUUCAACUCCUUGGUUAUUAAAACUUAAAACUUGGUAAAAAAAUCUAGAUUACGAGUUAAGCUCUAUUAAUUAAAAUAAUAUUAUUUUAUUUUUUAAAAAUUAAAUUAAAUUUUAACUAAAUCAACUAAAUCAUGAACUAAUCAGUUUAAUAGUUUAUUACCAAUAAAUUAUGCCAUUUUACAUUUACUUAUUUUUUUGGGAGUAAGAACUCAAUUUUGAAAGGGACGGUGAGUUUCAGUUUUGAACUUUAUUUUUACCUUUUAUUGGAACUCAAUAUUGAAAGGGACGGUUAGUUAUAGUUUUAAUUCUAGGUGGGCUCGAUUGGAUGAGUUAUAGCAAGGUUGUCAAAAACAUUUUUUUGACACGACACGGAACAUACAAUAUAAACUCGACUCGUAAACUCGAAUCGUAAAAUCGUAAAAUCAAAAGUAAAAUUUUUUAACUAAAAAUCGUAAAAUCGCAAGUAAAAUAUUUUAACUAAAAUCGUAAAAUCGCAAAAUAAACAUAUUGCCACUUGUAGUUUUUUUAGAAGCCAUGUAUCCUACAAUUCAAGAAUCAUUUGUAUAAGCCAACACAAAGAACAUAAUAUUUAGCAUGCAGUUAAGGCCUGGAAUUGAUGAGAUGAUUCUGUUCCCUGCAGCGAAAGUCUUAGCCUAAGGGGCAUUAAUCAAUAGAGAUCUGUGUAUAGGCAGCUCACUCUCAAUUCUCAAAGCAUACGUGGGUAAAAUACCUUUGCAAAAUAUAGCUACGCAAGAGUUCAAAACAACAACAAUCAAACUUAAUUUUAUCAUCAAAUUCAAAACAACUUAGUUAACUAACCGGGACCAUCUAUAAAACCGAAAAAAAUACACACUUCACUCACAGAUUCACAGAUUCACAGAUUGCAGAAUUACAUAAUCUGCAACACCGCAAGCAAGAUCAAACUGAAAAAAAUUCACACUUCACACUUCACAGCAUGCCCAUUGCCCAGAUCAAACCGAAAAAAAUUCCCCGGACAGAAGCAAACCACUUAAUUGUAGAAUACCCAGAAGGGCCAGAACAUAAACAUGGAUUCACAAUUUCACAGCAUACCCAAAUCACAGCAUACCCACCAUUAGACAGAAAAUAACAAAGCUUGGGAUGGGAUUGAGAAUCAAUGCUUACCUUCGUCUCGCCAAGAACAGAGAGGGGACGAUUGGCGAAGUCUGGGUCCUCUGGGACUCUAGACUCUGGAGUCAAGGAGGGUAUGAGUCUGUGAGACAAGGAGUCAGGUUUAUCGAAGAUCCAACUACACUCUCCUUAGCCAGCAGGUAGAAGAGCAACAGCAAGCAGCGGCAGCAUACUACGAGUCGUCUCUCUCAGGUGACUCAAAAAACAACAAACUAACAAUAAAGCAAGAGAGAAGCUUCGUGGAUUGGGAGUCGGAUCAUAGAUCAAUAGCAAAUCAACAGCAAGGAAACAGUAAUCGAAUUGGUUUGUAUCCAUCCUCUGCAGCGAUCGGGUUACAAAGGCAAUCGAGCGGGAGUAGUUUCGGAGAGAGUUCGUUAUCGGGAGAGUAAUCGAAUUGGUUUGUUUCAUUGCUAAAUGCUAAUUUCCAUUUAGUUCCCGUGACUGUGAGCCCAUGCGUGACAUUUCAUUUAACUCGUGAAAACGUAACGGUUUUAACGUUUUUUGCGAGUUGAUCCGAUUUUUUGCGAGUUUGACUCGGUUUUAUGCGAUUUUAAUGGUUUUCGAGUUUUGCUUCCGUUUCUACACGUUUUGCUGGUUUUAACUCGUAAAAUCGUACGAUUUUACGAGUUAAAACGCAUUUUUAACAACCAUGAGUUAUAGUUUUAAUUCUAGGUGGGCUCGAUUGGAUUUCUUUGUUAAAAAAAACAAUAACAUGAUCAAUAUCUUCAAAUCAACAUUAGUGAUGUUGAUAUAAUUAACAUUUUUUGUACAAUAGGAUGUUUUGAUAAGCUUUUGAUUGCACUAAAAAAAUUACAUCCAUGUUCAGAGUACUGAUAUAUUUUUUAAGAAAUUAAUUAUUUUGUCCAGAGGAUUCGAGCAUUAAAAUAUAAAAAUAUGGAAGAUACUUAAUAUUUACCAACAAAACUAAGCCUGUGAGAGUUCACUUCAUACGAAUAGAUAUCUAUGUUGACAAAUUAUUUGCCACUUGAAGUUGAAGAUCAUGGCGUUUAAAAUGAAAUUAACGCAUUAUAAGCUAAUUAUAGCUAAUUAUGUGGAUUCCAACUCAUAAUUAGUUUCAUGUUAGGAGCGUGAUUCCAUGUUUUACUUAAGAAACAUUGAUUUGCACUUAUAUGCCACUUGAAGCUGAAGGCCUUUGCAUUUAAAAUUAGGUUAAUGCAUGUGGUGAGUAAGCUAUUAAUUUAUUGUGGUUUCCAACUUCAAAAUUCGAGAAUCAAUUAUAUUGUGGGUUAGUGAUAAAAUUUAAAAGAAGGAGCAUUCUUGAUUUCUUUCAUGUUAAAAGCAUUAAUUACAUGCCCUGCUUUAAAAAAAAUCAUGAUUAAUUUGCUAUACCAUAUUUGUUUUAACAAAAAAAUAGAGUGAAUCAUGCAUUGCGUGAAUAAAUAUAACUAACAUUUCAAACCUAUGUAUUUCGUAUCAAUACGUUAAAUAAAGAGUAUAGAUUAUAUCUCAUUUAGUUUAUAACUAGAUAUGUUGUCGGUAACAAUUUUUUUAAUAUAAAAAAAAUGAUAGAUUAAAAAAAUCCAACAAUAACAACAAAUAAACUGACAACAAAAAAAACAUAUAUGAGCCUAUUUGGAUUACUACACAACCCAAUGUUAACCUAACUGAAUAAAAAAAGAAAGAAAAAGAGAGUCAAACUUUAAAAAAAAAAUAACAAAUAACAAAAAAUAUUGACUAAAAAAAAAGGAUAAAAAAAUCAAGCAAACCUAUGCUUGAAAUAUCGCAAUUAUUGCAAACAAAAAAAUUAGGACCAAACUUGCAGAUGAAAAAAUCAUAGGGUGUGAAAUUAAAAUUUUUUUGUAAUAUGAUAGAAUAUUUAUAGAUUUAAAAAUGGUGGGGGUUAAAUAUAAAAAAAAUUAUCGAGGGCUAACCCUAUAGAAUCAAACAAAAAAUAAAUUAAAAUAGAGAAUUAUACAAAAAACAAAUAUAAAAAAAAGUUUUAAAAGAGGAUAAAAAAUAAGACAACAUCAAUUUAGAAAAAGAAAAAAAAAGGUAAAUCUCUUAAACCUGAUUUAAUAUCUAAAAGUCGCAUCCUUUGAAAUGUUUUACCCAGAUUCAAUAAAAAAACAUAAUUUUCAACCAAUUUAAUUUUGAAAGAUGAAAUCGGUAGAAAAAUAUUAAUAAAAAAUCUCCAAAAAAAAAACAUUAAAUAUGAAGAAAAAUUUGAUAGAAAAAACCUAAGAAUGAUGCAAUUUAAUGAAAAAAAAAAAAACAUAAUCCAAAAUAAAAUAAAUAUCAAUUAAAAGAAUAAGAACCAAAUUAUAAAGAUUAAGCAAAAAUCAUAGGUGGUGAAAUUGUAAACAUAUAUAAAAACUAAGUAAACCCGAGCAACAUCCUCAAUAUGGUCAAAUCUUAAAAAGCUUGCAGCCUAUGAAACCCUGAAUCCGGAUUCUAUCAAUAAAUUUAUUACAAGCCGAUUUAAAAAUAUAAAUUUUAAAAACUUAUCAAAAAAAAAAAACAAAACAAAAAAAAGCUUGGAGCGAAACUGACUGUCAGCUCAAGUAAACAAAUCAAACAUACGGUUUAGGAUAUGAAAUUAAGAUGACUCUAUAAAUAGAAAAGCUAAAAAAACACUAACAACAAACAUAUUAAAUCAGGCUAAUCCUUCAGAUCUAGUACCUAGGUCAUGAGAUUGAAAUGACCACAUCAAAGGCAUACUUGAUAAAACAAAAAAGCAAGAUUCUUCAUCAAACAAAUAUUGAAUGAUGAAACUGAGAAAAAAAAUAAACCAAAAAAACAUUGUAAAAUAAAAACAAUAGCAAUAAAAAAAAUAGAACUAAAUUUUACAUAAAAAUUAAAUGAAAUUAAAUAUUUAGGAAAAAAUCAAAUCAAAUAUUUAGGGAUGAAAUUGUAAAAAACAAAUUCAUUAAGAAAAUGAUUUAAAAAAUAGCAAUUUAAAAAAUUAAGACCAAAUUUGACAUAAAAAUUAAAUAAAAUUAAAUACCUAGAGGUGGGAUUAGAAAAGGAUAAAUCAAUCAAGAAAAGAUUAAAAACAAAACAAAUAAAAAUUAAAUUAAUGAGUACCAAAUUUGAAAAAAAAAUCAAAAAAUCAAAUGACCACAGAUAAAAUCAAGAAUAAAAUUUAAUUAUAAAUAAUAAAUAUAAAUAAAACAAUUGCAAAUAAGAGAAAAGAGACUGAAUCAGAAGAAGAAAUAAAAUGAAGGGCUAGUAUGCAUUUUUUCCUAGUAUGAAUUUUUUCAUGGCCAGCACACAAUCUAAAAAAGAAAGAAAGAGAAGGAAAAUAAAAAAAAUAAAUAAAAGUAAUUUCAAGCUAAAUCACAUUGAACCACUAUAUAUGUGUCAUCCAGAGAGGAAAAGGACGCUGGAAUGAAUUAAAUGAUGUGGCAGAAUCAUGGUUACAACUAUAUGAGCCAACCGCACGCGCCGCCAAAAGGUGGUGGAGCAGCUAACUUGUGCGAGACAUGUGUCAAUUGCUGUUUUGUUUUAUAUUUUUUUUGUGAAAAAAAAUGAAAAUGUCUUUUGUACUAAAUAAUAUUAACAAACAAAUUAUGGUGAAACUACAACUAAGCCCCUGUAGCUAAAGUUAAAAAACUCAAAUUGUAAGGACAAUGUAGUAAUUUAAUUGUGCUUUUUAAAUGUGAAAAUACAAAAACGCUCUUAUGCAAAAAGCAUUGAAUAAUUUUAUUCAAGAGUUACAUUAAUAAAUUUUCUAUGAAUUUAAAAAUGCAAUUACUGAAAUAACCCUAUAUAAUCGUUAAAAGAUAUUUAUGUUAUGGUAAAAGGAUUGCCUUACCCUCGAAGUAAAGACAAGAUAAAAUGACCACGAAACAAAAUAAUAAUUAUACUAUUGUAAUAAAUAAUAAUUUAUAUCUCGGGACAUAAUAAUGUCAGUAAGGGGUUUAAUGUUUUGGAUAAUUCUAUAAAUAUUCAAGUAUACAUGUUAUGCUUGUAAAAAACAAUAGAGAUAGCGGGGCCAAAUGAUAUAUGUCUCCUUAUACUCUUUUGUUUUAAAAAUAUAUAAAUUCAUUCUAGAAUUAUUCUAAAAUUGAUUUAUUUUAUAUCUUCUUUUUAUCCUCCAAUGAAACAAGUUUUAAUCUCUUCUAAAAAACUAUAUAAAAAAUACUAACCAAACAUUACCUUGUUUCCUUGUGUAAAUAUUAAUAAAAAAAUGUUAAAUAAAUGAUAAAUGGUAUAAUAUUUGUUUUUCUUUGAGAUCAAGUUGUUCAAAGAAAAUAGAAAAGUGUGGGUUGAAUCCCAGGACCUCUUGGAAAGUCCAUUGUAUUUUUUUAUAUUAUUUAUAAUCUAAUUUCUAUGAAAUUCUAGAAAAUUUUAUAGCACCAUAAAUAAUAUACAUUUAAUUGGAUUUGGAUAAUAUAGCCUCUUUUAUUGAAAUUAAAUCUCUCCUUAUAUUAUUUCUUUUCAUAAAAGUAUUAUUAUUAUUAUUGCUAUUAUUAUUGUUAUUUUAUCAUAGGACUUUGAAAAAAACUUCAUUACACGUAGAAGUAGAAAGUAGAAAGAAGGUUUAAAGGAUAUUUGAAAGGGUGAUAGUGAUUACUUUUCAAAGUAAUUUUUAUUUUAAAAAAUAUUAAAAUAAUAUUUUUUUUUAUUUUUUAAAAAUUAUUUUUGACAUCAACAUAUGAAAAUAAUUUUAAAAAAUAAAAAAUAUAUUAAUUUGAAGCAAAAAAAAUUUAAAUUUUUUUAAAAACACUUUCGAAACACAAUGCUAAACAUGGUCUUAGCUUUGCCCUGUUUGUUUUUACGUUUCAAAAGUAUUUUUAAUUUUUUUUUAAUUUUUUUACUUUAAAUUAAUAUUUUUUUAAUAUUUUUAAAUCAUUUUAAUACAUUAAUAUCAAAAAUAAUUUUAAUAUAUUUUUUUAUAUAAAAUAUUUUAAUAAACAAUACCAAUUACACUCUUAAACAAACUAAUAAUGCUUUACCCCAAAAUCUAGCGUGUCCUUUCCCACCCCAACCCUAACCACCCAUUACAGCCCAAACCCUCACCACCACCACCACAUAAAUUUACAAAACCCCAACACGCCACCCAAAAAGAGCACCAAGCAAAGGAUAUUAUUGUACUUUAAACACAAAUACAAAAUCAAUGAGGGGUUUGUCAGAGACAGUUUUUGCAAGAACCAGUGCAGCUUUAAGCUGUUUGUUAUUGUUUACUGGGCUCUGGAAACCUUACCUGAAUCGCGAAGCAUCAAAGAAAGCCCUUGAACAUAAGAAGGAAAUCGAUAAGCGUUUGGGUCGUCCCUUUAUCCAAACAAACCCUUAUGAGUGGUGUGAGUGUGUCAAAGUUUCUGUUUUUGUUGAAAAGUUUGGAUUUGUUUUUUGCAUUUUUUGAUUUGGGUUUUUUUUAGGGGGGGCUUGGAGGAUCUUGUGAAUCUUGGUUAUAGGGGUCAUUAAUGGAAUAUACGGUUUGUUUUGGUUUAUUGUUUUUUGGAGGAUUUUGUGAAUUUUGGUUAUAUGGUCAGUUAAUGGAACGAAGAAUUUUGUGAAUUUGGAUUAUAAGGUUAGUUAAUGGCAUAUAGGUUUUGUUUUUAUUAUGUGUUAUUGUUAUAUGCUUAAAUUGUCAUUUACCUACAAAAGUUGGAAUUUUGUGUAUGAUAGUGGGGUUGAAGUUGAUAUUGCAAUGAGGGAUGUGGGUGGUUUAUUGUAGGGAAUAGGGAUUGGGGGAGGGGGGGUUAAGUGCUUUAGUGUAGAAAGGUGCUUUAAUUAGUGUUUAGGAUAUGGGGAGUGAUUGCUUGUGCCGAAUGAGAUGAGAUUAAGUUUCCAGUUUUGCUGGGAUGAAUGGAGUUGCUUUGUGGUAGUUGAAACUAAGUUCAUUUCAGAUUGAGUUAUUUGUUGAACUUUUGAACUGGUGGGUUGGAGUUUAGGCCUCUAGGUUGUUGAAAAGUUCAAAUUCUUGUGUGACAAUAGAGAUGGGGGCUAUGAGAUUAAGAUUGCGAUGAGGGAUCCUGGUGGUUUAGUGGGUUAUUGUAGGGAAUAGGGAUUGGGGGGGAUUUGAGUGUUUUAGUGAAGAUAGGUAAUUUAAUCAAUUUUUGGAACGUGGGGAGUGACUCCUUAUGCUGAAUAGGGUGUGUUUAAGUUUCCAGUUCUGUUGGGAUGAAUGAAGUUGUUUUGUGCUGGUAGAAACUAAGUUCAUUUCUGAUUGAGUUGUAUAUUAAGCUUUUGUACUGGAGCAUUGGAGUUUAGGCCUUUAGGUCGAUGUUAUAGCAUGCUUGAAUUGUCAUUUAUUUGCAAGAAGUUUGAAUUUUGUGUGAUAAUGGGAUGAGGACCAUGAGGUUAAGACUGCAAUGAGGGAUGUGUGUGGUUUGGUGGGUUAUUGUAGGGUAUCAGGGUGUUUUGGUGAAGAUAGGUGCUUCAAUCAGUUUUGAAGAUGUUGGGGAGUGAUUGCUCGUGCUGAAUGAGAUAUGAUUAAAUUUCAAGUUUUGUUGGAUGGAUGGAGUUAUUUUGGGUUGGUGGAAACUGGAGACCAAGUUUGUUUCUGAUAUAUUGGAACUUUUGCACUGCUGCGUUGACCUCUGGGUUGGUGCUAUAGUACUGUUGUUACAACCAUAGACAAUUAUAAUAUUUCAUGGUGUCUUCAAACGUGCCAUUUUUUUCCAUGCAGUCUAUACUUUGUUGGCUGCUACUAUGCAACAAAUAAUCAGAGUUUCUAAUGUCAACUGAAUACCUGAAAAUAGCCAUCAUAUGGAGUAGAUUUGAGUCUCUGCUAUAUCAUAAACUAAUGGCACAUGAUUAUUAGUUGCAUUUAUGUGAGUCCACCUUUUUUGAAAAUGAUACUACGUGAACACUGAUGGCUGCUAUGUUCAGUAAUAGCCUCCUGCGUGACUGACUGGGACAAGUUCAUAGUUGGAAGAAAUUAAAUUUGAAGGCUUGGUCUUAACCAAUAUGAUUGCUAUAACUGGAAAACAUAGAUAUUACUUCCUUCUAUGCCUGAUGAAUUUUGGAUCAAAACCCAACUUUUCAAUUAUGAAGCCUUCUGAUUGCAAUUGCUAUGUGGAAGAUUUAAACUGCUUUGUAACGAUCAAGCCUAUCCUCUCAACACUAUCCAAUAUGGCCAUGUUCUCAUAUUGAAAAUGUAAUUGAUUGGGAUAGAGGCUUUAUAAUUUAUGGUCGGUUUAAUGGUUUAUCAAUAUGCUGCAAUUGUGUAUUUUUAUUUUUGAAUCAAUUGGAGGAUUGGAAUCUAACAAGCAAGCUUUGUAUGAACUGGUGAUUCUUCCUCUGCGGAAACCUGAGCUCUUCUCACAUGGGAAACUUCUUGGUCCACAAAAGGGGGUAUUGUUAUAUGGACCUCCAGGCACCGGGAAGACCAUGCUUGCAAAAGCUAUUGUCAGAGAGUCUGGAGCUGUUUUUUUAAAUGUGAGGAUCUCUAAUCUGAAGAGCAAGUGGUUUGGCGAUGCACAAAAGCUCUGUGAGUAUAGAUUGCAUUUGAAUUGCCUCUCUUGUGCUGGAGCUUUUUCUUGCAUUUAGCAAAACAAUGAUGAUUUAAAAUUAUUGCCUUUUUAUUCUAAAACUUGCUGUCACCCACUGAUUAUGUUGAGUGAAAUUUAGUUUCACUCUGAUAAUGGAAACAAGGUAGUACUUUGUGAACAUUCAUAACUAAAAUUGAACAUUCCUAACUUGUCCUUGUUGAAGAUCUUUAUUAGCAGCAAGAUUUUGUUGGAUGCUCUAUUAACUUUUAAAAACAGGGCACUGUAGCUUGUUUAUCUAAUGGAUCUUACUCCGAUAAAUGAGGUUGUGAAAUGAUCAAAAUAUUGGUAUUUUUGUUGCUGUGUGGUAUUUCUAUAUAUCUUGUAUCAGGGAUAUAACAAGAGUAAUGAUUGGUUUAUAUUCUUGUAAUUGUGAAAGUGGUCAUUACUGUAUGUUGCAACUACAUCUUUGUGUUGAAACCAUCCCUUUUUACAUUCUUUUCUGCAUCUGAAUCCAUGCAAGUCUUGUUGGUUCUGUGCUGACUAGAAACAGAUUUAGAAGUAAUUAACUAAGUUUGAGUAGCUUUUUUGCUCCUAUCGAAGUUUUCAUAAUUUGAUUGCUGUUGAUUCUCUUCUAUGUUGCUGCUGCUGUUUUUAGCCUGGCUUAUAAACUUCAGCUUACUUUUAUAUUUAUUGAUGAGGUUGACAGUUUUCUGGGCAGUGUCGUACUACAGAUCAUGAGGCAUUAACCAAUAUGAAAACUGAGUUCAUUGCAUUAUGGGAUGAGUUUACUACAGAUCGUGAGUUCUUACUCUUGAAACAAGUGUUGCAUUUGUGCAGUGACUUGCUAGAAUGUCUUUUCAGGUCGAUUUCAGUGCAUGAAUCAAAAGCUUUUCUUUUGCUUUAGAUAUAAACUUGCCAAUCACCAAUGUUGACUGAUUUUGUUGAUGAUUUUAGCUCUUUGUAAGAGUUGUGGAACAUUGUUUGUAAAUGUUGAGAUGGGUUUAUUACUCUUUUUAAUAGUCAUUUAUGACUUACAAGUUAUCAGAAUUACUUUAUUUUGCUUGCAAAUAUUGCUGCUGUUAUGAGAACUGAAUCUGUUAGUCUAGUGUUGUUCUUUUAAGUUUAUAAGAAUUGUUUUAAUUUGCUUGCACAUUCGUAGGUUUGUAGAGCAUUUUGUUCAUAACACUUUAAGUCUCAAAAUACUCCUGGAAAGGGAGAUUGAUUUAAGUGAAUCAAGAAUAAGGAAAUGAUCAAGAAUAAGGAAAUGUUCAUAACUCAAUAAAACAUACAUGAUUUUAUAGUUAACACAAACUAUUGCUUGCUUGACCUAUUACAUACAUGGAAUAUUUUUCGUAGAAGUAACACUCAAUUAACCUUGAAUAAAAAAAAAGUGAAGGGAAUCCAAUACCAUGAAUCUGCCACUCUAGUGUUGUUUCAUUGUCAAAUCCACUUGAUAUGUUGUUUGCACUGCAAAAUUAGAAAGGUAAGACUGGUCAAAUAAAUUGUAGAGAAAAGAUAGCCUACAUAAACUAUGAACAUAAAACUUGAAAACUUACUUGAAAAUAUCAAUUGAAUUAUUUAGUUUCUUCUAGCACCAUGUUUGCAACAUUCUUCUUUGUUUUUUUGCUCUUGAGAUUCCAUUUAUCUUCAACCAUCCUAAAAAACCAUGAAGGUUUUUUUGUUCUAAACACAACGUAUCCCGUUGCAACUCCAAACACAAACCCACAUCCAUACCCCAUUGUCACAACUUUCCAUCCAAAUCCUUCUCCAAACAAUGUUGAAUCAUCUCCUUCAUCAAAGCUUGAUGGUGGCAAUGACGGUGCCUCAUCACCGUAGCAUUCUUUUAGUACUUGAAAUCCACAUAAACCUAAGUUUCCUUCAAAUGAGCUUGCAUUAAAGGUGUUGAAUUGCUCUCCACUUGGUAUGGGCCCCUCGAGUUGGUUAUGUGAAAGGUUUAGGAUUGCAAGAAAUGUUAGACCCCUCAGUUGCAUUGGAAUCCUUCCGGUAAGCAAAUUUGAAGUUAGGUCUAAUGAUUCCAAAUUGGUCAAAUUUUCUAAUGAUGAUUGGAUAUGACCUGUAAGGGAAUUAUGAGAGAGGUUGAGUUGUUGGAGUGCUUUUAGCUUUCCAAUCACCUUUGAAAUCUCUCCGGUGAAAUUAUUUUUUGAAAAAUCAAGUACUCUGAUGGUACUUUGUAUCUUUGAAAACUCAAUUUCUACACUUUUCCAUGUCAUUUCUAUGGAAUACUCAUAACUGUAAUUUGUUGCCCUCAUGUAAAUCAUGUUUUGAUCCGAGACCAUCAUUGCUUCAAGCGUGAUGAAAUACCCAGCUGGCAAUGGCCCACUAAAAUUAUUGCCAGAAAUGUCAAAAAUUUGUAAUUUAGAGAAGGAAUUAUAUGCAGUCGGACCCUUCACAAAACCUUGGAGUUUAUUGGAUUUUAGGACAAGAAUUUGAAGCUUUGGAAGCGUUUGUAGAAAGGAGGGAAAUGUAUCCUCAAUCUUAUUGUUACCAAGAUCAAGAACUUUCAACAUUGUGCAAUUGAUGAUAGACGGUGGUAUUUUCCCUUCUAAUUCGUUUCCAUUGAGGUUGAGAUAUUCCAAGCUAUUAUCUUUUGAAAAUGUUGAAGGGAUAGUGCCUUGAAGAUUGUUCAUGCCUAGAUGCAAUACCGAGAGCAUGUCGGUGAAGUUCCCCAAACAUAAUGGUGUAGAACCACUCAAGCUAUUGUUGGACAAGUCUAGGACCACAAGGGAUCUCAGCUUGCAAAUAGAAGAAGAAAUCUCACCUGUCAAUUUACUAUUGGAUGCAAGAAUAAGGAGUUCCAAGCUCUCUAGUUUGAAAAUUGAACUUGGAAUUGUACCAUGCAAGUGGUUAUUGCUCAAAUCAAGGUAAUUUAAUGAAAAUUCAUUUUGGAAUUCACUUAUAUUGCCUAUGAGAUUAUUGCUAUGAAGGUCAAGUAAUGUUAAAGAAGGAAGAGCAAACAAAAAGGAUGGUAUUGUUCCAUUGAACAAGUUACCAUAUAAACUUAGACUCUCUAGAUUUGAAAGGGUAUUUAAUUGAGAAUGGAUAGGGCCUACUAGUUGAUUAUUUGAUAAAUCUAAAUCUAAAAGAUUAACUAGGCUACCUAAAGAAUCUGGAACUUGACCCAUAAAUUUAUUGGAAAAGAGAUACAAGUAACGGAGAUGUACAAGGUUUCCAAGUAAUGGGAUCUCACCACUAAAAUUGUUACUUGAGAGGUCUAAAGAGGUGAUCUGUGUGAGAUUACCAAGCAAGGAUAGAUCUGACCUUAUAAUAUUACUGUUACUAAGAGACAUAACUUCUAAUGACUUUAGAUUACUAAUUAAGUCGUUUUCUAAAUAAACAGAAAUUCUUGUAUUAGAAAGACCUAACCGAGAGAGGACAUUACUCAAAUUGGACGAAGGAAAAGAGCCAGUGAGGCCUUUGUUGGAUGACAGAUCCAGUGAUUCAAGGUGUGGGAGGAGAAAGAUGUAACCCGGGAAUUUCCCCUGAAAUCCACAGUUUUUGAGGGAGAGAGAUGAAAAAGAAGAGGACAGAUUCGUCAAGGAAUUGGGUGCAACGAAAGACAUAUUUACAGAACUCAAAUCGAGUUUUCUUAGCUUGGUUAGGUUUUGAACAAGCUUGUCAAAUGAAAUUGGUUCUAGAAUCAAAUGGUUGUUCCAAAAGAGAUCAAGUGAAACCAACUCAGUGAGUUGAUGAAAAUCAUAUGGAAUUGGACCAGUAAGAUUGUUCCCUCCAAGAUCCAAGUACUGCAGGUGCUUAAAUUUCCCCAUUGAGGAUGGGAGUUUUCCUUGCAAUCCACACCAAAAGAGUUUGAGCGAUGAUAGAGAAGAGGACAGAUUCAUCAAGGAACUGGGUGCAACCAGUGACAUGUCUACCGAACUCAGAUCGAGUUCUCUAAGCUUGGUUAGGUUUCGAACAAGCUUGUCAAAAGAAAGCUUGUCAAAAGAAAUUGGUUCUAGACUUGGGUAGUAGUUCCAAGAGAGAUCAAGUGAAACCAUUUUGGAGAGGUGAGAGAUUUCUGACGGAACUUGGCCUGCAAGAUCUAAACCACUUAGGUUAAGAUGUGUUAGAUUGGAGAACUGGCCAAAUCGAGAAGAAAUAUAAGAGGUGUUGAAAUCAUUGAAAGAGAGGUCGAGCUUUUGAAGAUGAUGGAGAGAGAAGAGAGAAUUAUUGGGAAGGAGGGUGCCGUAAAGCAUGCUGCAAGAGAGGUCCAGUGCAGUGACUUGCCCGGUUUUCAGGUCACAAGAGACCCCAACCCACAAGCAGCAGUCUGUACCCUCUUUCCAUGACUCUGUUUUUGGAAAGGGAUGUGGACAAUAGUACAAUAAAGCUGAACUAUUUUGAAUGGAGAAGGAUUGUUUGAAUUGAAGGAGAGAAAGAGAUUGGUGAUGAGCACACAAAAGAGAAGAAGAAGAAGAGUAAUUUGAGGAGAGUGGAGAUGAAAUUGUUGAGUGGAAAUGGAAGAGAAACAGAAUGAAGGAGAGAGAUUGAGAGAGGGACAGUGGUGAAAACCCCAUGGUGGCUGGCCUUACAGGAUUCAAAGUAUAAUUAACUGGGAAUUUAAGAUGAGAAGUAAAGAAAGGCAUUAUUAGUAGUAUUUAUAGACGAAAUCAAAGUCACUGGUUGAAGCAUUAAACAAGUUUCCUUAGCUGAAAGAGAAUCGGAGCAAAGAAAGACUAAUUUGUUCAUGAGCACAUAAUUGUUGGUAUUAAAAUACCUUUUUCAGGAUUUAAUAAUUAAAAAAAUAAAGUAAGAAUAAAAAUCGAUGGAAAUAUGCAAUAUGCAAGGUUCCUAUCAACUUGAUUCCCUGUUGACUUCAAACUGAAUUGUUGUUUCUUGGCACCAAUGACUUCGCACUAAUAUAAAAAAUAAUGUAAACUAUGGAAUUAAAAUGAUAAUCAAAGUCCCUUAAUUCACUAAUACAAGUGUUCAUAAAUUGAGGUGCUGGACAUUCAUGUUAAUUAAAAAAAAUAAAAUUGUUAAUUAUGAAAUAUUUAUAAAAUAAAAUAAAAAAAAGAUUUAUGCGAAGAUUGCUAUGCUCACUAAAAUAUAAUUUCCAAGAAAUUCAAGCCAAAAAAUCGGAAGAAAACUUAAUAAUUUACAAUUUAGUCUACAUUUCUAGUUGCACAUCAGCUUUAAAGGCUAUUAUAAGAAACUACGUAGGUUAGUCAAAUAAAUAAAUAAAAUAAAAAUGGCUAAAAUAUUGAUUUAUUAAUGAGAAUGCCAAACAGAUAUUUUAUUAAUGAGAAUAAGAAUAGGAACAUGACAAUAUUGAUUUUCUAAAGGGAUUAAAUAUCUUUUCAGGGGUUGUUAAUUUUAUUAAAAUUAAUUAAUCCUUUUACUAUUAAAAAUCUUGUGGGGGGAUAGAAAGUUGUUGGAAGAAAACGGAUAAUUAUUUUCAGCUGAAAUCAGUCCUCAUGCAUGUAUAUGGUGAAUUUUGCCUAGAAUUGUUUUGCAUGCGAUUGUUCAUUCUUAAAUGCAAAACUAAGAGUCUUUCGCUGAAGUUUCCUAAAUAUGCUUAUUUUACAAGUUUCCUACAUGUAUAUUGUGUAGAACCGCUCAAACUAUUAUUUUACAAGUUUCCUAAAUAUUUAGUGAACAGAGCAGCGGACAGGAAAACAGAGCACAAAAAUGUUAAUUUUGGAAAUUAAUUAAUAUUGCCGUGUUUCCAACACUCAGUGCUCCUGUUUAAUCACCAAUCCUUGCAAGGAAAUAUUCGCAAUUGAAUAAGACUUUUCUGGACCAUUACCUAUUGCUUUCUGACCUUGAUAUAAAAUUGAAUAAGACUUGAAGGAAAACAGAGCACAACGAUGAACCAAGGAAUGGAGUUUGAAGGUUCUUGCCCUCAAGAUGCUGUGGGAUUGGUCGUCCUCAAAGGUCUUUCUCUUUCAGCAUCAACAAGGGAGAACCGAUCUUCAUUUGUUCUGUCCUUAACCCCCAAGUCUUCGGAACUUGGAUGCAUAGAUAUUGUCCACUCAUUCUUAAAUGCAAUACUAAGAGUCUUUCGCUGAAGUUUCCUAAAUAUGCAAUAUUUAGUGAAUGUUUAUGAAUAACAUUAUACUGAACCAGUACAGGAAAACAGAGCACAACGAUGAACCAAGGAAUGUUUAUGAAUAAUAUUUAGUCGUCCUCAAAGGUUGCUAUGCUCACUAAAAUAUAAUUUCCAAGAAAUUCAAGCCACAAAAUCGGAAGAAAACUUGUUAAUAAUUUACGAUCGUAGUUUACUCACAGCUUAAGCAAGUGGGCAUGCAGAGUUAAAGAGUCAUCCUCACCUUCUUAUGUCCGCUUCAAUCCAAUCUCCAGUCUCCAGUCUACACGUUCUGGCAAUAGCUUUAUUGAACAGAAUCUAGAAAACUGACAAACAAUGGAAAAUUAAUGGAGUUUGAAGGGAGAACCAAUCUUCAUUUGGUCUGUCCUUGAUCUCCAAGUCUUCGGAACUUGGAUGUAUAGAUAUUGUUCACUCUUCAUGUGGUGCUGAAUAUAUAUGGAAUUGAAGGUUCCCUUGCAAAUAUUUCCAUACAAGAGUGAGCGUUGGAUACACGGCAGUACUAAUUUCCAAAAUUGACAUUUUGGCAGCAAGUCCUUUUAGAACUUUCUUUGCAGCUCGUCUGAUGGCAGCUGUUCUUGGGGACAUCGAUCUACCCCUUCGCAUGCACUGAUAGAUUAUUAUUGCUAUUAUUAACAAGAACAGGUGACUGUGUACUUGAAGGGUUAAGCAAUUUAUGUGUUUCCCAGAAGAAGAAGAAGCAUUCAUAGCUUAGAAAAUAGCAAUGAAUAUAUAUGUGCUAAUAGAUACAGUUUGUGCUCUUCCUUUGCAGCUCGUCAUAUGGAUCAUACUUUUUGUGUGCCAACAAAAGACAACAAAGCAACCCUUGGUACAGAUUUUUGCUGGAUAAAUCCACCUUCGUUUUGUUUUUUGUGUUAAUACGAAGAAAAAUCUGAAGGAGUGCAGUGCAUAGCUGUUGUAGUGUACUAACCGAUCUUGCAGUAAAAUUGGGACUCUCGUGAAGUGUCAAUUUUAUAUUAAGGUCAGAAAGCAAUAGGUAAUGGUCCAGAAAAGUCUUCGGACCUUAGAUAUAUAGAUUGAAUUAUUCAAUUGCGAAUAUUUCCUCGCAAGGAUUGGUGACUAAACAGGAGCACUGAGUGUUGGAAACACGGCAAUAUUAAUUAAUUUCCAAAAUUAAUAUUUUUGUUGAGAUCAAGUUUAUAUGAGCAGCAAGUUUAUGUGCUAAUUAGAACUUUCUUUGUACUUAGACUAGCGAUAACUGUGUUCUUGACAUCAAUGUAUUAAAACAAUGUAAAAAUAUGUUAGCAAUACAAGAAUGUUGAUUUUUUUGUAAAAAAUAAAUCUUAAAAAAUAAAUAAAUAACAUAAAAAUAUUAUUUUAAUAUAUUUUCAAAUAAAAAAACACUUUAAAAAGUAAUUUCCACCGUACUAACAUACUUUAAGAAUAAAAACACAACAAUAUUGAUUUUCUAAAAGGAUUAAAUAGUGUUUUAGGGGUUGCUAUUUUUUCUUUAAUUAACUACUACUUUUAGUAUUAAAAGUAAUUAAAUAGUUAUUUGACCAAUUUUAAUCAUGCUUAUUUCAGUAAUAUUUUUUUAAAAUACUUUUCUUUCUUAUCAAUCUUUCAAUUUAUAUGCUUUGAUUUUUUUCUUUUUUCUUUUUCCUUUUUCUAUUUUAAAUAAAAAAAAUAAUUUAACUAUUAGAUUAUGUAAACAAAUAAUUUAAAAAUAUAUAUGCAAUAAAUGAUGAAAAUUAUAAACCCUUUACUUUGAUAGUUCAAGGAAUAUUUAUAACCUUUGAACUUUGUUAUUUUGUUGAAGUGGAGAGCCUGAAAAGUUAUUUCUUUUUUAUAGUAAUAAUAAAAAAUAAAUAUUUCUUACACAAUAUUAAACGAGAAAUAAAUAUUUAUUGCAUAAUAUUAAUAAAAAAUAAAUAUCCAUUAUAAAAUAUUAAUGGUGACACUUAUCUAUUAUUUUACAAGUUAGACUUGAAGGAAUUUCAGAGCAGCGUACCGGAAAUUAAAGAAAAUAUUUAGUGAAAGUUUAGGAAUAACAUUACUGAACCAUUACCGGAAAACAGAGCCCUCAAGAUUGGAGUUUCAAGGUUCUUGCGUACUAAAAGAUUUUUGUUUUCCACCAUCAACAAGGGAAAACCAAUCUUCAUCUGCUCUGUCCUUUUCCUCCUUGACGUCCAAGUCUUCGCAACCAUACAAUUAUUCAAUAUGGAACUGCAGGUUGAAUUAUUCAAUUGCAAAUAUUUCCAUACAAUUAGGUCCCUUUGUUGACUAUGCAAGAAUGUUGGAAACACGGCAAUUUUAAUUUCCAAAAUUGACAUCUUUCCAGCAAGUCUACGUGCGUGCACUUUGUGCUCUAAUUAUAACUCCCUUUUGUGUCUCGUCUGAUGACAACUGUUCUUGGAGACUUCUACCCCUCUAUGCCUGGUUUUUCUUGGUAUCAUUGCAUCUUUGAAGUUUGGUUUUCCUUACAAUUUACUUUAUCUUUCAUUAGAUUUCUCUACAUUGUAAGAAAUAUUUUUUAAGUGGAUCAUAUGCCAUGUCAUGUUUUCAAAAUAAUAUUAAUUGUGUAUAUAUUAUAAAAUUUAUAAAUGAUAAUUAAAUGCUUGGAGUCCAUUGCUCUCUAAUGAUGAACCAAUUAAGUACAAUACAUAAUGGAUGAAAGUGAAAAAAAUCAGAUUAAUGAAAGGAUCCCUAUGCAAGCCAUAUUAAAUAUUACGUAAUGUCAUGUAACCUCCAUCAAAAUAUAGAAAAUUUAAAGUUUGGUAUUGACGGUUCAAUCAUAGUAUGGGCUAAAUCCACUCAUUUGACAUGUGUUGAGCAUAAUACAAAUAAUAAAAAAUAAUUAAGUCAUAAAUACAAUUAAAAUUAUAGAGAUUAAAUGUAUGGUUUGCAAAACUACGUACUAGGAUUAAGUUAUAAUUAACUCAAAUAAAAAAGAAAUUUAUGCAAAGGCUCGGGUUCCCUAGGUUUCAAGGACGAAGAAGUGCUUUUUAGGACCCGUUGAUAGAAAACUGUAUAAAAGUGAUUACAAUUACAGAGAGAAAAAAAAGAGUAAGAUUUUAGAAGAAUUAGUGAAUUAAAAGAGAAGGAGGAGGAGUGAGAAAUGGUGGAUUGGUAAUUUAGAAGAAUUAAAUGCCAAUAACAGUUUAAUCCUCGGAACUAGGAGACGAUAAUGCAUUAAUCGAGAUUAAGUUGUCUUUUUCCAUCAAAUAGCUAGUCCGCUUGGCAAGAACACAAGUAUUAAAAAGAUUAGCAAAACUUGUUCAAAAUAUAAACAACACACGAGCACAAGUUUGAACUAUGGUAUUCUCUUGUCGGGUAAAGGGAGUGGUUACAAUUCCAGCCUUUGAGAGGAGCUUAGUCCAUGUUCUGAGGAACAUAAAUGCAAGAAGACCAGUGGUGAGAUUCAGCUUCAUGACUAUAACACUGUAUAUGAUCCCAAUUGCUAUGCUAGCAACAAUUCCCCUAACUGUAAUCUGUUUAGUCCAUGGAGCAAUCCUCUUGAUAUCCAUGUUCAUAUUCAUCACAAUCUUCUCACCAAUACAAUCAACAAACCAAACUCAUCAUCUUGAAUCCAAUAGAAUGAUUUAUAGAAGCUAAACCACACAUCAAGAAAAUCUGAUAAAACUACAAAAAAUAAAAGAUUGAAUAAAAACAAAACGUCAUGAAUUAUAUUACCUUAUAAGCCUCCUCCUUUUUCUUGCUCCUCUUCUUCUUUCGACCACAGCUUCAAAAAGCACCCGAAGAAUCCAACUUCCUCAGUCAACUACUAACAAGUCUCCAUCAAUCAAUACAAGUAGAUGCAAGAGCAUAUAGCUUCCUUCAGAAAGACAACAAAACAUUCAAAUCAACACAUGGGCAAGGGCCAGCCUCUAAGUUGACUUAAGGAAACUCUCCAAGAAAAACAGACGACAGCAGACGAACUUGAUUCGAGGCCUUCAAGAAAAGCCCAAAAACCAUAAAUAUUGCUUCUUCCAAAGCAAUAAUCAAGAGCAUUAAAUGUCAGGCCAAGAGAACAAAAACCCAAGCUUCUUAUAUGGCAAAAAAACACAGCAAUUGUUUUUCUUAUUUAUACUAAAUUCAAGCACCACCAGCCCACCCACCAGCAUUUUCUAUGUACUGCAAAGCAGUACAAGGCAAGGCUGCGUUGUAGUACAACACUCAUCAGAACUCCAACGAUGGCUGCUAUCAAGGACGGAACCAGGAAUUUUUCAUAUCCUGGGCUAUUAAAUAAAUAUAUAAUUUUUUAAAAAAUAAUUAUUAAUUCAUGUAUAUAAAUUUUUGAAGUUAACAUUACAGUUUUAAUUCAAAUACAUUACAUAAAAUAUUAAAAAAAAAUACAUAAAAUUAAAGUAAAAAGUAAAAAGAAACUCAUUAUUGAAGUUACAUCAUUCGAUGUUUUAUGAAAUAUAAUUAAUUUAUAAUCAAAUCUGAAUCGAUAUUAUAACAACCCUUCAACCAAGAUAAAAUAAUAAUCUCAUGUCAAUUGGAAAAUAAAAUAAUUAAUUUUUUUCCCUCUCUCAAUUCAUCCUUCCUUCACUUGAUUCUUCUUUAGAUUAGAGUUUUAUAAGUUAUAAUGUGUAAAUUUAUAAGGUUAUUCUCUUACUUUUUCUAUUUUUUUUCCUUGGAUUUUUUUUUAUGUUUUCCCUUUCUUCUCUCUCUUUCUCUCUUGCCUUUUCUUUUCUUUUCUUUUCUGCUUCUUUUCAGUCAGCAACAUAUAUAAAAAAGGAAGAGCUUAUUUGUUUUAUUUUUUAAUGGAAAAUAAUUAUUUUACCCUUAAUGAGUUGUUUUGCUUUUAUUUAACAGUUUUUUUUUGUUAGCAUUACCAAGCUCCGUUCAUUCUAAAAUUUUAACAAGAUUUUAUUCAAUAUAUUUUAAGAUCCCUUGUAAAAUUUCAGCUCAAUUUACUAGUCGGAUUGAAAAUUACGUUCAAUAACGUAAAACUAGUCAAAUUGUGAUUUUUCAUUAAAUUUCUAAAUUUCUUCAAAAAUUCUGAAAUUUUAAUCCAAGUUAAAGUAUUAUAUUACAAGGCUCUACGCAAAUUUGUAAAAAAAUUUAAUAACUUAAUUAAAAAUUAAAAAUUUAUUUUAUAUAAAACUAGUCAAAAAAAUAGUGAUAAAAUUUUACCCUGGGCUAGAGCCCACCCUAGCCCUCAGCACAGCUCCGCCCCUGGCUGCUAUACAUUUGAACAGAUGUCAGGUUCUUAAUUUUGAUCCUCGUCUCGUUGACUUAUCACCACCACUUUUCACCCUCUCUUCAUCCUUGUAGUACAGAUAUAGAGAGAAGAAAAGUGGGCAGUCGUAAGCAUAAAAUUGCUUAAAGUGAAAAGCAAGAAAUGGAACUGCUAACUGGAUUGAACUGGCUGCUUCACUUGAAAGUGCCUUCCCUUUACGGUCAUAACAUGUGUAUGGCAAGUUAAGAGUGCAUUUUGGUCCCUCUACUCUUAUUUCCCUUAAUUUAUCACCUUCUGUCUUGAUAUCACUCUCUUUAUUAUAUUCUUUAUUUUAGUCAACUGUAGCCUAGUAGUUAGACACCUCAAUCCCAACCUAACUUGUUUGGAUUAGAACCCAAAGACUGCUUCGUUAAAGAUUGAUAUUUAUUUAAUCAACUAUUGUACUAUACUAGGCAAUGACGUCGUUUAAUACUAAACAUUUUCAAUAGGAUGUUCUCUUAUCCCACGCAUAAGAACAAAAAAAAUGUUACGAGGGAUGAAUUGUUAAGGGGUUAUAUUGAAGCAUAAAAUAGUAUAAGGAUCGAAUUAAGAUAGAAUGUAUAGUGGAAGGAUAAAAAAGACAACACUAGCAAGGCGUGUGACCAAAACAUGUCAAAGUCAGUCAAGAAGAGGAGAAAGGCCAGUUUUGAGGCCAAUAAUAUAGAAAUCUUAAAAAAACGAUUGAUGUAAGAGAGAGAUAUCAUAGGGAUGGUGGGGUGGGCCCCAGAAAUGGUGGGAAUGGUAUUCAUCGAAUGCUGAUUCUAUCAACCUUUAGAUGCGAUCACUAUUUCUGACCAUUAAUUUCUGGUUUAUAAAAUGAUGUGAUAAGAAUAGUCAUUUAAAAAAAAAAUUGUGUUUUGAAUUUGAAAAAAAUUAAGUUUUUUAUGUUUUAAUAUAAAAAUAAAUUUUAAAAAAUAAAAAAUAUAUUAUUUUAAUAUAUUUUUAAAUAAAAAAUAUUUUUAAAAUAACUCUUAAAAUAAUAAUAGACUUAGGUUGUUAAAUAUGAUUCUUUUCAUGCUACUUGAAAUUUAUACAGGUUUAUUAUUAUAAAAUAUAAAAAAAUAUUAUUGUUAUAUAUUUUUUAAAAUAAUUAUUAUUACAAUAUCAAAUAUCAAACAUGUAUUGAUAUUAAUCUUGCUAAAUUUAAAAUAAUAUUGAUUCAAGAUUGUUUUUAUAGAUAAAAGUUAAAAGGUUAUCAACUUAACCGGACUGAGUUUAAUAUCUAUAAGAAAUUAUUUUUAGUAAAUUAGAGUAGGUCAUAAAAAUUUAGUCUAUUGGUAGAAACUACACAAGAAUUUAUAAUAUGAUUGAUUUACUUCAUGUAAUUUAAAUUAAAGAAAAAAAAGCACACAUUUCCUCUGCCUCAAAAUAAAUGAAAAUAAAAUAAAAAAGAAUUAUUGAAUUUUCAAGUGAUUUUAUUGUUCCUUUUUUCAAACUUGGAAUGUAAUAAUUCCUCAUCUAAUUUUUUAAUCGGGUGCAAUAAUUUAUUAUUUAUCUCUUAGUUUACAAAAUAAAAUAAAACAUUUAUUUUAAAGCGUAGAUUUACUAAUUAAUUCAAUUGUUUUCUACUGUGAUCACUUUGAUUCUGGGAUUGAGAGUGAUAAAAUUAUCAUCGAAUUAAUUUUGAAAAUUAUCAUCGAAUUAAUCUAAAAAGGGAAUUACUUAGCGUGAGUAUAUUUUCUUAUCAAGAUUGAUAGUUACGUGCAUAAGGGGAACCCUCCCUUUCGUCGUAGCACAAUCGUCCUUUCGCACCAAAAAGUCAUCAAAAAAUUAUUCCAAAACAAACACCACAGACACCCACCCUCCCACCCUCCAAGAAGCAAACAAUUUUGCUGAGAGGAAUAGGCAAUAAAUAUCUCCGUUUAAAUCACCUUAAUUCAGUGGAAAAUUAUGUGCACAUUAUUUGUACAUUAUGCUAUGUGCAUGCAUCAGAGUGUGGUUUAAUUUGAUUGACUACUUGACAUAAAUAAAAUGAAAGGAGUUCUUUGGCAUUUUUUAGAGAAAAAAAAAUUACCUUGUUAUGGGCUAGAAAUGUUUAUGAUAUUUAUUUUUCUCUAACAUAAGUUUUGUGGAUACGAAGUAGAGAACAUGUUGAAGUUACAUCUAGUUAGCAAAAUCCAACUCCUGGUUGUUAAAACUCGGUAAAAAAUUUAGAUCAUGGGUUAAGUUUUAUUAAUUAAAAUAAUGUUAUUUUAAUUUUUUAAAAAUUAACUUAAUUUUUGACUAAAUCAACUAAAUCAUGAAUUAAUUCAUAAAAUCAUUUAAAUUAAAUUGGUUCAAUUUUCACUUGAUUUUUUUAAAAAACCAACAUGAACUAAUCGAGUCUAAUAACUUGUUACUAAUAAAUUAUGCCAUUUUACAUUUACUUAAUUUUUGGGAGUAGGAACUCAAUUUUGAAAGGGACGGUGAGUUUCAAUUUUGCACUUUACGAAUAGAUAUCUAUGUUGACAAAUCAUUUGCCACUUGAGGUUGAAGAUCAUGUCGUUUAAAAUGAAAUUAACGCAUUAUAAGCUAAUUAUGUGGAUUCGAACUCAUAAUAAUUAGUUUCAUGUUAAGAGUAUGAUUUCAUGUUUUACUUAAGAAACAUUGAUUAGCACUUAGCAGCUUAUUUAAAAAAAAAAAUAUUAUAAGCUUUUUUAAAAAACAAAGAAUGGUUGAAUGGAGUUGGAGUUGUGGAGGUAAUGGAGAACCCUAAUUCUUCAAUUACAUGUAAGAAGUUUAACUUGAUAUGAAUUGAUAUAUAUGCCACUUGAAGCUGUAGGCCUUUGCAUUUAAAAUUAGGUUAAUGCAUAUGGUGAGUAAGCUAUAUAUUAAUUUAUUGUGGUUUCCAACUUCAAAAUUCGAGAAUCAAUUAUGUUGUGGAUUAGUGAUAAAAUUUAAAAGAAGGAGCAUUCUUGUUUUAAUUUCUUUCAUGUUAAAAGUAUUAAUUACAUGUCCUGGUCUAAAAAACAAAUCAUGAUUAAUUUGCUAUAGCAUACUUGUUUUAACAAACAAAAAAAUAGAGUUAACCAUGCAUUGCAUGCGUGAAAAAAAAUAUAACUAUAGGUUCAAACCUAUGUAUCUCGUAUCAAUAUGUUAAAAUCAAAGAGGAUGGAAACUAAAAAGACAUUAUCGCAAACAAAAAAAUUUCCAUUAAAAUAAUUAUGAUUAAAAUUGAAAGAUUAAAAUAAUUAAAGGGGUGAAAUUAAAAAUCAUUUAUAGAUUUAAAAAUGAUAUGGGUAAAAUAUAAAAAAUAUUAUUGACAGCUAACUAAAUAGAAUCAAAUUGAAAAAAAAAGAAGUUAAAAAUAGAGAAUUAAACCAAAAAAUAUUUAAAAAAGGUUAAAAAAUGAUAAAAAAAAAUAAGACAACAUCAAUUUAGAAAAAAAAAACAAGGCGAUUCUCUUAAAUCUAAUCUAAUAUCUAAAAGUCGCAUCGCAUUACAUUUUUUUAUCUCUAUUCAAUUAAGAAUCAUAAUUUUUAACUAAUUUAAUUACAAAGAAUGAGAUCAGUAGAAAAGUAUUAAUAAAAAACUUGCAAAUAAACUUGCUAUUAAACUUGCAAAUAAGCUUGCAAUUAAACGUUGAAUCAGGGUCCUAUAAAAAGAUUUAUUAUAAGUCAAUUUAAAAAACUUGUCAAAGCAAUAUAUAUAUAUAUAUAUAUAAAUAUAUAAACCCAGUUGACAGCCAGCUCGAGUCAAUAAAUCAAACACAUGGUUUAGGACAUGAAAUUAGGAUGACCAUAUAAAUAGGAAAGCUUAAAAAACACUUUCAAAAAUAUAUAUUAAAAAAACACUUUAAAAAAAAUAAAAUUCGAAUCAAGCUAAUCUUUCAGAUCUAUUACUUGGGUCAUAAGACUAAGGUGACCCCAUCAAAGAUAAAUUUUUUUAAAAAAAACAAAGAAGCAAGAUUCUUAGUUAAACAAACUUUGAAGGAUAAAAAAAAAAUCAAUCAAAAAAACAUUGCAGAAAAAAAAAGCAAUUAAAAGAAUUAUGACUAAAUUUGACAUAAAAAUGAAAUGAAAUAAAAUGUUUUGGUAAAAAUCAAAUCAAAUCAAAUGUUUUGGGAUGCAAUUGUAAAAAACAAAUCCAUUAAGAAAAUAAUUUUAAAAAUAGCAACAAAAAUAAUUAAACCAAAUUUAACAUAAAAAUAAAAUGAAAAUAAAUGUAUAGGGGUGAAAUUGUAAAAAAGUUGUCGCACCCGACAUCGCGGUGGCCUUAAAAAUUAAUUUUAUAUCUUUGAAAAGAACGGAUUUCUAGCAUCAUGUUCUUUAAUGUGGAUAUUCUUGUUUAAGGAGUCGCCACCUAGUAUUAUGGUCAAUAGGAACCCUAACUGGUCAACAGAGAUUCUAUAGUUCGGGACUGGCUUGGGCCAGUGACCCGGCUGGGCCACAGCACGCGUGAACUUGUUCACGCGUGCGUAGCGCUGUGCGAAGGCAAUUAAAUUGCCUUCGCGCAGUGUUAUUGAAGAUUAAACGAAGGCAAAAAAUGAAGAAACGAGCGUACCUGCUUCUGGAGAUCGAAGAUGCUUGCAGCGCUGAUGGAUUCUCGCCCGCUGGUUCCCUUUAUCUUCCUUCUGCGCUCACCUGCCUGCUUGUUCCUUUUGUUUGUUCAGCGGCUUUUGAAACCGAGAAGAUGAUGAAGAGGCCGGCCUGCUGGGAAUUUGCUUUGAUUCUGGGUUUUCGUUGUUUGCAGGGACGAAGGCAGUGACAGAGCCAAUACUCGUCUCUUUGUAUUGCUUCUCUCUUGUUCUCCCCUUCUGCUAACCUCUUUGUUUCUUGGAAUUUCCUCUGUUUUCGUUCUUUUCUCUGUCCCCUGCGUUCGAGAAGAUGGAGAUCAACGUUGGCCCUCUGGUUUUUUUAUGGCGUUUGUCUCUGUUUUUUGCUCUGUUUCUGGGUUCUGUUUUUGGCUUGAUUCUUCUUGCUCUCGUCUGGGUUUUUGUAUCAGUUUUUGUGCUGUGUAUUUUCUUUCUCUCGGUUUUGCUGGGUUUCUCCUCCUGGGUAUUUUUUUUGCUCUGCCUUUUAUAAGGCCAGAGACCUUCAAAAAACCAUCACCUCUACCUACGGGAUUGUGGCAAUCGUGGCAGGAGACAUGGUCACGAUUUGGAUCGGAUGCACUGGGAUUUUCCUGUUGAAUCGGCUGCCUUGGCGAAAUGGAAGGGAUGACGAACAGUAUUAUUGCAAACGGCACCGUUUAACAAUUUUCAAUUUGACCCCUGAACUUUGGAAAUUUCGCAAUUGGACCCCUGAAUAAAAAUUUCUUUUAAUUUUGCCCUUUUUGGAUAAAUUUCAAUUAAAUCCCUAAAUUGGUGCAUUAUUACAAAACAGUCCUUAAUUCCUGGAUUAUUCAAUUUGGUCCUUAAUUAAUUCUUUCAAUUUUGCCUUUUUUGGAUAUAUUUCAAUUAAGUCCUUGAAUUUAUUUAAUUAAUUAAAUCAAAGUUUAAUUAUGUAACGCCCGGCGAUUUUUGUAAGCAUUUAAAAUUAAUUUCCUACAAUUUGGUAUGUAAAAAUAAGUUUUUUUUUUUUUUUUUUUUUUUUAUUUUACACUGUAACGGAAUUUCUACCGAAAUUUUGGCAGAGCCUCCCCUAUACCGGGAGGUCCCAAGUUAUCAACAACUCAUCCUAUACAUAUCUCAUGUUCAUUCCAUCAUCAACGCAUAUCCAUAUCGCAUUGCGACCACAAUUAUUAUUAAUCAUAAUAUUUUGCAAAUCUAGGGAUUCAUUUCGAACAUAUAAUUUACAACACAAAAUAAUAGUAAUUAACUUGAUUAAAAACAUUAAUAUUACAAGAACAUCCACACUUUUAACCUCUGUUCCAGCCCUGUUUUCCUUAAAUAUUUGUUCAAGAUCAUGAAUCAUUGAUAUAUAUCUUCAAUUUUCUCCUCCCCCCUUCAAGUCCCCUUAUGGCCGGCCCUAAUCUAGGGUUUUCUCCUUAGUUUACAUGAAGUUUUUCUUACUAUACAUUCUUUGAAAUUUGUUCUUUCCUUUAUAAAAUUUAUUGUUCACAAUAUUAGUUUUCAAAACAUUAAUAUGCACAAAAAUCCUAAGUUUUCAUUUGGGUUGUUCACCCUUUUCAACAAAGCUCACUCAAGACAACAAUGGAGAUUGAAGGGUUUUUCUUACCAUAUGAAUUAAGCAAGGAUUAAGGAUGAUUUUUUUUUUGACAACUCUAUACGUGUUCUUCUUGUUCUCUUCCUUGGUUGAUUCUUCUCCCCCUCUUUCUGCCUUUAGCCGUGAAUCUCUCUCUCUCUCUUUCUACAUCUCUAUUUUGUGGUCUUUCUCCUCACUUUCACUCUUCAUUCACUCUAGCACCGUAUGGAUGAAAUGCAAGAGAACACUUUGCUGGAUAUUUUGUAAGAGAGGGGGCUGCUAGGGGCUGUCUUGGCCGGCAAUAAUGGGAGAGGUAAAGUGACAAUCUUUUCUCCCAACUACUUGUACUCCCUCAUAAAUGAAAUUAGACCUUGUUUGGUUUGGUUGUUUUUUUUUUUCCAAGGCCGGUUAUUACAUUUAUUUUAGGUUGAUAACCGGGUCAAAUCUUCCCUUACAUGCUCUUCUCCAAAACUCACUCAUUUCACUUUUAUUAUUAUUUUACUCUUUCUUAUAUAUAUUAUUCACACUUAUUGACUGUUACAAAGUUGUUGUUGGGUGAAACUUUUAAAUGGGUUUCAUGUCAGGUUUUAUAAAAGAAAACUUCAUCUCUUAAAACUCGUCUUUAUUUUUGCUAAUAUUAUAAAUUUUAAUCCAAAAUUUAUAACGUUCAUUAUGACUUCCACCAUACUUUUAAAUUUAUCUAUAGAGCUUAUUCUCUCUCUUACCCGUUGUAUUUAUUAUUAUUUCUAUUAUUUAUUCAUUUCUUUUAAUAUUAAGUCUUCAUUACUCAUUGGGGUCAUUCUUUUUUUUUUUUUUUUUUCUUUUUUUUUUCUGCGAUCCUAUGUUCAUGCGAGGGUUUACAAAUUAAGUCCUCAAACUUAUUAAUUCUUCUAAUUUCAUUAAUUAAACUAAUCCAAAAUUUAAAUAAAUUUCCCAACUUAUUAAUUCUUCAAUUUCUAACCAAAUUAUUCUCAAAUUUGAUAAUUCCAUCGAUGAACUUUGAAUUUGUGUUGUUUUAACCCCAUUCUCAAAUAUAUUUUUAUUUUUAUUAUUUGUUCAAAAAAUUGGGUUAUAACAAAAGUAAAUCAAUCAAGAAAAUGAUUAAAAAAACAAAUAGAAAUUAAAAUAAUAAGGACCGACUUUGACAACAAAAUUAAAAAAAAUCAAAUGACCAGAGAUAAAAUAAAAAAUAAAACCUAAUUAGAAAUAAUCAAUGUAAAUAAAACAAUUACAAAUAAAAGAAGAGGGGCUGAAUCAAAAGAAGGAAUAAAAUGAAGGACUGGAAUGAAUUUUUUUCAUUGCCAUCACGCAAUCCGAGAAAGAAGAAAAGGAAAAGAAAAGAAAAGAAAAGUAAUUUCAAGUCACAUCACGCCGAACCACGAUACACACACCAUCCAAAGAGAAAGAGGAUGUCAAGAUGAAUCAAAUGAUGCUGUAGAAUCACGGUUACAUCCACUCGAGUCAACCACACGCACAACUAGAAGUUGAAAAUAUUGAAAAUGUCCUUUGGACUAAACAAUAUUAACAAAUAAACCAUGAUGAAAUUACAACUAAGCCCUUGAAGCCAAGGUUAAAAAAUAAAAAUUGUAUGGACAAUGUAGUAAUUCAAUUGCUCUAUAAAAAAUAAAAAUACAAAAACACACAUGUGCAGAAAGCAUUGAAUUAUUUUAUUCAAGGGUUAAAUUAGUAAUUUUUAUGUGCAUUAAAAAACACAAUUAUCAAAAUAACCCCGUAUAAUUCUCAAAUAACAUUUAUGUCAUGGUGAAAAUAUUACCUUACCCUCAAAGCAAAGACAAAGGAUAAAAUAACUAAGGGACAAUAUAAUAAUUAUAUUAUUAUAAUGAAUAAUAAUUUAUGUCUCCGGAGUGUUUUGGAUAAUUAUAUACAUAUUAAAGUAUGUAUAUUAUAUCUAUAUAUAAAAAAAUAGAGAUAGUGGGGCCAAAUGAAAUAUGUUUCCAUAUACCUUUUUAUUUUAAAACUACAUAAAUUCAUUAUCAAAUUAGUCUAGAGAUUAAUUUCUUUUUCUCCUGUUUAAUCCCUAUUGAAAGACUAUAAAAAAAUAGUAACCAAAAUUAUAAUUUUUUUUAAAUAAAUGAUAAAUGGGUACAUAUUUGUUUUUUUUCUCUUGAGAUCAAGUUGUUCAAAGAAAAUUGAUUACCAAAACCUCUUGAAAAGUUAAUUGUAAUUUUUAUUAAUUAUAAUAUGAUUUCUAUGGAAUUCUAGAAAAUUUCCAUACCAUAAAUGAUAUACAUUUAAUUGGGUUUGGAAAAUAUAGCCUCGUUGAUUAAAAUUAAAUUUGGCCUUAUAUUAUUUCUUUUUAUAAAAGUAGUAUUAUUAUUAUUGAUAUUACUAUUUCAUCACAGGGCUUUUAAGGAAACUUCAUUAAGCCUAGAAGUAGAAAGAGAGCUCGGCUUUAAUGAGGCUUCUCCCCAAAAAUUCAGCUUGUCCUUUCCCAGCCCAACCCUAACCACCCAACAUAGCUCAAACCCUAAACGCCACCACCAGGUCUACUAGCACAUUAAUUUACAACACAACCUCAACAAACCACCCAAAAAGAACUCCAACCCAAGGAGAUUACUGUACUUUAAAUUCAAAUACAAAAUCAGAGGGGGUUUCGUCAGAGACCAUGUUUUUGCAAGAACCAGUGUUAUAUGUAGCAAGUGCAGCUUUAAGGUGUUUGGUAUUGUUUGCUGAGCUCCGGAAACCUGAUCCGAAUCGUGAAGCAUCAAAGAAAGCCCUUGAACAUAAGAAAGAAAUCACUAAGCAUUUGGGUCGUUCCUUUAUCCAAACAAACCCUUAUGAGGUGCGCGCGCGCGCGCGCAAAGUUUAUAUUUUUGCUGAAAAGAUUGGAUUUUUUGUUUUGCAUAUUUUGUUUUGGGCUUUUUUUUUGGGUUUUAGAGGAUUAUGUGAAUCUUGGUUCUAGGGGUAAUUAAUGGAAUUUAGGUUUGUUUUGGUUUAUUGUUUUCUGGAGGAUUCUGUGAAUUUUGGUUAUAUGGUCAGAUAAUGAAACAAAUAAUUUUGUGAAUUUGGAUUAUAGGGUUAGUUAAUGGCAUAUAGGCUUUGUUUUUAUUAUGUGCUAUAGGUUUUAUUAUACGCUUGAAUUGUCAUUUAUCUGCAAAAGUUUGAGUUUUGUUUGUGAUAGUGGGGUUGAGGUUGAUAUUGCAAUAAGGGAUGUGGGUGGUUUAUUGUAGGGAAUAUGGAUUUUUUUGGGGGGGGGGGGUCUGGGUGUUUUGAUGUAGAUAGGUGCUUUAAUCGUUGUUUUGGAUAUGAGUGAGUGAAUGCUUGUGCCAAAUGGGAUGGGAUUAAGUUUCCAGUUUUGCUGUGAUGAAUGAAGUUGCUUUUUGGUAGUUGAAACUAAGUUCAUUUCAGAUUGAGUUAUUUGUUGAACUUUUGAACUGAUGGGUUGGAGCUUAGGCCUCUAGGUUGAUGAAAAGUUCAAAUUCUUGUGUGACAAUGGAGAUGGGGGCCAUGAGAUUAAGAUUGCGAUGAGGUAUCUUGGUGGUUUAGUGGGUUAUUGUAUGGAUUAGGGGAUUUGGGUGUUUUAGUGAAGAUAGGUAAUUUAAUCAAUUUUUGGGACGGGGAGUGACUCCUUGUGCUGAAUAGGGUGUGUUUAAGUUUCCAGUUCUGCUGGGAUGCAUGAAGUUGUCCUUGUGUUGGUAGAAACUAAGUUCAAUUCUGAUUGAGUUGUAUAUUGAGCUUUUGUACUGGAGCGCUGGAGUUUAGGCCUCUGGGUCGAUGUUAUAGCAUGCUUGAAUUGCCAUUUAUUUGCUAGAAUUUUGAAUUUUAUGUGAUAAUAGGAUGAGGACCAUAAGGGUAAGACUUCAAUAAGGGAUGUGUGUGGUUUGGUGGGUUAUUGUAGGGAACAUUGAUUGGAGAAUUAGGGUGUUUUGGUGAAGAUAGGUGCUUCCAACAGUUUUGGGGAUGUUGGGGAGUGAUUGCUCAUGCUGAAUGGGAUAUGAUUAAAUUUCAAGUUUUGUUGGAUGGAUGGAGUUAUUUUUGGUUGGUGGAAACUGGAGACCAAGUUCGUUUCUGAUACAUUGGAACUUUUGUACUAUUGUGUUGACCUUGGGUUGGUGCUAUAGUACUGUUGUCAUUGUUUAUACAACCAUAAACCGUUAUAAUAUUUCCUGGUGUCUUCAAACGUGCCAUUUGUUUUCUAGGCUGUCUAUACUUUGUUGGCUGCUACCAUGCAACAAACAAAGUUUCUAAAGUCAACUGAAUACAUGAAAAUAUCCAUCAAAUGGAGUACAUUUGAGUGUCUUCUAUAUCAUAAACUAAUGGCACAUGAUUAUUAGUUACAUUUAUAUGAGUCCACCUUUUUUGAAAAUGAUACUAUGUGAACGCCGAUGGCUGCUAUGUUCAGUAAUAGUCUCCUGCGUGACUAACUUGACAGGUUCAUAGUUGGAAGAAAUUAAAUUUGAAGACUUGGCCUUGAACCAAUAUGAUUGCUAUAACUGGGAAACAUAGAUAUUAGUUCUUUCUAUGCCUAAUGAAAUUUGGAUGGAAAACCAAAUUUUCAAUUAUGAAGCCUUCUGAUGGCAAUUGCUUUGUGGAAGAUUUAAACUGCUUCGUAACAAUCAUGCCUAUCCUCUAAACACUAUCCAAUAUGGCCAUGUUCUCAUGUUGAAAAUAUAAUUGAUUGGAAUAGAGGCUCGGUUUAAUGGUUUAUCAAUAUGCUGUAAUUGUAUAUUUUUAUUUUUCAAUUGGACGAUUGGAAUCUAUCAAGCAAGCUUUGUAUGAACUGGUGAUUCUUCCUCUGCGGAAACCUGAGCUCUUCUCACAUGAGAAACUUCUUGGUCCACAAAAGGGGGUAUUGUUAUAUGGACCUCCAGGCACCGGGAAGACCAUUCUUGCAAAAGCUAUUAUCAGAGAGUUUGGAGCUGUUUUUAUAAAUAUGAGGAUCUCAAAUCUAAUGAGCAAGUGGUUUGGCGAUGCAAAAAAGCUCGGUGAGUAUAGAUCGCAUUUGAAUUGCCUCAUGUGCUUGAGCUUUGUCUUGCAUUUAGCAAAACAAUGAUGAUUUAAAAUUAUUGCCUUGUUAUUCUAAAACUUGUUGUCGCCCACCGACUAUAUUGAGUGAAAUUUAGUUUCACUUUGAUAAUGGAAGCAAGGUAGUACUUUGUGAACAUUCUUAACUAAGAUUGAACAUUCCUAACUUGUCCUUUUUGAAGAUCUUUAUUAGCAGCAAGAUUAUUUUGAAUGCUCUAUUAGCUUUAAAAAAACAGGGCACUGUAGCUUGCUUAUCUAAUGGAUCUUACUCCGAUGAAUGAGAUUGUGAAAUGAUCAAAAUAUCUUAAUUCUUAAAAUGCUACUAUUCAAUAGUCAAAUUCUCAAAUUCAUAAUCAAAAUUAUGUAUAAAAAGAAAAAAGAGAGAGAGAAAGGGAUUGUGCUUGGACUUUGGAUCCCCCAGCUCCCAUUAACAAUGGGUUCUGCUCACCUCGUCUGCCUUUCCUUAACAUCAUUACAAUGAUAUUGUGUGUUUCAAAGAAGAACCCAAUAAUUUUUUUGCUAUUUACUUCUUGAUUUUUUCUCCUUUUAACUGCCCUAGUAAUCUUUUGUUCAUGAUGAUUAUGAAAAAAACUUGUUUGACCGCUACAGUGUUCUGUCCUCAUAAUUUCAAUUUGUAAAUGGAUCGAGCAAAGAAACCCUACCAAUCAUAAUUGAUGUCCUGACCAUAAUUUUAAUUUGUAAAAGGAUCAAGCAAAAACAUUCAUGAUUGAUAGUUUACUUGCUUUAACUCAGACACAAACAUAUUAACAAUAUUUUUUUUUAUUUUAGAAAAAAAUAUUUAUUUAAGAUUGGUAUAGAUAGAAAUAAUUAUUUUCGGUUCGAUUUGAUCAAAACAUAAUAAUUAAAUUAAUUUAAAAAGAAAAAAUCAAAACCGAUUUGGCUCGGUUUUUUCUAUUGAAUAGUACUGCCUUAUGCAUUUAUGCAACAUACCAGGCCACAAACUGAAUAAUCUUGCAAUACAUUGAUGAUUAUUUACUAUUGAAUAGUAGCAUUUAGGUCAGCAUCCACAACUCUUUCUUACAUGGUGAAAAAGAAUAAACGCAAAGGUUGAAUAUGAGUUUUCCUCUCAAGACUUUAUGGAAGAUAAGAUUUCUGGAAAAUUUUCCAAAACUGACUUCUUUUUGAAAAAUUAUUACAUGGAUCACGUUCGAUUGGUCGGCGAACCAGUAUUGUUAUUGGCGACGGAACAAACAGAAAUCAAGCUAGUACUGUGGUGCAUAUCUCAGGUUUUGGUUUGCAAUUCAUAAAUCCCUCUUUCCACGACUCUGUCUUGGGAUGCUGGCAAUUCCAUGAAGCAGAGCUAUUAAUGGAAAAGGAUUCUUUGAAUUGGAGCAAAGAAAGACUUUGGUCAUGAGCACAAAAAUGAGAUGAAGAAAUUGUUGAAAGGAAAUGGAAGAGAAACAGAAUGAAAGAGAGGGACGGUGGUGAAAACCCCAUGUUUGGCCUUACAGGAUUUAGUAGUAUAUUUGGGAGAGAUGAGGAAUAAAGAAAGGCAUUGUUUAUAUAUUUAGUAGUAUAUUUAUAGACAAAGCAAUCUUAUUAUACUGACGAAAUCGAAGUCACUGUCCGACCAAAUCUCAAGUACAAGAGUGAGUAAUACGUGCGCAAAGCAAUGGGGGCACUAAAGACUAUGCACUUAUUUAUCGUUUCUCGUGACCCAAAAGUACUCUUUGUGUGCGCUUGGUAAUGUAUAACAGUUUAAAAAUCGUGACAGCUUAAUUUGAAUGUUCAGAUAUGUUUUUCCAAAUUGUAUUUAGCAAUGAGGUUUAUGCGAAGAUUGCUAUAAUUAAGUUUUGCUCUGGUGCCCAGUUUAUGAGUUUUGUUCUAAUCUUAAGCAGAUGCUACCAUAGAAUUAUAGAGAUUUAGGCAGUCUUUGUAUAAGGGGGGCUGCGCAAAAGUAUGUUAGUUCCAAUGAUAUUGAAGCUUUUUGUUUCUUGGAAACUAAAAUUUCUAAUUAUACGAACACCUUAGUCAAAAGUAUUUGGAGUGGGUCUAAACUGGAAUGGUAUAGUUUCUUAGCAAUUUAAUUAUGUUAUUGUAUGUGUGUUAAGCAUUAUUGCAUGCAUCACUUAUAAAGUAUUUUUAUUUUUGAACAGGAUGUCAUAGCAUGUGAUGUUAUAAAUCCUGAUCACAUAGAUGUGGAAUUUGAAUUAAUUGGAGGGUUGGAAUCUAUCAAGCAAGCUUUGUAUGAACUGGUGAUUCUUCAUUUGCGGAAACCUGAGCUCUUCUCACAUGAGAAACUUCUUGGUCCACAAAAGGGGGUAUUGUUAUAUGGACCUCUCUGAUAAUGGAAGCAAGGUAGUACUUUGUGAACAUUCUUAACUAGAUUGAACAUUCCUAACUUGUCUUUAUUGAAGAUCUUUAUUAGCAACAAGAUUUUGUUGGAUGCUCUAUUAACUUUGAAAAACAGGGCACUGUAGCUUGCGUAUCUAAUGGAUCUUACUCUAAUGAGUAAGAUUGCAAAAUGAUCAAAAUAUUGGUAUUUUUGUUGCUGUGUGGUAUUUCUAUAUAUCCUGCAUCAGGGAUUUAACAAAAGUAAUUGAAUGGCACACAUUCUUGCAAUUGUGAAAGUGGUCAUUACUGUAUUUUGCAACUAAAUCGUUGUGUUGAAACCAUCCCUCAUUAGUCAUUACAUUCUUUUCUGCAUCUGAAUCCAUUCAAGUCUUGUUGGUUCUGUGCUGACUAGAAACAGACUUAGAAGUAAUUAACUAAGUUUGCGUAGUUGCUUUUUUGCUCUUAUUGAAGUUCUUAUAAUCUGAUUGAUGUUGAUUCUCUUCUAUGCUGUUGCAGUUGCUGCUGCCUUUAGCCUGGCUUAUAAACUCCAGCCUGCCUUUAUAUUUAUUGACGAGAUUGACUGUUUCUGGGGCAGCGUCGUACUAGAGAUCUUAAGUUCUGCAUUAAUGCGGUGUUCUUAUGCAGUGACUUGCUAGAAUGUGUUUUAUGUAAGAUUUGUGAAAGUGUGAUUUAUUCAUGGGCCUGGCCUGGCCUGGCCGGACUCAGUGACAAUAUCUUACAAAAAAAUUAUCUUACUUUUUUUUUUGCUUUAGAUAUAAACAAUGCUUUAGAACAUUGUUUGUAGAUGGUUUUAUCACAAUUUUUAAUAGUCAUUUAUGUCUUACAAGCUACCAGAAUUACUAUAUUUUACUUGCAAAUAUUGCUACUUUUGUGAUUGCAGAAUCUGUCAGUCAAUCAUUCUUUUAAAUUUACAAGAGUUGCUUCAAUUUGUUCAUAACUCCAUAACUUUCAAAAUACUCCCAGAAACAGAGAUUGAUUUAAGUGAUCACGGAUAAGGAAAUGGAGACAUAAAAAAAGAACCCAAAACAUAAAUGAUUUUAUAGUUAACACAAACUUGUUACAUGCAUGAAUUCUUUUUCAUAGAAGUAAUGUACAUUUAACCUUGAAUUAUGUAAACUACAAAAAAAAAAAAAUCCAAUACUAUGAAUUUGCCACCCAAUUGUUGAUCCACUUGAUAUCUUGAUUGUACUGCAAAAUUAGACAGGUAAGACUGAUCAAAUGAAAUAGUAAAGAAAACAUAGCCUAACAUAAACUGUGAACAUAAAAUUUGAAAACUCAAAUGCUUGCAAAACUUACUUGAAAAUAUCAAUUGCAUUAUUUAGUUUCUUCUAGCACCAUAUCUGCCAGCAUUCUUCUUUGUUUUUUUGCUCUGGAGAUUCCAUUUAUCUUCAACCAUCCUAAAAAACCAUGAAGGCUUUUUUGUUCUUAACACAACGUAUCCCAUUGCAACUCCAAACACAAACCCGCAUCCAUACCCCAUUGUCACAGCUUUCCAUCCAAAUCCUUCUCCAAACAAUGUUGAAUCAUCUCCUUCAUCAAAGCUUGAUGGCGGUAAUGAUGGUGCCUCAUCACCGUAACAUUUUUUUAGUACUUGAGAUCCACAUAAACCCAAGUUUCCUUCAAAUGAGCUUGCAUCAAAGGUGUUGAAUUGCUUCCCACUUGGUAUGGCCCCUCGAGUUGGUUAUGUGAAAGGUUUAGGAUUGCAAGAAAUGUUAGACCCCCAGCUGCGUUGGAAUCCUUCCGGUAAGCAAAUUUGAAGAUAGAUCUAAUGAUUCCAAAUUGGUCAAAUUUCCUAAUGAUGAUUGGAUAUGACCUGUAAGGGAAUUAUGAGAAAGGUUGAGCUGUUGGAGUGCUUUAAGCUUUCCUAUCACUUUUGGAAUCUCUCCGGUGAAAUUGUUAUUUGACAAAUCAAGUACUCUGAUGGUACUUUGGAUCUUCGUAAACUCAAUUUCUACACCUUUCCAUGUCAUUUCUAUGGAAUAGACAUAGCUAGAGUAAUUUCUUGUCCCAUGUAAAUCAUGUUCUGAUCCGAGGCCAUCAUUGCUUCAAGACUAUUGAAAUACCCGUUGGCAAUGGCCCACUAAAAUUGUUGUCAGAGAUGUCAAAAAUCCGUAAUUUAGAGAAGGAAUUAUAUGCAGUCGGACCCUUCACAAAACCUUGGAGUUUAUUGGAUUUUAGGACAAGAAUUUGGAGCUUUGGAAGCGUUUCUAGAAAGUAGGGAAAUGUAUCCUCAAUCUUAUUGUUGCCAAGAUCAAUAACUUGCAACAUUGUGCAGUUGAUGAUAGACGGUGGUAUUUUCCCUUCUAAUUCAUUUCCAUUGAGGUUGAGAUAUUCCAAGCUAUUAUCCUUUGAAAAUGUUGAAGGGAUAGUGCCUUGAAGAUUGUUCAUGCCUAGAUGCAAUACCGAGAGCAUGCUGCUGAAGUUCCCCAAACAUUGUGGCACAGAACCACUCAAGCUGUUGGUGGACAAGUCCAGGACCUGAAGGAAUCUCAGCUUGCAAAUAGAAGAAGAAAUCUCACCUGUCAAAUUACUAUUGGAUGCAAGAAUAAGGGUUGUCAAGUUCUCUUGUUUGAAAAUCGAACUUGGGAUUGGACCACGCAAGUGGUUAUUGCUCAAAUCAAGGAAUCUCAAAGAAUCAUGUUGGAGUUCACUUAUAUUACCUAUGAAAUUAUUGUUAUGAAGGUCAAGAUAUUGUAAAGAAGGAAGAGCAAACAAAAAGGAUGGUAUUGUUCCAUUGAACAAGUUACCAUAUAAAAAUAGAUAUUGUAGAUUUGAAAGGGUAUUUAAUUGAGAAUGGAUAGGGCCUACUAGUUGAUUAUUUGAUAAAAUUAAAUAUGAAAGAUUGACUAGGCUACCGAAAGAAUCUGGAACUUGACCCAUAAAUUUAUUGAAAGAGAGAUGCAAGUCUUGAAGUUGUACAAGGUUUCCUAGUGAUGAUGGGAUCUGACCGUUAAAAUUAUUAUAUGAGAGGUCUAAAAAGGUGAGUUGUGUGAGAUUACCAAGUGAUGAUGGGAUCUGACUGCUAAAAUUAUUAUAUGAGAGGUCUAAAUAGGUGAGUUGUAUGAGAUUACCAAGUGAUGAUGGGAUCUGACCUUUAAAAUUAUUACUUGAAAGGUCUAAAAAGGUGAGUUGUAUGAGAUUAUCAAGCAGGGAUAGAUCUAACUUUAUAAUAUUACUAUUACGAAGAGACAUAUAUUCUAAUGACUUUAGAUUACUGAUUAAGUCGUUUUCUAAAUAAACUGAAAUUCUUGUAUUAGAAAGACCCAAAUGAGAGAGGACAUUACUCAAAUUGGAUGAAGGAAAAGAGCCAAUGAGGCCUUUGUUGUCUGACAGAUCCAGUGAUUCAAGGUUUGGGAGGAGAAAGAUGUUACGCGGGAAUUUCCCCUGCAAUCCACAAUUACUGAGGGAAAGAGAUGAAAAGGAAGAGGAUAGAUUCAUCAAGGAAUUGGGUGCAACCAGUGACAUGUUUACCCGACUCAAAUCGAGUUCUCUAAGCUUGGUUAGGUUUCGAACAAGCUUGUCAAAAGAAAUUGUUUCUAGACUCAGAUCGUCAUUGUCAGAGAGAUCAAGUGAAACCAAUUUGGAGAGGUGAGAGAUUUCCGACGGAGCUUGACCUGCAAAGACUGAGAAAUUUAGGUUAAGAUGUGUCAGGUUGGAAAAGUGGCCAAAUCGAGAAGAAAUAUGAGAGCUUUUGAAAUGAUUGUCAGAGAGGUCGAGCUUUUGAAGAUGAUGGAGGGAGAAGAGGGUGCUAUUGGAAUGGAGGGUGCCAUAAAGCAUGCUGCAAGCAAGGUCCAGUGCAGUGACAUGCCCUGUUUUCAUGUCACAGGUGACGCCAUCCCACAAGCAGCAGUCUGUACCCUCUUUCCACGACUCUGUCUUGGGAUGGUGGCAACGCCCUGAAGCAGAGCUACUAAUGGAAAAGGACUCUUUGAAUUGGAGCAAAGAAAGGCUUUGGUGAGGAGCACAGAAAUGAGAAGAAGAAAUAGUUGAAUGGAAAUGGAAGAGAAACAGAAUGAAAGAGAGAGAUGAAAUAGGUGGAAACCCCAUGUUUGGCUGGCCUUACAGGAUUCAAAGUAUAUUUGGGAGAGAUGAGGAAUGAAGAAAGACAUUCUUAGUAGUAUUUAUAGACAAACUAAUCUUAGAUUGUAUACUGACAUAGGAUGUGUAAAACAUGUAAAGACGAAAUCAAAUCUCAAGUACAAGAGUGAGUGAGUGCGUGUUGGAAACGCGGCAAUAUUAAUUAAUUAAUGGAAACGCGGCAAAGUAUAUUAAAACAAGAUUCCUUGUUGACUUCAAAUUGCGCAAACUGAAUUGUUGUUUCUUGGCAAAGUAAUAAUUACGCAAAGCAAUGACUUUUUGUUCGCUCGGUAAUUGAAUGUUCAGAGAUGUUUUUCCAAAUUGUAUUUAGCAAUGAGAUUUAUGAGAAGAUUGCUUUGCCCACUAAAAUGUAAUUUCCAAGAAAUUCUAUUUAAUAUACUUUGAAUUUUUUCAAUCUUUCAAUUUAUAUACUUUGAUUUACAUAAUCUUUCAAUUUAAAUACUUUGAUUUUUUCUUUUUCCUUUUUUAUUUUUCUAUUUUAAAUAAAAAAUAAUUUAACUAUGAGAUUAUGUAAAUAAAUAAUUAAAAAAUAUUUAUGCAGUAAAGAAUAAAAAUUAUAAACCCUUUACCUGAAUGAUUCAAUGAGUAUUUAUAGCCCUGAACCUUGUUACUUUGCUAGAAUGAAGGGCUUGAAAAGUCAUUUUUUUUUAUAGUAAUAAUAAAUGAUAGAUAUAUCUUACAUAAUAUUAAAUGAAAAACAAAUACCUCUUGUAAAAUAUUAAUAGGAGAUAAAUAUCCGUUACAAAAUAUUAAUAGUGAUGAAAAUAUAGUAGGUCCUUAUAAGAUUUUUAUACUACUAUGGAUAUAGAAAAAAGUUACAUGAAACUAAUAAAUUAAUCCCAAUUAUAGAACAAGAUGAUCAUGAUGUUGGCAUCAAAAAGUUGAUAUUUAGGAAGAAUUUUAUAUAUCCUUUUAGGCUCCCGGCCUGUCAUGCAGUUGGUGUGGGAAUAAUCCCCUUUGCAUGGGACAGGCUGACUCAUCAGUCCUCAUGCAUGUAUAUGUUUUGCAUGCGAUUGUUCAUUCUUAAAUGCAAUACUAAGAGUCUUUCGCUGAAGUUUCCUAAUUAAAUAUGCAAUAUUUAGUGAAUGUUUAUGAAUAACAUUAUACUGAACCAGUACAGGAAAACAGAGCACAACGAUGAACCAAGGAAUGUUUAUGAAUAAUAUUUAGUCGUCCUCAAAGGUUGCUUUGCCCACUAAAAUAUAAUUUCCAAGAAAUUCAAGCCUCAAUAUAUAGGAAGAAAACUGACAAUAGCUUUAUUGAGUUUAAAGAGUCAUCCUCACCUUCUUAUGUCCACUUCACUCCAGUCUACAGUCAACACAUGUUCUGGCUAUAGCUUUAUUGAACAGUCACUAGAAAACUGACAACAAAGCAACCCUUGGUACAGAUUUUUGCUGGAUAAAGAUUUUUGUUUAAAGAGUCAUCCUCACCUUCGUUUCGUUUUUUGUGUUACUACGAAGAAAAAUCUGAAGUAGUGCAGUGCAUAGCUGUUGUGGUGUACUAACCGAUCUUGCAGUAAAAUUGAGACUCUCGUGAAGUGUCAAUUUUAUAUCAAGGUCAGAAAGCAAGCAAUAGGUAAUGGUCCAGAAAAGUCUUCAAUUGAAUUAUUCAAUUGCGAAUAUUUCCUCGCAAGGAUUGGCAAGGAUUGGUGACUAAACAGGAGCACUGAGUAUUGGAAACACGGCAAUAUUAAUUAAUUUCCAAAAUUAAUAUUUUUAUUGAGAUCAAGUCUAUGUGAGUGAUGCGCAGCAAGUCUAUGUGCUAAUUAGAACUUCCUUUAUAGCUCGACUAACAUUAACUGUGUUCUUGACAUCAAUAUAUUAAAACAAUGUAAAAAUAUGUUAGCAAUACAAGAAUGUUAGACUUGAAGGAAUUUCAUAUUUAUUGCAUAAUAUUAAUAAAAAAUAAAUAUCCAUUAUAAAAUAUUAAUGGUGACAAAAAUAUAACAUAUCUAUAAUUUUACAAGUUAGACUUGAAGGAAUUUCAGAGCAGCGUACCGGAAAUUAAAGAAAAUAUUUAGUGAAAGUUUAGGAAUAACAUUACUGAACCAUUACCGGAAAACAGAGCAGCCUCCUAAAACUGACAAAGAUUGGAGUUUCAAGGUUCUUGCCCUCAAGAUUACCAAGUUAGUGGAGGCCUAAAAGAUUUUUGUUUUCCAGCAUCAACAAGGGAAAACCAAUCUUCAGCUGCUCUGUCCUUUUCCUCCUUGACCUCCAAGUCUUCGCAACCAUACAAUUAUUCAAUAUGGAACUGCAGGUUGAAUUAUUGAUCAGUUGCAAAUAUUUCCAUACAAUUAGGUCCCUUUGUUGACUAUACAAGAGUGUUGGAAACACGGCAAUUUUAAUUUCCAAGUUAGUGGAGGGCUAAAAGAUCUUUCUUUCUCAGCAUCAACAAGGGAAAAUCAAUCGUCACUUGGUCUGUCCAUUUCCUCCUUGACCUCCAAGUCUUCGCAACCCAGUGAGUGGUUCUGAAUAUGGAACUCCAGAUUGAAUUAUUGAUCAGUUGCAAAUAUAUUUCAUUGUUGCCUAUGCAAGAAUGUUGGAAACACGGCAAUAUUAAUUUUAAAAAUUAUAAUUUUUUAAAAAAUUAAAAAAAUAUUAUUUUAAUAUAUUUGUGAAUGAAAAAAAAUCGUAACCACAUUUCCAAACAUGUUUUAAAGGACACCAAGGCAACGACAGGAAAAAGAGUAUUGAGUGCUAGAAAUUAACAUUGUUGUUAAUUAUUAUAUGAAUUAUAUAAAAAUUAUAAUUUAUGUUGUUAUCUAUUUAUUUUGGUCAUCACAGAAAAAAAAAACAAUUCAUAAAAUAAAUAAAAAUUGUUGAAAAAAAUUAAAAUAAUAUAACAGUAAAAAAAAAUAUAAAUGCUCAAAAAAUAGCCAUCACUGUUUACAGAAGGCGAGGUUCCUAUCACCUUUCCUUGUUGACUAAAAAUUGUGCAAAAUCAUGCCCCCACAAGUAGUUGUUGCUAGACUAAAGGAAAGCAAGGCAAAGUAAUAAUUACGCCAAGCACUAAUGACUUUGCACUUAUAUAUCGUUUUUCACGACCCAAAAAAGAGUACUGAGAUAAGUCUAUUUGCAGCAAGUCUAUCUGCUAAUUCGAACUCUAAGAAUAGGAACACGACAAUAUUAAUUUCCUAAAUAAAUUAAAUAGUGUUUCAGGGGUUGCUAAUUUUUCUUAAAUUAACCAAUCCUUUUAUUAUUAAAAGUAAUUAAAUAGUUAUUUGACAAAUUUUGAUCAUGCUUCAUUCAAUAAUAUUUUUUUUAAAAAAACACUUUUCUUAAUUGCUUAACAAUCUUUCAAUUUAUAUACUUUGAUUUUUUAUUUAUUUAUUUUAAAUAAAAAAUAAUUUAACAAUGAGAUUAUGUAAACAAAUAAUUAAAAAAUAAAGAUUGUAAACCCUUUACUUUGAUUUUUCCUUUUUCUAUUCUAAAUAAUAAAUAAUUUAAACUAUGGGAUUAUGUAUACAUAAUUGAAAAAAUAAAUGAUAAACAAAGUCAUCUUCACCUUCUUAUGUCCAAUCCGCAGCUGUACAACAAGAUUAAGUAACCAAUAAAUUCAUUCAGCGAAUAUUUCCACAUGAGAAGAAGUCCCUUAAUUCACUAACACAAGUGCUAAUUAUAAUAAAUAAGGUAGUUAAUUGUGAAAUUUUUAUAGUAAGAUAAAAAAAAUUAAAAAUCGUGACAGCUUAAUUUGAAUGUUCAGAGAUGUUUUUCCAAAUUGUAUUUAGCAAUAAGAUUUAUGCGAAGAUUCCUAUAAUUUGCACUAAAAUAUAAUUUCCAAGAAAUUCAAGCCACAAAAUCGGAAGAAAACUUAAUAAUUUACGAUCGUAGUUUACUCACAGCUUAAGCAAGUGGGCAUGCAGAGUUAAAGAGCCAUCCUCACCUUCUUAUGUCCACUUCAAUCCAGUCUCCAGUCAACACGUUUUGGCAAUAGCUUUAUAUUGAACAGUUGCUAGAAAAGAACAGACAAACAAUGGAGAAUUAAUGGAGUUUGAAGUUUCUUGCACUCAGUUAGAUGCUGUGGGAUUGGUCGUCCUAAAAGGUCUUUCUCUUUCAGCAUCAACAAGGGAGAACCAAUCUUCAUUUGGUCUGUCCUUUACCUCCAAGUCUUCGAUCGGAACUUGGAUGGAAACCAGGGCAGAGUAAUAAUUACGCCCAGCAAUGGAGCACUAAUGACUUUGCACACAUAUAUAUUGUUUUUCACGACCCAAAAAGUCUUUUUUAAUUACCCAAAAGUUCCUAUCAACUUUUCCUGUCUACUUGGUUGGUCAUGUGAAUGAUGAGUGUAUUUUUUUAAAAUAUUUUUUUAUUAUAAAUAUAUUAAAAUAAUAUUAAUUUUUUACAUUAACACAUCAUAAUUAUAAAAAAUCAUUUUAAAAAAUUAAUUUAAUAUUUUUUUAGAUAAAAAAAAACAAGAUUAAGUAACCGAUAAAUUCGUUCAGUGAAUAUAUUGCAAUGGAAUUACUACUGGAAAUUAAACAGACAAAUUAAGAAGAUUGGAGUUUCUUUCUCAGCAUCAACCAAUCUUCAUCGGGUCUUUACUUUUCCAGCAUGUGGACAUGCAGAGUUUUAAGCACCAAAACCUAUUUAGGAACCAUAGUUCUAAUAAAUAAGGUAGUUAAUUGUUAAAUUUUAAUAGUAAGAUAAAAAAAAAUUAUAAAUCGUGACAGCUUAAUUUGAAUGUUCAGAGAUGUUUUUCCAAAUUGUAUUUAGCAAUAAGAUUUAUGCGAAGAUUGCUAUAAUUUUCACUAAAAUAUAAUUUCCAAGAAAUUCAUGCCACAAAAUCGGAAGAAAACUUCUUAAUAAUUUACGAUCGUAGUUUACUCACAGCUUAAGGAAGUGGGCAUGCUGCAGAGUUAAAGAGUCAUCCUCACCUUCUUAUGUCCACUUCACUCCAGUCUACAGUCUACACGUACGUUCUGGCAAUAGCUUUGUUGAACAGUCAACCCACUCAAUUAGAUGCUGUGGGAUUGGUCGUCAACACUUUAUUUUGUGAUCUGUCCGUUGCCUCCAAGUCGUCGAUCGGAACUUGGUUGUAUGGAUAUUGUAUAAUUUUAUUUUAAUAUAUUUUUAAAUAAAAAAUAUUUUAAAAAAUAAUUUUUACCGUACCAGCAUACUUUAAAAAUAAAAAUACAACAAUAUUAAUUUUUUAAAAGGAUUAAAUAGUAUUUUAGGGGUUGCUAUUUUUUCUUUAAUUAACUAAUCCUUUUAGUAAUUAAAAAGUUAUUUGACCAAUUUUAAUCAUGCUUUUUUCAGUAAUAGUUUUUUAAAAUAUUUUCUUUCAUAUCAAUCUUUCAAUUUAUAUGCUUUGAUUUUUUUUCUUUUUUUUUUCCUUUUUCUAUUUUAAAUAAAAAAAUAAUUUAACUAUUAGAUUAUGUAAACAAAUAAUUAAAAAAUAUAUAUGCAGUAAAUGAUGAAAAUUAUAAACCAUUUACCUUAAUGGUUCAAGAAGUAUUUUGUUGAAGUGGAGGGCCUGAAGAGUCAUUUUUUUUUAUAGCAAUAAUAAAAAAUAAAUAUAUUUUACCCAAUAUUAAAUGAGAAACAAAUAUUUAUUGUAUAAUAUUAAUAAAAAAUAAAUAUCUGUUAUAAAAUAUUAAUAGUGACAAAAAUAUAGUAUAUCUAUUACUUUACAAGUUAGACUUGAAUGAAUUUCAGAGCAGCGUAUCGGAAAUUAAAGAAAAUAUUUAGUGAAAGUUUAGGAAUAACAUUACUGAACCAUUACCGGAAAACAGAGCCCUCAAGAUUGGAGUUUCAAGGUUCUUGCGUACUAAAAGAUUUUUCUUUUCCAGCAUCAACAAGGGAAAACCAAUCUUCAUCUGGUCUUCGCAACCAUACAAUUAUUCAAUAUGGAACUGCAGGUUGAAUUAUUGAUCAAUUGCAAAUAUUUCCAUACAAGUAGGUCCCUUUGUUGACUAUGCAAGAAUGUUGGAAACACGGCAAUAUUAAUUUCCAAAAUUGUCAUUUUUCCAGCAAGUCUACGUGCGUGCAAUUUGUGCUCUAAUUAUAACAACUGUUAUUGGAGACUUCUACCCCUCUAUGCCUGGUUUUUCUUGGUUUCAUUGCAUCUUUGAAGUUUGGUUUUCCUUACAAUUUAUUUUAACUUUCAUUAGAUUUCUCUACAUUGUAAGAAAUAUUUUUAAGUGGAUCAUAUGCCAUGUCAUGUUUUUAAAAUAAUAUUAAUUGUAUAGUUUGCAAAAUAUUACGUAAUGUCAUGUAACCUCCAUCAAAAUAUAGAAAAUCUAAAGUUUGGUAUUGACGGUUCAAUCAUAACAUGGGCUAAAUCCACUCACUUGACAAGUGUUGAUCAUAAUGCAAAUAAUAAUUAAUUAAGUCAUAAAUACAAUUAAAAUUAUAGAGAUUAAAUGUAUAGUUUGCAAAACUACGCACUAGGUCGAACCAUGAUUAAUUGAGUGAAAAUAAUAACUUUUUCAGGAUUUAAAAAUUAAAACAAAAAAGCAAUAUGCAUUCCUUAUUGACACAAAAUUGUGCAAAAUCAUGCCGCCUAAGUAGUUGUUGCUAGAUUAAGGUCUUGUUUUUAAAAGUAUUUUUAAAAGAAUUUAAAUUUUUUUUCUUUUAAAUUAAUUUUUUUUAAUGUUUUCAUAUAAUUUUGAUGUGCUGAUGUUAAAAAUUAUUUUUUUUAAAAUAAAAAAAAUAUUAUUUUAAUACAUUUUUAAAUAAAAAUCACAUUAAAAAAUAAUCGUAACCAUAUAUCCCUAAACAUGCUUUAAGGACAUCAAGGCAAAGUAAUAGUUACACCAAGCACUAAUGACUUUGCACUUAUGUUUUUUUUUUUUUUUUGUUCCAAAAAAACGUCAAAUAAAAAAAUUGUUGAAAAAAAUUAAUAUAAUAUAUCAGUAAGAAAAAAAAAAUAAGAAUGCUCAAAAAAUAGCAAUCACUAUUUACUGAAGGUAAGGUUCCUAUCAACUUUCCUUGUUGACUCAAAAUAGUGCAAAAUGAUGCCCCCACUAAUUACGCCAAGCGCUAGUGACUUUGCACUUAUAUAUUGUUUUUUACGACCGAAAAAAGAGUAGGAAACACAGCAAUAUUAAUUAAUUUCCGAAAUUAACAUUUUUGUUGAGAUCAAGUCUAUAUGAGUGAUGUGCACAAGUCUCUGUGCUAAUUCAAACUUCCUUUGUAGCUUGUUUUAUUUAACUAUAUUUUUUUACAUUAUCACAUUAAAAAUAAUAUAAAAAUAAAUUACAAACAUGACAAAAAUUUUAUCACGCUAAUUUUUCUUAAAUUAACUAAUCCUUUUAGUAUUAAAAGUACGUAAUUAAAUAGUUCAUUUGACAAAUUUUGAUCACGCUUAAUUCAAUAAUAAUUGUUUAAAAAAACACACUUUUCUUGCUUGUCAAUCUUUCAAUUUAUAUACUUUGAUUUCUCCUUUACCUAUUUUAAAUAAAAACUAAUUUAACAAUGAGAUUAUGUAAACAAAUAAUUAAAAAAUAUGUAUAUAAUAAAAAAUAAAGAUUGUAAACUCUUUAUUUGUAUGGUUUAGGGAGUAUUUAUAACCUCUAAAUCUUGUUAUUUUAAUGGACUUGAGGGACUUGAAAGACAUUUUAUUUUUAUAGUAUUAAUAAAAGAUAAAUAUUUCUGACAAAAAAUUAAGUGAUGAACAAAUAUUCCUUAUAUAAAAUUAAUAAGGGAUAAAUUUAAGAACUUAAAAUUAAAAAUGAGUCAAGGCUAGUUUUUUAAUUAUUUUUUUAUCUGUGUUACUUUACCCUUUAUUUUAAUGUGUCAAAAAAACAAAAAAAUCUCCAAUAAUUGAACUUUAGUUUUCGUAUAAUGACCGGCUAUAAUUUGGUAAAAAAGAAUUAAAGAAAAACAGCCUUUUCCUCGACGUUUGAAUUGGAGCAGCGAAAGACUUUGUUCAUGAGCUCAUAAUUGAGUUGAAGAGGAGAAAUUUGAGGAGAAGGAUCGAUGAUUAAAUUGUUGGAUUAAAGUGCAAGGGAAACAUAAUGGAAAUGAGAAAUAUUUGAGUGAGGGAUAAUGAAUAAAAAAUAAAGUAGUUCGUAGACUUAGCUUUCUUGACUCAAAACUCAGCAAGACCACAGAUUAUAUGUCUGCAAAAUUAUGCAGCACUAAUGACUUUGCCUAUUAUAUCUAUAUUUUCAUGAUCCAAAAGUCUUCAUUGACUAGGAAUGGGAACACCACAGUAUUGAUUUACAUCAUAGUUAAUUGGUGUUUCUUAUUAUGAAGAAAAUUAAUUAAUCAUAUUAAAAAUAAUUAUAUAGUCAUUUGACAAGUGUUGAUCAGAGUACAAAUAAUCGAGAAUAAUUAUGUUAUAAAUACCAUUAAAAUUAUAGAGAUUUAAUGUAUAGUUUGCAAAACCACUUGCUAGGAUUAAGUUAUAAUUAACUCAAAUAAAAAAGAAAUUUAUGCAAAGGCUCUGGUCGGAAAUGUAUCAAAAUAAAUUUUUUUUUUUUUUUAUAUUAGUGCAUCAAAAUAAUCUAAAAACAUAAAAAAAAUGUUAAUUUGCAACAAAAAAAUAAAAAAAUUUUAAAUUUUUUCAAAAACAUUUUUUAAACAUAAAAACAACUUCUUGGGACCCGUUGAUAGAAAACUGUAUAAAAGUGAUUACAAUUACAGAGAAACAAAAUAUUGAGAUUUUAGAAGAAAAAGUGAAUUAAAAGAGGAGAAGGGGAGGAGUGAGAAAUGGUGGAUUGGUAUUUUAGAAGAAUUAAAUGCAUUAAUCGAGAUUAAGUCUCGUCUUUGGAUGAUAUGAAGAUGCAAAACCCGUAUUGGUCUGGUGUAUUUAUAGAAAUUGACAUGGAUGAAUCUAAUCAAAUUAGAAUUUGAAGAUAAUGGAAGACAUAAUUUAUAAAACGGUCUAAAACAAGAACAAUAAUCAUGUUUUAUUACUAAUAAUUUACUGUACAUUAUUUAAAAGGAUUACAAUCCUUUUUAAACAAUGUAGUAGAAUACAUUAGAUGUUUUAAUAAAAUAUAACUCUUAAUCUUAAUAUUGUAUUCAUGUAGCCUAAAUGCAUAUACGUAGUUAGUUAGCAUUUAUUACUUUUUAGUGAUGAUUUUUUUUAUCUUUCGGAUUGUUUUAGUAAUACUUUUAUGUUGACUUAUUAAUUUAUAUUAUGAGACUUGACUAUAUUUGUAAGUAUAAAUAUUGAGAUAUUGUUUGAUGAAUGAGAUGUGAUCUAGGAUGAUUGGAUCAAGAUGAAAGUUGGAAUGACAUAUAAUAGAAGUGUUGUCGAUAACUUGGUACCAACAAAAAUAGAGGAAACUCUGUCGAAUUUUUUUUAAAUCUCAUAAUCUUAGACAUAUUAUUCAAUACUUGACAUUAGUAAAUAAAUAUUUGAGAUUUCAUGAUAUUAUAAUUUGAGGAUGUUACAUCAUGACUUCUUCUAUUACAAGUGAUAUAAUUAUCAGUGUUGACAAUGAUACCACUAUGAAAGCAUAAUAUUCUUAAAUUAUAGAUAUUUUAUCAAACAACACAAUGAAACAAAAUUCUAAUUUAUUAAUAUCUUGAGAUUAAUCAAAGUGCAUCAAUUAUCAACUAAAAUAUAACAAAAAAGGAGAAAAAGAUGGGUGAUGUAUGCCGCACGUCAAAAUCUGCGUGGCAUCGGCUGGCGAUGUUUUUGUUAUUGCGUUGCUUUGAUUGGUUCAUUGGAGUCACCACCUAGUAUUUAAUUGAGGGCUACUAGGAAACCCAGGUAUACUAGGAAACCCAAACCCAGUGUUUUUGUAAGGGACUGGUUGUGGUUAGGGAAGGUAUUAGGACCCCUAACGCACCCUACCUGAGGUAAGCUGCUUUAUGGCUUUGACGUGUUAAAGAAGUUUUAAAAUUUUAUCUUUUCAUCGGAUAUUAGAAAUACAACUUACGUAUAAGUUAAUAAUUCUUGACCGUGAUCCAAUCAAAAUAUUAAAUUCUUCUUUAAUCUUUGCAAUUUUAUCAUAAUAAAAAAAAAAACAUACAUAAAAUAAAUACAAACACACGCUUUCACUUUUCCUAUAUUUUUUCUUUCUUUUCUUUUCUUUUCUUUUCCUUAAAGUUUGUUUAAUGUAAUAUUUGUUUAUUUUUGGGUUUUUGUAAUUUGUACUUUGUAAAUGUGGAUAUAAAAGAAAAGGAAAAGAAAAGAAAAGAGAGAAAGAAAAAAUAUAGGAAAAGUGAAAGCGUGUGUUUGUAUUUAUUUUAUGGAUGUUUUUUUUAUUAUUAUGAUAAAUUUGCAAAGAUUAAAGAAGAAUUUAAUAUUUUGAUUGUAUCACGAUCAAUAAUCAUUAACUUAUACGUAAGUUGUAUUUCUGAUAUCCGAUGAAAAGACAAAAUUUUUAAAACUUCUUUAACACGUCAAAGCCACGAAGCAACUUACCUCAAGUAGGGUGCGUUAAGAGUACUAAUACCUUCCCUAACCACAACCAGUUCCUUACCCGCAAAUCUUUGACAAGACCAGUACAUCCGGGUUUCCUAGUAGCCCUCAAUUAAAUACUAGGUGGUGACUCCCAAUGAACCAAGCAAAAUGAUAACAAAAAUCGUCAGUCAAAGCCACGCGGGUGACAUGCAACAUUAUAUAUAAUAUAUCCGAUGAUGUUUAUGUCAAUAUUCACAUACAUAUAUAUUUCCUCACAUGUAUAUCAACACAACAAUAAAAAGAGUUAAAAAAAACAACAAAGAGGAAUCACAACAAGACGAGAAGAAUCCUAAGCUCCACAUAUUACAGGGGUUUUAACAAAAACAAAUUACAAGAUUUUAACAAAACCAGGCUAUAAGGUUUUAACAAAAAUAAGGUUACGAGGUUUUAACAAAACCAGGCUCUGAUACCACCUUUGUCACAACCCGAAUCCCGGGUCCAUGACCAGCAACACAGGAGCGGUGUCGAAAGGACACCCCACCUACGCUAAGCCUUAGAACAGACAUAUCAAAAGAACAAGUUAUUCAAAAAUACGUAGCAUUUCAUAAUCUUUAGAAAUACUAUAUUAUUAAAUACUGAUGAAACCAAAAGAUUGUUUAAAACUCCUCAUCAGUAAUUAAAAACAAAAACAAUAAUCCAUAAUACUUAUUACAUUGUCAAAAUCAAAACUUAAUUAAAACAAGCUAACGGUAUGAAGAAUGUUCAGGAAAGAUUGCUUCGUCUAGAGGGCUGGAUAGGGGAUGUUCUUGAUGAUGAAGAUCGUUCAGUUCAGGAUCGACUUGAAUUAGCCAUGGAAAUCGUUGAAAAGGUUAUUGCACAAUAUGUUGAUCUCACGGCAGAAUCAGGUCGCAAGUGGCAGGCUGUCAAGGAAGAGAGUUGGGAUGGGUGGUUGGCUGCAGUUUGAGAGGGGAGAGUUGGGAUGGGGAAGAAGAAGGGGAUGAAGAAGGAGAAAUAGAGGAAGAGAGUACUGUCAACAGAGUGGGUAUAUAAUUAUAUAUAGGUUGUUACCGAUGGAAUCACCGACGGAAUGUUUCCAUCGGUAUACCUGUCGAUGAAUCAGGUGGUGAAUGUGCGACGUCGCUGUACAGAGAUCCCAGUUUGAAUCCCUUGAUCAUUUUGUCGGUAAAACCGUCUGGAAAAAAAAUCCUGACCAAAGUCUUUCUUUGCUCCAAUUCAAAGAAUCCUUUUCCAUUAGUAGUUCUGCUUCAGAGCUUUGCCACCAUCCCAAGACAGAGUCAUGGAAAGAGGGUACAGACUGCUGCUUGUGGGAUGGGGUCACUUGUGACCUGGAAACCGGGCAUGUCACUGGACUGGACCUCUCUUGCAGCAUGCUUUAUGGCACCCUCCAUUCCAAUAGCACCCUCUUCUCUCUCCAUCAUCUUCAAAAGCUUGACCUCUCUGACAAUGAUUUCAAUAGCUCCCAUAUUUCUUCUCGAUUUGGCCAGUUCUCCAAUUUGACACUUCUUAACCUAAAUUUCUCAGACUUUACAGGACAAGUUCCGUUAGAAAUCUCUUAUCUCUCCAAAUUGGUUUCACUUGAUCUCUCCAAAAACUCCUAUCCAAGUCUAAAACAAAUUUCUUUUGACAAGCUUGUUCGAAACCUAACCAAGCUUAGACAACUCGAUUUGGGCAGUGUAAAUAUGUCUUUGGUUGAACCUAAUUCCUUGACGAAUUUGUCCUCUUCUUUGGCAUCUCUUUCGCUCGGGGAUUGUGGAUUGCAGGGGAAAUUCCCAGGUAACAUCUUUCUCCUCCCAAACCUUGAAUCACUUGAUCUGAUAUUCAAUGACGGCCUCACUGGCUCUUUUCCUUCGUCCAAUUUGAGUAAUGUCCUCUCGCGGUUGGAUCUUUCUAAUACAAGAAUUUUAGUUUAUUUAGAAAAUGACUUAAUCAGUAAUCUAAAGUCAUUAGAAUAUUUGUCUUUUAGUGAAAGUAACAUUACAAGGUCAGAUCUAGCUCUGCUUGGUAAUCUCACACAGCUUACUUAUUUAGACCUCUCAGGUAACAAUUUUAACGGUGAGAUCCCAUCAUCAUUUGGAAACCUUAUACAGCUUCGUUCCUUGUAUCUCUAUUCCAAUAAAUUUGUGGGUCAAGUUCCAAAUUCUUGGGGUAGUCUAAUCCAUCUUUUAGAUUUAGAUUUAUCUGAUAAUCAGCUAGUAGGCUAUGUCCAUUCUCAAAUAAAUACCCUUUCAAAACUAGAGAGUCUAGGUUUAUCUGAUAACUUGUUCAAUGUAACGAUACCAUCCUUUUUAUAUGAUCUUCCUUCUUUAUAUUAUCUUGACCUUCAUAACAAUAAUCUCAUAGGUAAUAUAAGUGAAUUCCAACACAAUUCAUUGACUUACCUUGAUUUGAGCAAUAACCACUUGCAUGGUACAAUCCCAAGUUUGAUUUUCAAACAAGAGAACUUGGAAGCCCUCAUUCUUGCAUCCAAUAGUAAAUUGAUAGGUGAGAUUUCUUCUUCUAUUUGCAAGCUGAGAUUCCUUCAAGUCUUGGACUUGUCCAACAACAGCUUGAGUGGUUCUACGCCACCAUGUUUGGGGAACUUCAGCAACAUCCUCUCAGUAUUGCAUCUAGGCAUGAACAAUCUUCAAGGCACUAUCCCUUCAACAUUUUCAAAGGAAAAUAGCUUGGAAUAUCUCAACCUCAAUGGAAAUGAAUUAGAAGGGAAAAUAUCUUCGUCUAUCAUCAACUGCACAAUGUUGGAAGUUCUUGAUCUUGGCAACAAUAAGAUUGAGGAUACAUUUCCCUAUUUUCUAGAAACGCUUCCACAUCUGCAAAUUCUAAUUCUAAAAUCCAAUAAACUCCAAGGUUUUGUGAAGGGUCGGACUACAUAUAAUUCCUUCUCUAAAUUACAAAUUUUUGACAUCUCUGACAAUGAUUUUAGUGGGCCAUUGCCAACAGGGUUUUUAAAUUGUCUUGAAGCAAUGAUGGCCUCAGAUCAAAACAUGAGUUACAUGAAUGCAACAAAUUACUCUCGUUAUGUCCAUUCCUUAGAAAUGACAUGGAAAGGUGUGGAAAUUGAGUUUUCGAAGAUACAAAGUACCAUCAGAGUACUCGAUUUGUCAAAUAACAAUUUCACCGAAGAGAUUCCAAAGGUGAUCGGAAAGCUUAAAGCACUCCAACAACUCAAUCUCUCUCAUAAUUCCCUUACAGGUUAUAUCCAAUCAUCAUUAGGAAUUUUGACCAAUUUGGAAUCAUUAGAUCUAUCUUCAAAUUUGCUUACCGGAAGGAUUCCAAUGCAGCUGGGGGUUCUUACAUUUCUUGCAAUCUUAAACCUUUCACAUAACCAACUCGAGGGAUCCAUACCAAGUGGAAGGCAAUUCAACACCUUUAAUGCAAGCUCAUUUGAAGGAAACUUGGGUUUAUGUGGAUUUCAAGUACUGAAAGAAUGCUACGGUGAUGAGGCACCAUCAUUGCCGCCAUCAAGCUUUGAUGAAGGAGAUGAUUCAACAUUGGUUGGAGAUGGAUUUGGCUGGAAAGCUGUGACAAUUGGGUAUGGAUGCGGGUUUGUGUUUGGAGUUGCAACGGGAUAUGUUGUGUUUAGAACAAAAAAACCUUCAUGGUUUCUUAGGAUGGUUGAAGAUAAAUGGAAUCUCAAUAGCAAAAAAACAAAGAAGAAUGUUGGCAGAUAUGGUGCUAGAGGAAACUAAAUAAUUCAAUUGAUAUUUUUCAAGUAAGUUUUGCAAUCAUUUGAGUUUUCAAAUUUUAUGUUCACAGUUUAUAUUAGGCUAUCUUUUCUGUACUAUUUCAUUUGAUCAAUCUUUCCUUUCCAAUUUUGCAGUACAAACAAGAUAUCGAGUGGAUUUGACAUUGAAACAACACCAGGGUGGCAGAUUCAUGGUAUUAGAUUCCCUUAAUUUUUUUUUUCUUUUCUUUUUUAACUUUCAAGGUUAAUUGGGUGUUACGGUAAUGGUUAGAAUGAUGUUAGUCUUGUUUGUCAGUUAAGAGAAUCAGUUAGUAUUGUUUAAUAAAGAAUAGAUAACGUGAAUAAGCUUCGUACUGUAGCAAUAUAUAAACUGAUGUCAAAUAAGGGAACAUUAUUCAAUUAAUAAAACAUUGAAUAAAAAACAAAAUUUCUUCUUCCUCUCUGUUUAACAGAAUCCUUCUCUGCUUUUCUUCAUCACUCUCUAUUCCUUUUUCUGUGUAAAUCUUACUAUCCUAACAUGGUAUCAGAGCUUAGGAUUCUUGAUCUUGUGAUCUUCUGCUUCUACAUUCUCUGUUUCUGUUUCUGGCAUUAUUAUCUCCUUAUCCAAACAAUUCUUUCAUCAUAAUCCAUCUGUCUAUUAUAUGUUUGAUAUAUUGUCAAACUGAAAAAAAAAAUUUCUUCUUUAAAUCUUCAACUUCUUGCAAGAUUCUUCCUUCUCAAUCUUUGAUUCUCUUCGUUUCUAUCUCUUGCACUCUAAAAAAAUGUUCCUUCUGAUCCUACUGCCUCCGUCUUUCUUCCUCUUUCUCCUAGCAUAAUAUGGUGUACUCUUCAAGCAUAGAAAGAAGGCGGAUACCAUCAUAGAAGAAUUCAGUGCCUCUCUUGCUUUCCCAUGUCAUGGUUUUGGAAGCCAAAGCCUCCACCAUACCUGGCAUUUUAUUAACCAAAUUGCGAGCUUUCUCAGCACGCUUGAGAGUCAGAUGAGCACCUCUCGCAGCAUUGUAUCGAUUGUCAUCCUUGUUAUAUUCCUCAAGCCAACUCUCCUCUUCACAUGCAGUCAACCAUUUCUCAACCUUUUCAAGUAUUUCUUUCCUGCUAAAAGAUUCCUCCUUAACAUUAGCAAUUUGAAGCUCAAUCUGCUCAAGUAUACUCGCAGGGUCCAUGUUUCCAGAUUCUAUGGCUUCAACAUCAUAUUCUUCUGCAGAUCAGUUUGCUGAUAUACUAACUAAAGCAUCAUUGUUUCAAUCUCAUGCUUGGCUCCUCCAAGCCUGCGAUUGAGGGGGCAUGUAAAGAUAUCAACGGCUCUACUUCUACCAAGUGUCAGAAGAUUAGAGAAUGGAAUGGUUAGAAUGCUGUUAGUCUUGUUUGUCAGUUAAGAGAAUCAGUUAGUAUUGUUUAAUGAAGAAUAGAUAACGUGAAUAAGCUUCGUACUGUAGCAAUAUAUAAACUGAUGUCAAAUAAGGGAACAGUAUUCAAUUAAUAAAACAUUGAAUCAAAAACAGAAUUUCUUCUUCCUCUCUGUUAACAGAAUCCUUCUCUGCUUUUCUUCAUCACUCUCUAUUCCUUUUUCUGUGUAAAUCUUACUAUCCUAACAGUUACUUCUAUGAAAAAUAAUCCAUGUAUGUAAUAGGAAUUAAAAUAGUAGAGAAUUAAAACAAUCCCCAUAAAUUUAAAAGAACAACACUUGACUGACAGAUUCUGCAAUUCUGAGUCGCCUAAAAACAACAUAUUCUACUUAUAGCAUUUCAGAAUAGGAAAAACAUUAAAAUAAUUUAAAAUACAAUUUCUCUUGGCCUGAUAUUAAGAAAAAACAGAUGAAUAUCCGACUCAAGAUUCAAGAUUUGAGAUACUACGAGUUUAGAGAGCUCAUUAGUUGUGGCUUGAACCUGAUAGUCAUCUGACUGCCUUGGCCACCCAGGUGAAUGUCAGCUUGACCUACUGUACUCAUUUCAGCAACCCUAGUCUUAGUUGGUGUGCCAUGAACUCUCUGCAAGUCUGACUGGGACAAUGGGCUUGGUGCCUGAGAAAGAAUAACAACGAAGAAACUCAAAAAAGGGUUAAAAAAUCCACAGCAAGCUCAGACAAUGGAAAGAUAAAAUCCUCAAGAUAAUAUUUUUGAAACCAAUAGCUAUCCAUUGUAGUCCAUAACAACACUUUGUUUAAUUUCUUCUAGUUCUCAUGAGGAACCAUACUAUCUUCUAUCCAUUGCAAUGGAAGUCAUUGGUUUUGGAUAGAGCACAACAGGCAACAAUUACCAAAACUUUUCCAUGACACCCUCAGGCAUGCAUGGGAUUUCUAUGCAAAUAUUAAAAAUCAAUAAAAAUACGUUGAAGAAUUAGCCGAGAUUAUAACAAAUCACAGAUGAGAGAACUAUAUUGUUCAGUAUACUAUAAAAUAACUGACGGAAGCAUGCAACAACACGAUGAUAAAUAUAUACAUAAACUAGAUUUUUCCCCUUGUUCUCCUCAUCCAAUAGGUCCCUAAUAGGAAAAUAAGCUGCUUUUGCAAGGUUCAAGAAGAUCUGAACCAUUGUAGCCCUCCCACAAACUUGCUAUGCAGUCAAAGUCAGUUUUGCUUUCGAUUUUCUCCCCUUUCAAAACAACCUUCAGGAUCUCAGCCCUCUCUCUUUGAUCACGUAUCCCAAUUUCAAAGGCCUGAGGAAGACGCCGGAGGAUUGCUUCAUCGAGUUCUGAAGGUCAGUUGGGUGCAGCAAGUAACAUCUCUUAUAAACCCCUGGUUAUAAUUUUUUUUUUGGUAUUUAAAAGAUGAGAAAUUUAACCAAUAGUAAAAUGGGUUAAAUUAAAUUAAAAAAACCUAAAUCAAAAUAAAAAUAAUAAAAUUAAUGAAAUGAAAAGUGAAUAUAGUACUAAAUCAUUGAAAAGAAAAACAUUUGUGAGGACAAAAUGAAUACAUAAGAUCAAGAGAGGUCAAUAUUCAAAUAACAGAAGGUUGGGAGUUUAUGUACAAAUGAUAAAAAGAAGUGGGGAUAAAUGUGUAAUUAACAAGAUGUUAGAACUAUAAAUAUCAUUCUAUCUUCUCUCUUGGAGGGACUGGCAAGAGUAAGAGAGAGGCUGGAUAGAAGAUAUAUUGAUGGCAGAUCAACUGACAGUUAUAACUCCACCUUCCACUGUUGGAUCAGCACGAUAUUCGAAUAUGUUGUUCUCAUCCAUGUUGUGUACAUUGUCACCAUAGGGAUUUUCUAUAUCAGUCCCUGUUUGAAAGAUACCGAGAGAGGAAAAUAUCUGGGAAAAUACACUUCUUGACAGUUUUCUUUGCUGUCUGUUUUCUCCUUCGACCACCAUUGGAUUAGGCUAUAACUUGGAUAUGUUGUUCUUCUUGAUUCUGUCUAGAUUCUAAACGGUGCAAAUCUGAAACAAACAUUCGGUAUAGAAGUUGUGUAUCUCGCACAACAGGUCUGCAAGUUUGAUGUCAGUUUUGUUAAACCCAUAUUUCUGGAAAUUUCAUCAUUUGAUGAAGUUAAUAUUUGGAUAUGUUAUACUCAUAAUAAUGCAUUAUAACUUGACACUAUGAAUUGUUGGAAUAUUAUUCGUUUGUUAUUUGUGGUUGAUUGAAACUGUUAUCAAAGAUUGUGUUUAGUAGAAUAUUGUUCAGAAAGUUUGUAAAAUCGAUAAGAAUGUUUUAUUUUGACGUGAAGAGGGAUGAUUGAAAUAAAUAAGAAAAAUUGGCUUUUAUAAAGUAAUUUUUUGACACUCUUUAAUGAUAUAUGAUAUGGCCAGUGGUUGAGAUAAAAGAGAAAAAGUUAAAUUAUGGAUGUGUGUAAAUGGAAUGGUUGAUGAAUCUGGACAGAUUCGUCUCCUGACUUUUGGAGAUAAUUCGAGUAGGAGGAUGAGAAAAUUAGGAUCAAGUUUCUUCAACCAAAACUGCAUGUUUGAUUGGUUUUAGGUGGUUGCUAGGAAGUUCAUGCAGACCGGCGGACGGAUUUUGGCUAAAGCAAGGAUUGAUGAAGGAAGAAUCCAUAGCCCAUCUCCACAGAUCAAACCAGAGGCCACAGCAGGAACCAUCAAGCUUGCCUUUCUGCUGUUCAGCUUGUGCCAAGCAAACACAACCAAACUCCCCACACACAUAUCAAUGGCGAAGUAGGCUCCAACGAGGAAAGGCACUGCCAUGGCCAUUGGAAGAGGAACAUAUUUUCCACUAUUGUUGAGAGAAAGAUCUCUCGACAAGUUGGCCAGUAUAGCAAAGCCGAAAAACCCGUAACAAAGCUGCAAGCAGUGCUGGGGAAGGGCAGAGAAGCCUUCAACACCAAUAAUUGCCAUGUUUCUGUAGAUAAUGGCAUAGGGAGCUUUGUAUUCACCAUUGGGGUUUCCGACAUCAAAAGCCUUGUAGAAGAGGAAGAACGUGACCGGAGCUACAACACAGCCUAUGACAGUCCCGAUGGCCUGGCUAAGAAGCAUUGAUCUAGGAGAAGUGAGAGUGAGAUGACCAGUCUUGAAAUCAUGCAUCAAGUCAGAAGAGAUGGAAACAAUGGAUUUAAUCAGGCCACAGCCCACCAGUCCUGCAACGACACCGUUGUUUUUACCUGCCAAGGAUGCGAGUAAAAAGAGGGCCACCUUUCCAUAAUUGUAAGCCAUGUUCAUGUCAGUUAGACCAGCCCCGUAAGCAUUGCAGAAGCUAAGAGAGGGAGCCAGAAUGUAGGCGACAACUACAUAGUACCACUUUAGCUCUGGAAACAUGAGAGGGAUGGCGAUGAUGGCAAUGAUGGAGAAGGUGAUGUACCCUAAACAUGCUACCCAAAGAGGGAUGCCCUCUCUUAAGAAGAUUUCAUUUCUUUGAAGAUCAUCACGAGCUUGAUUUUUGUCUUCUGCAAUUGCAAGUGGAAAACGAUAUUAAUGAAGUUUCUAUGAUGAACUCAACGUUAUCAAAACGGGCUUAUCAACAUUAGCAUGUCACUGGUUGCAGCACAUCAAAUUACAGAAUACAAGAGCAUUCCGAAUAUCACCAAGAAAUUAGAAAUGAAAACUCCUGAAGUCUCUCUCUGGUCAGGUCAACGGAGGUCUUUUAGAUAUAGUAUGGGGGAGCUGUAACCGGAAAGGGAGAUUUAGCUAUGCAAUAACAUAAGAACAUGAAAAAAAUAACAUCAACUCACCUGUUUUGUUUGUUAGCUUUUGCUCUGGCACGCAUACUCCUCGCAGUGAAAUAGAGUAUUUUGAGAAAAUUGUAGAGGCCGUCUCCUAGGAUCAGAGAAAUAGAAAUGAAAACCUGCAACAAAAAUGAAUUUCUUUAAGACUUAUUUCAGCAAAAACCUCUAGCACCGAGGAACGCGUGGGGGAAUCUACGACGAAAUUGAGCUAAAAUUUCUUAAUUGCAGACCUUGUAGCCAUUUAGACUCUUCAUACUACUUUCUGGUAAAGUUGAAGGGAACCACUCUCCUUUAAGCCCACCUAUCAACGGCCACAUUAAUCCCCACGAAAGCACUGCUCCGAGAAGCAAAGACAAAUUCACAAGAUGGGAACAGAUCAUUCCCGCACCGAUAUAAGUCAUACUGAAAUCGAAGUAAAACCUGCCAAAUUCAAUUUCUCUAAUCAAUUAUGAUGGAAGAAUCAAUCACAAGCAGGCCCUCAACAUUUGAAAAAAAAAAUAGCCAAGCACUCACGAAUUUUUCCAAGCUUUCAACCCAAAUGCAGGGAACUGAGAAAAUCCACAUUUUUCUCCACCAGAAUAGAACCACUGAAAGAAAGCCCACAGGAAACUUAAUGAAAAGAACUUCAUGAACCCAUGCACCUGUUUCCUGCAAGUUAAUGGUUUUCUUUUUUGAGUUGUUUCGUACUCAACUUCUAUCUAGUGCUAAACAGCAAGAAUCGGGAACAAGACUCAUGCUUACCUAGCCAUCUUGUCUCCUGUAGGAGUGUGGAACCCAUUGAUGAGAACUGCAGUUGCAGUUCCACUUGGAUAACUCAAUUUGUAAUCUAUUAUCAUGAUCUGGGGCACCAAAAAAUGCAUGAUCAGACCCCAAUUCAAGCUUCAUAAGUAACAUACAGAAGAAGUCAAGAUCACUGUCGAUUAAGAUUCAAAUUAAGUUGAAAACUUGCAAUCAUCAAUUCAUGAAGAAUUACCUCUAGAACACCAGCACUACUAAAACAUAAACAAUCGAUUCAUCAAGAAAAUUGAAGAAAACAUAUUACCUUUCGCAGAGGAACUAGAGCAAGUAGCCCAACGAAGCUGCUUACAAAGAGGAAACCGGUCAUCCAACCAAUCCCAGGUUCCUUAGUGCUCCCAGGAGUAUUCCCCUCUGUAUCAACCCCAGCUUGCUCAUAUGUCUUCCUAUUCAAACCCAGUAGAUAAGAUCCAAAACCACCUGCAAUUCAAUAAACAAAUCACAAUUCGCACACAUAUUAAAAAGAUUAGAAAAACUUGUUCAAAAUAUAAACAACACAUGAGAUCAAAGUCUCAAACCUCCAACAGCAAUGCUAUAACAAGCAACAGCACAAGUUUGAACUAUGGUAUUCUCUUGUCGGGUAAAGGGAGCGGUUACAAUUCCAGCCUUUGAGAGGAGCUUAGUCCAUGUUCUGAGGAACACAAAUGCAAGAAGAGCAGCAGAGACAUUGAGAUUUGGGACUAGACCAGUGGUGAGAUUCAGCUUCAUGACUAUAACACUGUAUAUGAUCCCAAUUGCUAUGCUAGCAACAAUUCCCCUAACUGUAAUCUGUUUAGUCCAUGGAGCAAUCCUCUUGAUAUCCUCUGGCUCAUCUCUAACUUCUUCCAUGCCCUCUCCCCCAACCUUCUCAAUCUCUUUCAUUUCUUCCAUGUUCAUAUUCAUCACAAUCUUCUCACUAAUACAAUCAACAAACCAAACUCAUCAUCUUGAAUCCAAUAGAAUGAUUUAUAGAAGAUAAACACACAUCAAGAAAAUCUGAUAAAACUACAAAAAAUAAAAAAAUUGAAUAAAAACAAAACGUCAUGAAUUAUAUUACCUUAUAAGCCUCCUCCUUUUUCUUGCUCCUCUUCUUCUUUCGACCACAGCUUCAAAAAGCACCCGAAGAAUCCAACUUCCUCAGUCAACUACUAACAAGUCUCCAUCAAUCAAUACAAGUAGAUGCAAGAGCAUAUAGCUUCCUUCAGAAAGACAACAAAACAUUCAAAUCAACACAUGGGCAAGGGCCAGCCUCUAAGUUGACUUAAGGAAACUCUCCAAGAAAAACAGACGGCAGCAGACGAACUUGAUUCGAGGCCUUCAAGAAAAGCCCAAAAACCAUAAAUAUUGCUUCUUCCAAAGCAAUAAUCAAGAGCAUUAAAUGUCAGGCCAAGAGAACAAAAACCCAAGCUUCUUAUAUGGCAAAAAAACACAGCAAUUGUUUUUCUUAUUUAUACUAAAUUCAAGCACCACCAGCCCACCCACCAGCAUUUUCUAUGUACUGCAAAGAAGUACAAGGCAAGGCUGCGUUGUAGUACAAAACUCAUCAGAACUCCAACGAUGGCUGCUAUACACAGAUGUCAGGUUCAUAAAUUUGAUCCUCGUCUCGUUGACUUAUUACCACCACUUUUCACCCUCUCUUCAUCCUUGUAGUACAGAUAUAGAGAGAAGAAAAGUGGGCAAUCGUAAGCAUAAAAUUGCUUAAAGUGAAAAGCAAGAAAUGGAACUGCUAACUGGAUUGAACUGGCUGCUUCACUUGAAAGUGCCUUCCCUUUACAGUCAUAACAUGUGUAUGGCAAGUUAAGAGUGGAUCUUGAUCCCUCUACUCUUAUUUCCCUUAAUUUAUCACCUUCUGUCUUGAUAUCACUCUCUUUAUUAUAUUCUUUAUUUUAGUCAACUGUAGCCUAGUAGUUAGACACCUCAAUCCCAACCUAACUUGUUUGGAUUAGAACCCAAAGACUGCUUCGUUAAAGAUUGAGAUUUAUUUAAUCAACUAUUGUACUAUACUAGGCAAUGACGUCGUUUAACAUAAACAUAAUACUAACAUUUUCAAUAGGAUGUUCUCUUAUCCCACGCAUAAGAAAAAAAAUUUACGAGGGAUUAAUUGUUAAGGGUUAUAUUGAAGUAUAAAAUAGUAUAAGGAUCAAAUUAAGAUAGAAUGUAUAGUGAAAGGAUAAAAAAGACAACACUAGCAAGGCGUGUGGCCAAAACAUGUCAAAGUUAAGAAGAAGGAGAAAGGCCAGUUUUGAGGCCAAUAAUAUAGAAAUCUCAAAAAAGAUUGAUGAUUGAUGUAAGAGAGAGAUAUCAUAUGGAUGGUGGGGUGGCCCCAGAAAUGGUGGGGAUGGUAUUCAUCGAAUGCUGAUUCUAUCAACCUUUAGAUGCGAUCAUUGUUUCUGACCAUUAAUUUCUAGUUUAUAAAUGAUGUGAUAAGAAUAAUUUUUAAAAAAAAAUUGUGUUUUGAAUUUUUUAAAAAAUUAAGUUUUUUAUGUUUAAUAUAAAAAUAAAUUUUAAAAAAUAAAAAAUAUAUUAUUUUAUAUAAAAAUAUUUUUAAAAAUAAUUGUUAAAAUAAUAAUAGACAGCAAUGACAUAGUUUGUUAAUAUGAUUCUUUCAUGCUACUUGAAAUUUAUACAGGUUUAUUAUUAUAAAAUAAAAAAAAAUAUUAUUUUAAUAUAUUUUAAAAAAUAUAUUUUUAAAAAUAAUUAUUAUUACAAUAUCAAACAUGUAUUAAUAUUAAUAUUGAUCUUGCUCAAAUUUAAAACAAUAUUAUUUCAAUAUGUUUUAUAAAAAAAUUAAAACGUUAUCAACUUAAUCAAAUUGAGUUUAUAUCUAUAAGAAAUUAUUUUUAGUAAAUUAGAGUAGUCAUAAAAAUUUAGUCUAUUGGUAGAUGGAAUAAACUACACAAGAGUUUAUAAUAUGAUUGAUUUACUUCAUAUAAUUUAAAUUAAAGAAAAAAAACACACAUUUCCUGCCUCAAAAUAAAUGAAAAAAAAAUAAACGAUUACUGAAUUUUCAAGUAUUUUAUUAUUAUUCAUAUCUUCAAACUUGGAAUGUAAUAAUUCCUCAUCUAAUUUUUUAAUCGGGUGCAAUAAUUUAUUAUUUAUCUCUUAGUUUACAAAAUAAAAUAAAACAUUUAUUUCAAAGCGUUGAUUUACUAAUUAAUUCAAUUGUUUUCUACUGUGAUCACUUUGAUUCUGGGAUUGAGAGUGAUAAAAUUAUCAUCGAAUUAAUUUUGAAAAUUAUCAUCGAAUUAAUCUAAAAAGGGAAUUACUUAGCGUGAGUAUAUUUUCUUAUCAAGAUUGAUAGUUACGUGCAUAAGGGGAACCCUCCCUUUCGUCGUAGCACAAUCGUCCUUUCGCACCAAAAAGUCAUCAAAAAAUUAUUCCAAAACAAACACCACAGACUCCCACCCUCCAAGAAGCCAACAAUUUUGCUGAGAGGAAUAGGCAAUAAAUAUCUCAGUUUAAAUCACCUUAAUUCAGUGGAAAAUUAUGUGCGCAUUAUUUGUACAUUAAACUAUGUGCAUGCAUCAAAGUGUGGUCCGAUUUAACUGUAUCAACUGGAUUAUGAACUAAUUCAUCAGGUCAUUUAAAUUAUAUUGGUUCAACUUCUACUUAAUUUUCUUUUAAAAAACCAACAUGAACUAAUUGAGUUUAAAAGCUUGUUACUAAUAAAUUAUGCCAUUUUACAUUUACUUAUUUUUGGGAGUAAGAACUCAAUUUUGAAAGGGACGGUGAGUUUCAAAUUUGCACUUUCUUUUCAUCCAUUGCACUUUCUUUUUACCUGUUAUUGGAACUCAAUAUUGAAAGGGACGGUGAGUUUUAGUUUUAAUUCUAGGUGGGCUCGAUUGGAUUCCUUUGUUAAAAAAAUUAAUAACAUGAUCAGUAUCUUCAAAUAAACUUUAGUGAUGUUCAUAUAACAUUUUCUUGUACAAUAGGAUGUUUGGAUAAGCUUUUGAUUGCACUAAAAAAAUUACAUCCAUGUUCGGACUUAUAUAUUUUUCAAGAAAUUAAUUAUUUAUCGGAACAGUUCGAGCAUUAAAAUAUAAAAAUAUGGAGAAUACUUAAUAUUUACCAACAAAUUAAACUAAGCCUGUGAAAGUUCACUUUAUACGAAUAUAUAUCUAUGUUGACAAAUUAUUUGCCACUUGAGGUUGAAGAUCAUGUUGUUCAAAAUGAAAUUAACGCAUUAUAAGCUAAUUAUGUGGAUUCCAACUCAUACUUAGUUUCAUGAUAAUAGCAUGAUUUCAUGUUUUACUUAAGAACGCAUUAUAAGCCUAUUUUAAAAAAAAUAUAUUAUAAGCUUUUUUUUAACAAAGAAUGAUUGAGUCGAAAGUUGUGGAGGUAAUGAAGAACCCUAAUUCUUCAAUUAUAUGGUUAUAUGUAAUGUAAAAAGUUUAAGAUUAGGUUAAUGCAUGUGGUGAGUAAGCUAUUAAUUUAUUGUGGUUUCCAACUUCAAAAUUCGAGAAUCAAUUAUAUUGUGGGUUAGUGAUAGAAUUUAAAAGAAAGAACAUUCUUGAUAUCUUUCAUGUUAAAAGCAUUAAUUACAUGUCCUACUUCAAAAAAUAAAUCAUGAUUAAUUUGCUAUAGCACACUUGUUUUAACAAAAACAAAUAGAGUGAAUCAUGCAUUGCCUGAAUAAAUAUAUUUAACUAUAGGUUCAAACCUAUGUAUUUCAUAUCAAUAUGUUAAAUAAAGAGUGUGGAAUAUAUCUCAUUUAGUCUAUCACUAGAUAUAUUUCUCGCGCGUUGUUGCGAGUCAAACAAUUUUUUUUAAUAUAAAAAAAGUGAUAAGUUAGAAAAAAUCCAAGUUUUAAGUUAUUGGUUAAAUCGACAAUUUAAAUAUUUACAAAAAAAUAAUAACAACAAAUAAACUGACAAAAAAACAACGAAAAAAAAAAUCACACUUGAAUAUAUUCAUAUCAUCAAAUAACUUAUCAAUUCUAACAUAACCGACGGAAAAUCAAGGAAAAAAAAGGUCAAACAUAAAAAAAAAAUAGAAAACAUUGACUUAAAAAAGAGGGGGCAAACCAAGCAAACCUAAGUGAACACCAAAAACAUGGUCUAAUCUAAAAAAAUUACAAUUUAUUAAAUCAGACCUGAGUUCAAUUAAAAAAUUUAAAUGUCAUCCAAUUUAAUUUUAAAGUAUGCAAUCAUUGAAGAAACUAUUAAUAAAAAAUCUUGCAACAAAAAAAGAAAGAAACAAAAAGAAUAGAGCUAAAAUCUAACAGGAAAAAAACCAGGGAGGAUGAAAUCCUAAAAAAAAUAUCAUAAACAAAACAAUUUUAAUUAAAAAAAUUAGGACCAAGCAUGAAAGAUUAAAAAAAUCAUAGGGGGUGAAAUUAAAAAAUAUUUGUACUAUGAUAGGAUAUUUAUAGAUUUAAAAAUGGUGGGGGUGAAAUAUAUAUAAAAAAAUUGUGAAGGGCUAACCCGAUAGAAUCAACUCGAAAAAAAAUAAGAAAACAAAAGUUAAAAAUAGAGAAUUAAACCACAAAAUGUUAAAAAAAGAGGAUAAAAAAUAAGGGACCAUCAAUUUAGAAAAGAAAGGGAAAAAAAAGAGGGCAAAUCUUUUAAAUGUGUUCUAAUCUCUAAAAGUCACAUCCUGUUAAAUUUUUUAUCCAGAUUCAAUCAAGAAGCAUAAUUCUCAAUUAAUUUAAUUUUUAAGGAUGAGAUCAAUAGAAAAUAUUAAUAAAAAACCUACAAAAUAAACAAAAAGAAUGAUGAUAAAAUUUGAUAGGAAAAAACCAAGGGCGAUGCAAUUUAAUGAAAAAAAUAAUCCUAAAUAAAAUAAAUAUCAAUUAAAAGAAUAUGGACCAAAUUUUAAAGAUUAAAAAAAUUAUAGGUGGUGAAAGUGUAAACAUCUAUAAAAAUCAAGCAAACUCGAACAAACAUCCUCAACAUGAUCAAAUCAUAAAAAGCUCUCAAUCAUCCAAUUUAAUUUUGAAGGACAUAAUUUUUUAAGAAACUAUUAAUAAAAAAUCUUGCAAAAAAAAUAAUAGAGCUAAAAUCUAAUAGGAAAAAAACCAGCGAUGAUGAAAUCCUAAAAAACAAUAUCGCAAACAAAAAAAUUUCAAUUAAAAAAAUUAGGACCAAACUUGAAAGAUUAAAAAAUAAUAGGGGUGAAAUUGAAAAUCAUUUGUAAUAUGAUAGAAAUUUAUAGAUUUAAAAAUGGUGGGGGUGAAAUAUAAAAGAAAUUGUUCAGGGCUAACCUAAAAGAAUCAAACUAAAAAAAAAAAAGAGAGGUUAAAAUAGAGAAUUUAACCAAAAAAAUGUUAAAAAAAGAGGAUAAAAAAUAAGAGAGCAUCAAUUUAGAGAAAGAGGGAAAAGAAAGAGAACAAAUCUUUUAAACCUGCUCUAACAUCCCGUUAAAGUUUUUUAUACAAAUUCAAUCAAGAAGCAUAAUUCUCAAUCAAUUUAAUUUUGAAGGAUGAGAUCAAUAGAAAAGUAUUAAUAAAAAAACAUGCAAAAGAAACAAAAAGAAUGAUGAUAAAAUUCGAUAGAAAAAAAACCAAGGACGAUGCAAUUUAAUGAAAAAAAUAAAAAAAUAAUCCCAAAUAAAAUAAAUAUCAAUUAAAAGAAUAUGAACCAAAUUUUAAAGAUUAAAAAAAUCUUAGGUGGUGAAAGUGUAAACAUCUUUAAAAAUCAAGCGAACUUGAACAAACAUCCUCAACAUGAUCAAAUCUUAAAAAGCUCUUAAUUAUCCAAUUUAAUUUUGAAGGAUGGAAUCAUUUAAGAAAUUAUUAAUAAAAAAUGUUGCAAAAAAGAAAAAGGAACAAAAAAAAAUAGAGCUAAAAUCUAAUAGGAAAAAAACCAGCGAGGAUGAAAUUCUAAAAAACAAUAUCACAAACAAAAAAAUUUCAAUUAAAAAAAUUAGGACCAAACUUGAAAGAUUAAAAAAUAAUAGGGGUGAAAUUAAAAAUUAUUUGUAAUAUGAUAGGAUAUUUAUAGAUUUAAAAAUGGUGGGGCUGAAAUAUAAAAGAAAUUGUUAAGGGCUAACCCAAUAGAAUCAAAACGAAAAAAAUAAAAAAAGAAGAAGUUAAAACUAGAGAAUGAAUCCAAAAAAAUGUUAAAAAAAGGAUAAAAAAUAAGAGAACAUCAAUUUAGAAAAAAAAGGGGAAAAAAGAGGGCAAAUCUUUUAAACCUGAUCUAAUCUCUAAAAGUCACAUCCCAUUAAAUUUGUUAUAUAGAUUCAAUCAAGAAGCAUAAUUCUCAAUCAAUUUAAUUAUGAAGGAUGAGAUCGAUAGAAAAGUAUUAAUAAAAAAACAUGCAAAAGAAACAAAAAGAAUGAUGAUAAAAUUUGAUAGAAAAAAACCAAGGACGAUGCAAUUUAAUGAAAAAAAAUAAAGGACUAAUCCCAAAUAAAAUAAAUAUCAAUUAAAAGAAUGUGGAACAAAUUUUAAAGAUUUAAAAAAAUCAUAGGUGGUAAAAGUGUAAACAUCUGUAAAAAUAAAGCGAACUUGAACAAACAUCCUCAACAUGAUCAAAUCUUAAAAAGCUCUCAAUCAUCCAUUUAAUUUUGAAGGAUGGAAUCGUUUAAGAAACUAUUAAUAAAAAAUCUUGCAAAAAAAAAGAAACAAAAAAAAAUAGAGCUAAAAUCUAAUAGGAAAAAAACUAGCGAGGAUGAAAUUCUAAAAAACAAUAUCGCAAACAAAAAAAUUUCAAUUAAAGAAAUUAGGACCAAACUUGAAAGAUAAAAAAUAAUAGGGGUGAAAUUAAAAAUUAUUUGUAAUAUGAUAGGAUAUUUAUAGAUUUAAAAAAUGGUGAGGGUGAAAUAUAAAAGAAAUUGUUAAGGGCUAACCCAAUAGAAUUAAACCGAAAAAAUGUUAAAAAAAGAGGAUAAAAAUAAGAGAGCACCAAUUUAGAAAAAAAGGGAAAAAAAUUGGGCAAAGAUUUUAAAACUGAUCUAAUAUCUAAAAGUCAUAUCCCGUUAAAUUUUUUAUCCAGAUUCAAUCUAGAAGCAUAAUUCUCAACAAAUUUAAUUUUGGAGGAAGAGAUUGAUAGAAAAGUAUAAAACAAAAUCUGUAAAAGAAAAAAAAAAGAAUGAGGAUAAAAUCUUAUAGAAAAAAAAACCAAGAAGGAUGCAAUUUAAUGAAACACAAAAUCUAAAAUGAAAUAAAUAUCAAUUAAAAGAAUAAGGAUCAAAUUUUAAAGAUUGAAAAAAUCAUAGGUGGUGAAAUUGUAAACAUCUGUAAAAAUCAAGCGAACCCGAACAAACUUCCUCAACAUGAUCAAAUCUUAAAAAGCUCGCAACUUAUGAAAUUCUGGAUCCUAGUCUCCCUUCAAGAAGUUUAUUAUAAGUCAAUUUAAGAAUAUAAAACAUUGGCUUGGGGGGGGUGUGUGAAGCAAACCUAAGUGAACCUCCUAAACAUAAUUUAAUCUAAAAAAUUAUAAUUUAUUAAAUCAUGGACAUGAGUUCAAUCAAAAAGUUUAAAUAUCAUUCAAUUUAAUUUUGAAGGAUGAAAUUGUUGAAUAAACUAUUAAUAAAAAAUCUUGCAAAAAAAAAAAAAAACAAGGAACAAAAAACAAUAUAGCUAAAAUCUAACUUGUAAAUAACUAGUGAGGAUGAAAUCCUAAAACAAAAAUAUCGCAAACAAAAAAAUUUCAAUUAAAAAAAUUAGGACCAAACUUGAAAGAUUAAAAAAUUGUAGGGGGUGAAACUGAAAAUCAUUUGUAAUAUGAUAUUUAUAGAUUUAAAAAUGGCGGGGGUGAAAUAUAAAAAAAUUGUUAAGGGCUAACCCAAUAGAAUCAAACCGAAAAAAUAUGAAACAAAAGUUAAAAAUAGAGAAUUAUACCAUAUAAAUGUUAAAAAAAGAAGAGAAAAAAAUAAGACAACAUCAAUUUAGAAAAAAAGAAAAACAAAAACAGUGCAAAUCUUUAAACCUGGUUUAUUCUCUAAAAGUCACAUCUUGUUAAAUUUUUUACCGAUUUAAUCAAGAAGCAUAAUUCUCAACCAAUUUAAUUUUGAAGGAUGAGAGCGAUAGAAAAGUAUUAAUAAAAUAACCUGCAAAAGAAACAAAAGAAUGGUGAUAGAAUUUGAUAGAAAAAGUCAAAGAAGACAAAAAGGGCAAAUCUUUUAAACCAGGUUUAUUCUCUAAAAGUCACAUUUUUAAAUUUUUUAUCCAGAUUCAAUCAAGAAGCAUAAUUCUCAACAAUUUAAUUUUGAAGGAUGAGAUCGAUAGAAAAGUAUUAAUAAAAUAACCUGCAAAAGAAAAAAAAGAAUGAUGAUAGAAUUUGAUAGAAAAAAAGUCAAAGAAGAUGCAAUUUAAUGAAAAAAUAAAAUAAAUAAUCCCAAAUAAAAUAAAUAAAUUAAAAGAAUAAAAAUCAAAUUUUAAAGAUUAAAAAAUCUUAGAUGGUGAAAUUAUAAACAUCUAUAAAAAUCAAAUGAACUUGACAAAACAUCCUCAACAUAAUCAAAUCUUAAAAAGCUCGUAACAUAUAAAACCUUGAAACAUGAUCCUAUCAAAAGUUUAUUAUCAACCAAUUUUAGAAUAUAAAACAUUGGCUUCUAGGGGGAGGGGGGCCUAAAUAAACCUCCCAAACAUAGUUUUUAUAUUUUAGAAUAUAAAAUAUUGCAAUUUAUUAAAUCAUGGGGGGGGGGACCUAAAUAAACCUCCCAAACAUGUCUUAUAUUUAGAAUAUAAAUAUUGCAAUUUAUUAAAUCAUGGACCUGAGUUAAAUAUAAAAGUUUAAAUGUUAUUCAAUUUAAUUUUGAAGGAUGGAAUCAUUGAAUAAACUAUUAAUAAAAAGUCUAGUAAAAAAAAGGAACAAAAAAAGAAUAUAGUUAAAUCUAACAACAAAAAAAACUAGCGAGGAUGAAAUCCUAAAAAAAUAUUGCGAACAAAAAAAUUUGAAAUAAAAAAUCAGGACCAAGCUUUAAAGAUUAAAAAUUCAUAGGGGUGAAACUGAAAUCAUUUGUAAUAAACCUCCCAAACAUAGUUUUUUAUUUUAGAAUAAAUAUUGCAAUUUAUUAAAUCAUGGGGGGGGGGGACCUAAAUAACCUCCCAAACAUAGUCUUUAUUUUUAGAAUAUAAAAUAUUGCAAUUUAUUAAAUCAUGGACCUGAGUUAAAUAUAAAAGUUAAAUGUUAUUCAAUUUAAUUUUGAAGGAUGGAAUCAUUGAAUAAACUAUUAAUAAAAAGUCUUAGUAAAAAAAAAGGAACAAAAAAAAAAGAAUAUAUAGUUAAAUCUAACAACAAAAAAACUAGCGAGGAUGAAAUCCUAAAAAACAUAUUGCGAACAAAAAAAUUUGAAAUAAAAAUCAGGACCAAGCUUUAAAGAUUAAAAAUUCAUAGGGGUGAAACUGAAAAUCAUUUGUAAUAAACUCCCAAACAUAGUUUUUAUAUUUUUAGAAUAUAAAAUAUUGCAAUUUAUUAAAUCAUGGGGGGGGGGACCUAAAUAAACCUCCCAAACAUAGUCUUUAUAUUUUAGAAUAUAAAAUAUUGCAAUUUAUUAAAUCAUGGACCUGAGUUAAAUAUAAAAGUUUAAAUGUUAUUCAAUUUAAUUUUGAAGGAUGGAAUCAUUGAAUAACUAUUAAUAAAAAGUCUAGUAAAAAAAAAGGAACAAAAAAAAAGAAUAUAGUUAAAUCUAACAACAAAAAAAACUAGCGAGGAUGAAAUCCUAAAAAACAUAUUGCGAACAAAAAAAUUGAAAUAAAAAUCAGGACCAGGUUUAAAGAUUAAAAAUUCAUAGGGUGAAACUGAAAAUCAUUUGUAAUAAACCUCCCAAACAUAGUUUUUAUAUUUUAGAAUAUAAAAUAUUGCAAUUUAUUAAUCAUGAGGGGGGGUAGUCUUUAUAUUUUAGAAUAUAAAAUAUUGCAAUUUAUUAAUCAUGGACCUGAGUUAAAUAUAAAAGUUUAAAUGUUAUUCAAUUUAAUUUUGAAGGAUGGAAUCAUUGAAUAAACUAUUAAUAAAAAGUUUGUAAAAAAAAAGAACAAAAAAAAAAGAAUAUAGUUAAAUCUAACAACAAAAAAACUAGCGAGGAUGAAUCCUAAAAACAUAUUGCGAACAAAAAAAUUUGAAAUAAAAAAUCAGGACCACGCUUUAAAGAUUAAAAAAUUCAUAGGGGUGAAACUAAAAAUCAUUUGUAAUAUGAUAUAAUAUUUAUAGAUUUAAAAAUGAUGGUGAUGAAAUAUAAAAAUUGUUAAGAAUUAACCCAAUAGAAUCAAACCAAAAAAAAUUAAAAAAAAAAAGUUAAAAUUAGAGAAUUCAAUAAAAAUAUAUUAAAAAACUAUUAUAAUAGAUAGUAAUUUAUAUCUCCAGAUACAAUAAUUUCACUAAGAGGAUUCAUGUUUUGGAUAAGUAGCAUAUUAUUUAGUAUGCUUAUUAUUUCUAAAAAAAAUAGUGAUAAUGAAGCAAAUGAGAUAUGUCUCUAUAUAUCCUUUUAUUUUAAAAGUAAAUAAAUUUACUCUACAUAUUGAUUUAUUUUAUUUUUUUUAUCCCUCCAAUGAAAAAUAUUUUUAUCCCUACCAAAAAGCUGUAAAAAUAGUAACCAAACACUAAUGAAUGUUAAUAAUUAAAAAGUUAAAUGGGAUGGUCACUAGAAAGAGUUAUAUAUUUAUUAACUUCAAAGUUCGUGAGAUUAAUUAAGGUUCGUACAAGUUAGUCCAGAUACCACAUUAAUUUUUUUUUAAAAAGAAUUUAAUGAAUGAUAAAUGUGUCAUUGAACAUAAGAAGGAAAUCGGUAAGCGUUUGAGUUGUCCCCUUAUCCAAACCAUAGUUUUAAGACCCGACCCGGUGGUCGGCCCGGUCCAAGGCCCGAGUUCCGGGUUUUGACCGGGUCACCGGGUCGGCCGGGUCAAUUUUUUUUUUUGAAAAAUUCAAAACGACGUCGUUUUAGCAAAAAAAAAACAAAAAAAACAAAAAAAAUUAAAAAGUGAACGGGUUUGAGGCCGGGUCUUGACCGGGUCUUGCCGGGUUAGCCGGGUCCCGGGUGGACUGGGUCAAUUCCCAACCGGGUUUUGACCUCUACCUGGACUGGUCCCAUGCCCGGGUCGGCCGGGUCCCGGGUCGACCCGCCGGGUCGGUCCGGAUUUUAAAACUAUGAUCCAAACAAACCCUUAUGAGGGGUGUGUGUGUGUCAAAGUUUCUGUUUUUGUUGAAAAGUUUGGAAUUUUGUUUUUGUAUUUUUUGAAUUUUUUUUGGGGGGUUUUGGAGGAUUCUGUGAAUCUUGGUUCCAGGGGUAAUUAAUGGAAUUUAGGGUUUGUUUUGGUUUAUUGUUUUCUGAAGGAUUUUGUGAAUUUGGUUAUAUGGUCAGAUAAUGGAAAUUUUGUGAAUUUGGAUUAUUGGGUUAGUUAAUGGCAUAUAGACUUUGUUUUAUAUUAUGUGCUAUUGGUUUUAUUAUAUGCUUAAAUUGUCAUUUAUUGCAAAAGUUUGAAUUUUGUGUGUGAUAGGGGGUUGAGGUUGAUAUUGCAAUGAGGGAUGUGGGUGGUUUAUUGUAAGGGAAUAGGGAUUGGGGGGUUUUGGGUGCUUUAAUAGGUGUUUGGGAUAUGGGGAGUGAUUGCUUGUGCCGGAUGGGAUGAGAUUAAGUUUCCAGUUUUGCUGGAUGAAUUAGAGUUGUUUUGUGGUAGUCGAAACUAAGUUCAUUUCAGAUUGAGUUUUUGUUGAACUUUUGAACUGGUGGGUUGGAGUUUAGGCCUCUGGGUUGUGAAAAGUUUGAAAUUCUUGUGUGACAAUGGAGAUGGGGGCUAUGAGAUUAAGAUUGCGAUGAGGGAUCUUGGUGGUUAGUGGGUUAUUGUAGGGAAUAGGGAUUGGGGAUUUGGGUGUUUUAGUGAAGGUAGGUAAUUGUAUCAGUUUUUGGAACGUGGGGAGUGACUCCUUGUGCUGAAUAGGGAGUGUUUAAGUUUCUAGUUCUGUUGGGAUGAAUGAAGUUGUUUUGUGUUGGUAGAAACUAAGUUCAUUUCUGAUUGAGUUGUAUAUUGAGCUUUUGCAUUGGAGCGCUGGAGUUUAAGCCUCUGGCCGAUGUUAUAGCAUGCUUGAAUUGUCAUUUAUUUGCAAGAAGUUUGAAUUUUGUGUGAUAAUAAUGAGGGAUGUGUGUGGUUCGGUGGGUUAUUGUAGGGAACAGUGACUGGGGAAUCGGGGUGUUUUGGUGAAGAUAGGUGCUUCGAUCAGUUUUGUUGAAUGGGAUAUUAUUAAAUUUCAAGUUUCGUUGGAUGGAUGAAGUUAUUUUGGAUUGGUGGAUACUGGAGACCAAGUUCGUUUCGGAUAUAUUAGAACUUUUGUACUGCUGUGUUGAUCUCUGGGUUGGUGCUAUAGUAUUGUUGUCAUUGUCUAUACAACCAUAGACAGUUAUAAUAUUUACUGGUGUCUUCAAAUGCACCAUUUGUUUUCUAGGCUAUCUAUACUUUGUUGUCUGCUACCAUGCAACAAAUACUAAGAGUUUCUAAUGUCAACUGAAUACAUGAAAAUAUCCAUCAUAUGGAGUGGAUUUGAGUCUCUGCUACAUCAUAAACUAAUGGCACAUUAUUAUUAGUUUCAUUUAUGUGAGUCCACCUUUUUUGAAAAUGAUACUAUGUGAACGCUGAUGGCUGCUAUGUUCAGUAAUAGCCUCUUGUGUGACUGAUUGGGACAGGUUCAUAGUUGGAAGAAAUUAAAUGUGAAGACUUGGCCUUGAAUCAAUAUGAUUGCUAUAACUGGAAAAUGUAGAUGUUAGUUCUUUCUAUGCCUGAUGAAAUUUGGAUCUAAAACCAACUUUUCAAUUAUGAAACCUUCUGAUUGCAAUUGCUUUGUGGAAGAUCUAAACUGCUUGGUAACAAUCAAGACUAUCCUCUAAACACUAUCCAAUAUGGCCAUGUUCUUAUGUUGAAAAUAUAAUUGAUUAGAAUAGAGGCUUUAGAAUUUAUGGUCGGUUUAAUGGUUUAUCAAUAUGCUGCAAUUGUGUUUUUAUUUUUUAUUUUAUUUUUGAAUCAAUUGGAGGAUUGGAAUCUAUCAAGCAAACUUUGUAUAAACUGGUGAUUCUUCCUCUGCGGAAACCUGAGCUCUUCUCACAUGGGAAACUUCUUAGUCCACAAAAGGCGGUAUUGUUAUAUGGACCUCCAGGCACCGGGAAGACCAUGCUCGCAAAAGCUAUUGUCAGAGUCUGGAGCUGUUUUUAUAAAUGUGAGGAUCUCUAAUCUGAUGAGCAAGUGGUUCGGCGAUGCACAAAAGCUGUGUGAGUAUAGAUCGCAUUUGAAUUGCCUCUCUUGUGCUGGAGCUUUGUCUUGCAUUUAGCAAAACAAUGAUCAAGGUUGUCAAAAACGCUUUUUUAACACGACACGGAACAUAUAAUUUAAACUCGACUCGUAAAAUCGAAUCGUAAAAUUGGAAGUAAAAUUUUUUACCCUAAAAUCGUAAAAUCGAAAGUAAAAUAUUUUAACUAAAAUCGUAAAAUCGCAAGUAAAAUAUUUUAAACAAUACAAAUAUCCAAACAUAUUAAAUUACAUAAUUCAAAUAAAAGUAAAAUAAACAAUAUAAAUAUCCAAACAUCUUAAAAUACAUAAUUCAAAUAAAAAUUGAUACAUGUCCAUAGUUCAUGGAAAAUAUUAAAUAAAAAUAAAUCAGCUUAUUUUAGGACUCACAUGCAAUGCAAACAACCCAAAAUAGAUCUGAAGUUCAUGGUUAAAAUCAGACAGAUCAUCCAAUCCCAAAUUUCACAAUUAAGCAUAAACAGCCACCUAGUACGAGGUUCCACACAAUUCAGAAUUUUGCAGGCAUCUGCAACAGUUUGAUAGCCUAACAAUUGACGACAUUCACAAGGUUUUCAAUACGAGAAAUCCCAACUAGAGAAACAAGUAAAUGAUGCAAAUACCAUAUCACAGAAAUCCAAGAUAACAGUGGCAAUAGACUUUUUACAUAGAAUUAGAGUAAUGAUCAAGCCACGAGUUCACCAGCUACUGCUGGUGCUUGCAAGGAUAGGUUCCUAUUUCUUUGUGGAAUGCAUUGACAACAAGGUUUUGGUGCAGGAUCAGUUUUCCCCUUUCUCUAGUGCAUAAUAAUCAAUCUUUCCUUCAACCCCUGGGAGGCAUCAUUGCCUGCCAUCCCUGCACUAUCAAGUGCACAUACAACAACCAUCCAUGAUCCAACUAUCCUGUCUGUUCAUACAGUGAUCAUUUUCUUUUUUGUUGGCAGCAGACUCUUCAUCCCAACAAAGAAUUCCAGUUUCUCAUCCCUUCAGGCUAUCGAAAAUCGCAAAUGCGAGCAAUAAUUAACUAGUAGGGAAAUACUUGGAUGAUCUCGUUUAAACUCUCUUACAGAAAACCUAUAUUCACAAUUGAACAAGGGCAGAUUUCAACCCAAUGCUGCCCCAAACUAACCCAACAUCAUAUGCAGCUUCGCCAUAAAAAUAAACUCAAAGCUGGGUGAAGAAAAGACUUCCCAGUUUACUCAUUGUCAGCAACGUAUCCAGAUCAAAAGAUGAUCCUAAAGCCAAAUGUGAACACAAACAAACAGCUCUAAUUUCAUAAGCCUUUUAGAUCAUUAAAGUUUGAAGGUGCUGCAAGGCACAUAAAUGUAAAAAAACCAGAAUAAAAGUCAAAGAAAGGAAUAUAACGGACAAAGAUGCAAGAUGGUACACAGAAAAAACCCCUACUCAAACCUCUAAACUUACAGCAUCUAACCAAAGAAAACAGGACAUGGAUUUUACGCUAUAACUCUUCUAACAUGCAAGCCAAUGUGUGCAUAAAAAAAAAAAAGAAAUUCACAAGGCAAAAUUAACAGAUUAUAUACUGAUUCACGAGGAAAAAAAGGAGACCCAAAUUAUAUAAUCACAUAUUACUUGCAGCAAAAUACAUUCACUGAUUCACAGGUUCCAGAACCGAUUGUAGAAUGCCCAGAAGAUGAACAUAGAUUCACAGAAAAAAAAAAGCUUGGGUUCCCAAUUCUUACCUUCGUCUCGCCAAGAACGCUCUGGAGUCAGGGACGGUGUGACCGUGUGAGACAGGGACGAAGACAAAGUCGCGAGACAAGGAGUCAGGGACGAGGUCGGGGACUUGGGUGGGAAUUGGGAAUUUGGGGAAGAAAAGAGAUUAGUGCCCUGACCCUAAGUCAAUAUUUGUGCAUUUCUAAUUUUCCAAUUUCCAUUCGCUUAGUCACUGAGGCUGACCGUGACUUUUUUCUAAACUCGGUAAAACGUUACGUAUUCAACGUUUUUUACGAGUCAACCGAUUUUCCUGCGAGUUUGACCGAGUCAACCCGAUUUUACUGGUUUUUGAGUUUUAACCCCGAUUCUACACGUUUUUUGUGUUUUAACUCGUAAAAUCGGAUGAUUUUACGAGUUAAAACGCAUUUUUAACAACCAUGGCAAUGAUGAUUUAAAAUUAUUGCCUUGUUAUUCUAAAACUUGUUGUCACCCACCGAUUAUGUUGAGUGAAAUUUAGUUUCACUAUGAUAAUGGAAGCAAGGUGGUACUUUGUGAAUAUUCUUAAUGAAUAUUGGGAUUGGACCAUGCAAGUGGUUAUUGCUCAAAUCAAGGAAUCUCAAUGAAUAGUGUUGGAGUUCACUUAUAUUGGCUAUCAGAUUAUUGUUAUGAAGGUCAAGAGAUUGUAAAGAAGGAAGAGCAAACAAAAAGGAUGGUAUUGUUCCAUUGAACAAGUUAUUGGAUAAAAAUAGAUAUUGUAGAUUUUAAAUGGUAUUUAAUUGAGAAUGGAUAUGACUUACUAGUUGAUUAUUUGAUAAAUCUAAAUAUGAAAGAUUGACUAGGCUACCUAAAGAAUCUGGAACUUGACCCAUAAAUUUAUUAGAAUCGAGAUAUAAGUAAUGGAGGUGUACAAGGUUUUCAAUUGAUGAUGGGAUUUGACCACUCAAAUUGUUACUUGAGAGUUCUAAAGAGGUGAGUCGUGUAAGAUUACCAAGCUGGGCUAGAUCUAACCUUGUAAUGUUAUUAUUAAAAAGAGACAUAUAUUCUAAUGACUUUAGAUUAUUGAUUAAGUCAUUUUCUAAAUAAACUGAAAUUCUUGUAUUAGAAACACCCAACAUUCUCCAGAUGAUGGAAUAUAAAGUGCAUUAUCUGAUAUAAACAUGAGUUUUUUAUCCUGAAAAACGUAGUUUUAGCAAAUGAACAGUUUAGGCAGCUACUGAUUUGUUUUUUAAGAUUUUUGAUUGCUGGGGGUUUGAUUUAGUCACUCAUUUACUCACAGAUUAUGAUGUUAACCAUCUCAGCUCAAUAUCUCUUGCAGCUUCUUUCAGUCUCUCAUGAGUUCUUGAGUUUUUGCCAAAUCUUAAACCAUGUUGCCAGCUCCUUAAUCUGAGCUAUAGAUAAAGUUAGACGCAGGGUAGUUUAAUCCUAAUCACACGAAAGAAAGUGUCAGGUGUGCAGUAAGAGCGAGACACCUUUUCUACAAAUUUUCUGAAUUCUAAUGAAAUCUACGGCAAUUUGGAAAAAAACCAACUCUCUGGCAGGAGGGAGAAGAAAGAAGCCUGGAAAACAGGAUCGUUCUCAGGUAUCAUUAGGAAUUGCUUCUAGGAGGAAAAAGUAUAAGGUUAGGUUUCUUAUUGUUGGAUGCAUGGAGUUAUUAUGGGUUGGUGGAAACUGGAGACCAAGUUCGUUUCGGAUAUAUUGGAACUUUUGUACUGUCGUGUUGACCUCUGGGCUAGUGCUAUAGUACUGUUGUCAUUGUUUAUUCAACCAUCCAGUUAUAAUAUUUCCUGGUGUCUUCAAACUUGCCAUUUGUUUUCUAGGUUGUCUAUACUUUGAUGGCUGCUAGCAAGCAACAAAUACUCUGUUUCUAAUGUCGAGUGAAUAUAUGAAAAUAUCCAUCAUAUGGAGUGGAUUUGAGUAUCUGCUAUAUCAUAAACUAAUGGCACAUGAUUAGUUCCAUUUAUGUGAGUCCACCUUUUUUGAAAAUGAUACUAUGUGAACGCUGAUGGCUGCUAUGUUCAGUAUUAGCCUCUUGCGUGACUGACUGGGUACAGGUUCAUAGUUGGUGUCAUAACCCAAUUCUGGGUUAUUCCCCAAAAAUCAAUUUCUUUUUUCAAAAUAAAAAUCAAAAAAUAAAAUAAAGGCUGACAACGUGGAGAAGGUAGGUCGGGAAAUCAAGCUGCAAUUUUUAAAAGAAUACAAUGCAAAUUCAAGGUCAUAUUAAAUGAUUAUUGGACGAAUUCGCAUGAAAAUUAAGUCCAAGGACAUAAUUAAAUUUUUAAUAGGCCAAUUUGAUUUAAUCAUGGGCCAAAUUGAAUUUUAAUUAUGUUUAAGAAUUAAUUUGGGUCCAAUUAAAGGAUUUAAUUAAGUGCAAUGACUUAAUUAUACUUUAAAUGGGUCAAAUUAAUUUUAUUUGGGGCUUAAUUGGUGAAACAUUAAGUUUGGGAGCUUAAUUUGGGCUUAAUUGAGAAGAUUGGAAUUUUAAGAGACCAAAUUUAAUUUUUACCAAGUUGAUUGAUUGAAAUCAGGGAUCAAAUUGCAAGAAAAUUGAAGUUUUGGGGUCAAUUAGGGGUUAAAUUGACAAAAUCCAAAGACAAGGACCAACUUGCAAAAGGCGCCAAACUAUAGGGGUCAAAUUGAAAGACAUUGAACGCUGGAGGGCGAAAUUGAAAAUCAGCAAAAAGCCCUAAUUUUUAUCCCAAACAGCGCCGUUUUUGUGUUGAGGGAAGGGACCAGGCGACGCGUCGCCCGGUUACUAUUCAUCGUCUUCCUCACAAAGCUACCCGAGUGGCUGCUUUCCAGGCGCGUUUUCUCACUCGUUUGGCCCCCAAAUCCGACAAGGCGUGCACCAACAUGUUCCCCUGAAACAUCUUUAUCUCGUAGAGUGGUCUCGUGGUGGAACAACUUGGGGACAACUCCGUUUAUUGUCCCAAAAUGGCACCCUCGGACAGUCUGCAGCCUUGGAUGGCCAAAUUUGAUAGUUCGAGGUGCACUCUUUGAACCAACGGCUUGGAUUCCUCGAGUCGAAUCAAGGGCUGAGACUCUUUCCCCGUUGAAGACAAGAUUACCCUCUCUCUAGCCCUAUAAAUAGGAGCCAAUUUCGUGCUCAGGAGGAGGAGAAAUCUGGGUCCAAAUAUCGCAAAAAAAAACAGCCUCCCCCUGUUUCCAUUUUUCUUAUUUCCCCGUCAGCCUUCUGCAACUCACUCCACCCCUUUCACAGCUGCUUACUUCGACGAGAUAAUUAACAAACCCAGCCUAUACAUCACCACGAACACCAGCUCCACCAUAGGACUCCAACCGGCCACCAAGAAGCCACCGUGAACCUCUCUUUCUUCUCCGUCCAGCGUGUCUCUCUCCUCUGCAAACUUCAUCUUCCUGCACAGUAGUAACUUCGGUGGCCAAGCUCUCCACCAACGCUGCCACUAGCUCGUCUUCCACCCUCUCCAUCGGAAGCUCCUCCUUUUUCCUCCAUGGCGGCAGCAGCCAAUCAGCACCACUAUUUUCGUUUUCUUCCUUCUCUAGUACCGGCAGCAGCAGCACCAAGCUCUCAUCAACGCCGCCACCAGCUUCAGGAAGACUACCUAGACCACCUCCAACCUCACGCCAGGCCAGUGAUAGCAGCUUCUUCUCCUCCGCAAGGUUGCCUCCUGCUUUUGCUCCGCCACUGCAACGGUGAAGUUGCAUGCAGAACGUGAACCUAUUGUUCACGUUCUGCAAUUAAUAUAUAAUAUUAUAUUAUAUACUUUUUUUAAAAAAAAAAAUUCAAAAAUCAAUUUUUAAAAAAAUUGUAAUUUUCUCAAAUAUUUUUCUACCAAGUUUUGUUUAAUAUUGGGUUGUAUACUUACAUUGUAAGAUACAAGUCCAGUAUUAAAAUACCCGGUUUUUCUCCGAAAGAAAAAAUAUAUAAAAAAGAAGAAAAAAAUAUUUCAUUGCAUACGGCCAAGUCCUAAAGAAUUUUCCAAGCAUGUUUUCACAAAAAAUUGCAUCUUUCUCACGUUUUUGAAAAUAAAAAAAAAUGGAUAUCAUAAAUGGGUUUGGCCAAAAAAUCAAAAACCUUUUUCCAAUCUUUUUUUUUUCUAGGAUCCGAAUGUAGAUUUUAAUAUUUAUGGGGUGUAAAAUUACAUGAUAAUGUACAUCCUUGGGUAUUAAAGAUACAAGGUGUAAAUAAAAGCAAUUUUAAAAUUCGGACUUUAGAAUGGUUAGGAUUUAACCGAAUAAGGUAGAGACUCCCUCACGAGGGGAGAUCUGCCUUGAACCUUAGAAAAGACCAGCGAAUAGAAACUCGACCUAGAAAAAACAAUCAAACAAUAAUGCAGCUUACCUUAGGUAGGGUGCAUUGGGGGUGAUGCGUCUUCCCCUUGCACAACCAGUCCCUUACUCAGACUCCCGUAGACCUUAGGUUCCUAGUAACCAUAAUACUAGGUGGCGACUCCAACGAACCAAGCAAAACACAAAUAAUAAAAAAUCGCCAGUCGAUGUCGUGCGGAAUUUUUCGACGUGCGACAGUUAGAAGGAAUUAAAUUUGAAGACUUGGCCUUGAACCAAUAUGAUUGCUAUAACUGGAAAAUAUAGAUAUUAGUUCUUUCUAUGCCUGAUGAAAUUUGGAUUCGAAAACCAACUUUUCAAUUAUGAAGCCUUCUGAAUGCAAUUGCUCUGUAGAAGAUUUAAACUGCUUCGUAACAAUCAAGCCUAUCCUUUAAACACUAUUGAAUAUGGCCAUGUUCUCAUGUUGAAAAUGUAAUUGAUUGGGAUAGAGGCUUUAGAAUUUAUGGUCGGUUUAAUGGUUUAUCAAUAUGCUGCAAUUGUGUAUUUUUAUUUUUGAAUCAAUUGGAGGAUUGGAAUCUAUCAAGCAAGCUUUGUAUGAACUGUUGACUCUUCCCCUGCGGAAAUCUGAGCUCUUCUCACACGGGAAACUUCUUGGUCCACAAAAAGGGGUAUUGUUAUAUGGACCUCCAGGCACAGGGAAGACCAUGCUUGCAAAAGCUAUUGUUAGAGACUCUGGAGCUGUUUUUAUAAAUGUGAGGAUCUCUAAUCUGAUGAGCAAGUGGUUUGGCGAUGCACAAAAACUCGGUGAGUAUAGAUCGCAUUUGAAUUGCCUCUCUUGUGCUUGAGCUCUGUCUUGCAUUAGCAAAACAAUGAUGGUUUAAAAUUAUUGCAUUGUUAUUCUAAAACUUGCUGUCACCCACUGAUUAUGUUGAGUGAAAUUUAGUUUCACUCUGAUAAUGAAAGCAAGGUAGUACUUUGUGAACAUUCUUAACUUGUCCUUAUUGAAGAUCUUUAUCAGCAACAAGAUUUUGUUGGAUGAAGCAAAUGAGAUAUGUCUUGGAUAAGUAUACAUAUUAUUUAAGUAUGCUUAUUAUUUAAGGGAUUUAUUAGCAAUAAUUUCACUAGAGGAUUCAUGUUUUGGAUAAGUAUGCAUAUUAUUUAAGAAUGCUUAUUAUUUCUAAAAGAAAAUAGAGAUAAUGAAGCAAAUGAGAUAUGUCGCUAUAUAUCUUUUGCAGUUGCUGCUGUUUUUAGCCUGGCUUAUAAACUCCAGCCUGCCUUUAUAUUUAUUGACGAGAUUGACAGUUUUCUGGGGCAGCGUCGUACUACAGAUCUUGAGUUCUGUAUUUAUGCGGUCCUCUUAUGCUAGAAUGUGUUUCAUGUAAGAUUUGUGAAAGUGUGAUUUAUUCAUGGGCCUGGCUUGGCCGGACUCAGUUACAAUAUCUUACAAAAAAUUAUUUUAAUGUUUUCCUUAUCAAACAUUGUUUGUAUAAACCUAUCUUGCUUUUUUUUCUUCUUUUUUUUUGCUUUAGAUAUAAACAAUGCUUUAGAACAUUGUUUGUACCUGUUGAGAUGGUUUUAUCGCACUUUUUAAUAGUCAUUCAUGUCUUACAAGUUACUUGCAAGUAUUGCUGCUGUUGUGAUAACAUAAUCUGUCAGUCAAGUGUUCUUUUAAAUUUACAAGAAUUGCUUCAAUUUGUUCGUAACUCUAUAAUUUUCAAAAUACUCCCAGAAACAGAGAUUGAUUUAAGUGAUCAAGAAUAAGAAAAUGGACACAUAAAAAAAGGAAUCCAAAACAUAAAUGAUUUUAUAGUUAACACAAACUUGUUACAUACAUGGAUUUUUUUUCAUAGAAGUAAUGUACAUUUAACCUUGAAUUAUGUAAACUACAAAAAAAAAAAUCCAAUACUAUGAAUUUGCUACCCUAUUGUUGAUCCACUUGAUAUCUUUUUUUUUUUUUUUUGAUGACCCUAGGUGUCCGGGCCAGCUUACGCGCACCACAACUAAUCUCAGGGCCUAUUGAACAUCCUGCAAGCCCAGUAGGCAGGUAAGGCACCACGGGGGUGACAGGCUGGUACUCUUGAGGAUCGAACCCAGGACAUUCGCAAAGGCAAGCCUUGCAGUUGACCAAUGGGCUAGACCCUCAAGUGUGAUCCACUUGAUAUCUUAUUUGUACUGCAAAAUUACAAAGGUAAGACUGAUCAAAUGAAAUAGUAAAGAAAACAUAGCCUAACAUAAACUGUGAACAUAAAAUUUGAAAACUCAAAUGCUUGCAAAACUUACUUGAAAAUAUGAAUUGCAUUAUUUAGUUUCUUCUAGCACCAUAUCUGCCAGCAUUCUUCUUUGUUUUUUUGCUCUGGAGAUUCCAUUUAUCUUCAACCAUCCUAAAAAACCAUGAAGGCUUUUUUGUUCUUAACACAACAUAUCCCGUUGCAACUCCAAACACAAACCCGCAUCCAUACCCCAUUGUCACAGCUUUCCAUCCAAAUCCUUCUCCAAACAAUGUUGAAUCAUCUCCUUCAUCAAAGCUUGAUGGCGGUAAUGAUGGUGCCUCAUCACCGUAACAUUUUUUUAGUACUUGAGAUCCACAUAAACCCAAGUUUCCUUCAAAUGAGCUUGCAUCAAAGGUGUUGAAUUGCUGUCCACUUGGUAUGGGCCCCUCGAGUUGGUUAUGUGAAAGGUUUAGGAUUGCAAGAAAUGUUAGACCCCCAGCUGCGUUGGAAUCCUUCCGGUAAGCAAAUUUGAAGAUAGAUCUAAUGAUUCCAAAUUGGUCAAAUUUCCUAAUGAUGAUUGGAUAUGACCUGUAAGGGAAUUAUGAGAAAGGUUGAGCUGUUGGAGUGCUUUAAGCUUUCCUAUCACUUUUGGAAUCUCUCCGGUGAAAUUGUUAUUUGACAAAUCAAGUACUCUGAUAGUACUUUGGAUCUUCGUAAACUCAAUUUCUACACCUUUCCAUGUCAUUUCUAUGGAAUAGACAUAGCCAGUGUAAUUUGUUCCCAUGUAAAUCAUGUUCUGAUCCGAGGCCAUCAUUGCUUCAAGACUAUUGAAAUACCCAGUUGGCAAUGGCCCACUAAAAUUGUUGUGAGAGAUGUCAAAAAUCCGUAAUUUAGAGAAGGAAUUAUAUGCAGUCGAACCCUUCACAAAACCUUGGAGUUUAUUGGAUUUUAGGACAAGAAUUUGGAGCUUUGGAAGCGUUUCUAGAAAGUAGGGAAAUGUAUCCUCAAUCUUAUUGUUGCCAAGAUCAAUAACUUGCAACAUUGUGCAGUUGAUGAUAGACGGUGGUAUUUUCCCUUCUAAUUCAUUUCCAUUGAGGUUGAGAUAUUCCAAGCUAUUAUCCUUUGAAAAUGUUGAAGGGAUAGUGCCUUGAAGAUUGUUCAUGCCUAGAUGCAAUACCGAGAGCAUGCUGCUGAAGUUCCCCAAACAUUGUGGCACAGAACCACUCAAGCUGUUGGUGGACAAGUCCAGGACCUGAAGGAAUCUCAGCUUGCAAAUAGAAGAAGAAAUCUCACCUGUCAAAUUACUAUUGGAUGCAAGAAUAAGGGUUGUCAAGUUCUCUUGUUUGAAAAUUGAACUUGGGAUUGGACCAUGCAAGUGGUUAUUGCUCAAAUCAAGGAAUCUCAAAGAAUCAUGUUGGAGUUCACUUAUAUUACCUAUGAAAUUAUUGUUAUGAAGGUCAAGAGAUUGUAAAGAAGGAAGAGCAAGCAAAAAGGAUGGUAUUGUUCCAUUGAACAAGUGAUUGGAUAAAUAUAGAUAUUGUAGAUUUGAAAGAGUAUUUAAUUGAGAAUGGAUAGGGCCUACUAGUUGAUUAUUGAUAAAUCUAAUUCUAAGAGAUUGAGUAGGCUACCCAAAAAAUCUGUAACUUGACCCAUAAAUUUAUUGGAAAAGAGAUCCAAGUAACGAAGCUGUACAAGGUUUCCUAGUGAUGAUGGGAUCUGACCGCUAAAAUUAUUACUUGAAAGGUCUAAAAAGGUGAGUUGUGUGAGAUUACCAAGUGAUGAUGGGAUCUGACCGCUAAAAUUAUUACUUGAAAGAUCUAAAUAGGUGAGUUGUGUGAGAUUACCAAGUGAUGAUGGGAUCUGACCGCUAAAAUUAUUACUUGAAAGGUCUAAAUAGGUGAGUUGUGUGAGAUUAUCAAGCAGGGAUAGAUCUGACUUUAUAAUAUUACUAUUAUAAAAAGACAUAUAUUCUAAUGACUUUAGAUUACUGAUUAACUCGUUUUCUAAAUAAACUGAAAUUUUUGUAUUAGAAAGACCCAAAUGAGAGAGGACAUUACUCAAAUUGGAUGAAGGAAAAGAGCCAAUGAGGCCUUCGUUGUAUGACAAAUCCAGUGAUUCAAGGUUUGGGAGGAGAAAGAUGUUACCCGGGAACUUCCCCUGCAAACCACAACCCUGAAGGAAAAGAGAUGACAAAGAAGAAGACAGAUUCAUCAAGGAAUUAGGUGUAACCAAAGACAUAUUUACAUAACCCAAAGCGAGAUCUCUUAGCUUGGUUAGGUUUUGAACAAGCUUGUCAAAAGAAAUUGGUUUUAUACUGAGAUAGAAGUUUUCAGAGAGAUCCAAGUAUUGGAGGUGCUUAAAUCUUCCCAUUGAGGAUGGGAAUUUUCCUUGCAAUCCACAGUAAUAGAGUUUGAGUGAUGACAAAGAAGAGGAAAGAUUCAUCAAGGAACUGGGUACAACCAGUGACAUGUUUACCCAAUUUAGAUGGAGUUCUCUAAGAUUGGUUAGGUUUUGAACAAGCUUCUCAAAAGAAAUUGGUUCUAGACUUGGGUAGUAGUUUUCAGAGAGAUCAAGUGAAACCAAUUUGGAGAGGUGAGGUAUUUCCGACGGAACUUGUCCUGCAAAGCCUGAGAAACUUAGGUUAAGAUGUGUCAGAUUGGAAAAUUGGCCAAAUUGAGAAGAAAUAUGAGAGCUUUUGAAAUCAUUGUCAGAGAGGUCGAGCUUUUGAAGUUGAUGCAGGGAGAAGAGGGUGCUAUUGGAAUGGAGGGUGCCAUAAAGCAUGCUGCAAGCAAGGUGAAGCCCAAUUACAUGACCGGUUUUCAUGUCACAG
RNAcentral lists this long non-coding RNA (104090 nucleotides) under Populus tremula. RNAcentral describes it as "long non-coding RNA (PTRE_LNC000675)". Lineage: Eukaryota; Viridiplantae; Streptophyta; Magnoliopsida; Malpighiales; Salicaceae. The record is from RNAcentral.